This 89156-nucleotide long non-coding RNA is filed under the name Ananas comosus (pineapple). RNAcentral describes it as "long non-coding RNA (ACOM_LNC009090)". The record is from RNAcentral. Lineage: Eukaryota; Viridiplantae; Streptophyta; Magnoliopsida; Poales; Bromeliaceae.
UAAUCUUUAUCAUGCAUUCUUAAAUAGCAUACUUUAUCAUGCGUCAAUAGUAAACAUACUACACUUUAGCAUGGAAAGCGACCUAAUCGCUUCGGUGAGCACAACCCACCUCAUUUCGCAUUCCGAUUGCUUGUCGACACUUGCAAUCGGCCUCCCGCGGCACCCGUAACCCGGUUUGGCCCGAUCUUUUGCGCGACUACCGAACGGCCUCCAAUUCACGAUCCGAAAAUUAAAGGUCUUCGGUUAUGUGCCACGAUGCUUCAAAUCAAUUUUCAUGACUUUACGAUAUCGCCUCGGCCCUCCCGGCGGACCCGAAGCCUAAACGUCCAUUUCUUUAAUAACUUUGUAACGCUCGUCGGAUCGCCGAACCGUCUUCGCCAACGCGUUCGUUUACCUAGCAAUUAGGUUUACGGAGGGUCAAAUUAGAUCAAACCCUUAUAUUUUACAAAAUCCCAUUCGGAGCCCUAAUAUGUUAUUAACCUCAAAAUAAUCCAAAAUUAAAUGGAUCAACAUGCUAACAAAGCUCAUUAGAGGCUAUUAGAAUACUUAAAGCUAAGGAUUAAGCCAAAUCCUAAAAGCUUACCUCAAUGUGAACGCCGCGACGACAACACACCGCUCCAACGGGCGCACGAAAGCUCAAUCCGUCGCCUCCAACGCGUUCGCAAGCAUAUUCUCCACCAACCCCGCGAAUUUGAGCGAGAGAUAUAGAGAAAUGAGAGAGAAAUCUAGAGAGAGGAAUGAAGGUUUCUCUCACUAGCACCAUGCGUGCGUGUGUGUGGGUGCUCGGGCUGAAGGAGAGGAAGAAAGAAGCUUCAGCUUCUUUAUAAUACACCCGACACUAUUCACUCCAGGCAACUUAAAAUCUGAUAUCUUUCGCCGGAGCUCCCUGAAUGUCCGUUUGAGCUCAAACUUGACAGUCAUGUUCGGUUUUACUUAACUUAACAAGCUGACGAUCACUGGUUCAGUUUCGACCCCGUUUGGUCACUGAAAACUGUACCGAACUGCAAUCUUUAUCAGAUAGCUUUCGGAUUUUAUUUCUCACUCUAUGGGUGUCAGAAAAAUAUGAAACCUUAAAUCUAGCCUCAUAAAAAUAUUUCUGACAUCUCCGCCAAUUUUCAUAAUUUUCUGAGACUGUGCAUUUUCUGCUUAUUUUUCUGUCCCGUCUCCAACAGAAAAUUCUAGAUCUUCUGUUUUAAUUCCGAUUUCAGCACAAGUCACCUCUGACUUAUGUUUUACCUCUAUAAAUCUAAUAAAAAUAGUUUCUCACACUAUUUUUAUUUAUUAUUAUUUUUAUACCAAAAUCUGGUAUAUUACAGAUUCGAUCUAUGGCACCCUCGUGGAAACAAAUGGGGAAAGGGAGCCAAAUAAUGAGGGGGGUGUACAGAGAGAAUCUUAUUUAUAUGUAUAUAUCUCUUUCAUAGGAGAAUUAGUCCGAGCAGAGAAGCUGAGAAUUGCUGUAGUGCCACUUGGAUGCAAUGGACUGUGCGAGCUUAGUCGGCGGAUGGGGCUGAUGAUUGCUUCCUUUUAGGAAAGGAGGGGUCGGCAUCAGCUUCACUAAUUAAUGUUGGGACGUGGGGUCGUUAGAAGACACUGAAUUUUAGGAUGACUUGAUUUUACUUGUGAAAGUCUUCUCUUCUGUUCAAACAAUGGCCUGCUCCACCAGGUUAGCAUAGGUUAAAUUGCACCCUUUGCCACAUAUUUUUUUGGUGUAAAUUUCAUUUUAAAUUCAAAAAACUUUGAAUUUAGUAUUUAUAUUUUUAAUUUCUAGGUUGCUUUAAGUCCCUUCCCUUACUAUUUUUAAUAUAUAUAUAUAUAUAUAUAGGAACUAGGCUGGAAUACUAUCAAUAACACUAAACUAUUAGUACUAUUAGGUUUUCGGUCAUCGGAUGAAAAAAAUGUAUGGUUAGGAUGAUGUGGGCCCUCUAGAGUUGAGUGAGUUAUUACUUGAAUAAUAUAAUCUAACGGCUGAAAAUAGUCAAAGAGUAUCUAACGGAGGAAAACUCGCUAGCGCCAAGCACUUGGUGCUAUCGAUAGUAUCCCAACCGAAGCCAAGCACUUGGUGCUAUCGAUAGUAUCCCAGCCGAACUCUCUCUCUCUCUCUCUCUCUCUCUCUCAUAUAUAUAUAUAUAUAUAUGGGGAAACUUCAAAUACCCCUUUGUGGUUUCACUUUUUUUCACUUUAUUAGCACCCUGUGGUUUAAAGUGUAUCAAGUUAGUACCCUGUGGUUUUGCACUUUUUUACUUUUGUACCCUAUGGUUUAAAGUGUAUCAAGUUAGUACCAUGUGGUUUCGCACUUUAUCCCCCCAAGUUAUUACUUUAUUAUGAAAUUUAGUUUUCAAAUACUUUCAAUAGUGUAAAUCAAGUCUAAUGGAGCCGAUUGUCGAUUUGGAAGCCACAUUAUUGAAAACAACUUGGUAGCACGGAGGCCUCCGUGCUACCGAUAGUAUAUCACCACCUACCACCACCUACCACCAUCAUCUCAACCCUACAUUUCUCCAUCCAAUGGCUAAAAACUCAAAAGCACCACCCUCAUGGUGCUUUUGAGAGUAUUCUAGCUCAACUCUCUAUAUAUAUAAAAUCUACAAUGCUCUGCUUGGUUCAGGGAUAAUGUGGGGAUAACAAAGUAUAUAUAUAUAUAUAUAUAGAGAGAGAGAGAGAGAGAGAGAGAGAGAGAGAGAGAAAGAGAGAGAGAGAGAGAGUCCAGCUACUAUACUCUUAUGAGUAUAGAGCCUAUUGUACUCAUAAGUUUUUGGCCGUUAGAUCUACCCUUUAAUCAUUUUCACCCGUUAGAUUAUACUAUUCAACCAACCACCCACUCAACCCUAGGGGGCCCACUAUCAACUUAACCAUAACCACUUUCAUCCUAACCGCAAAUUUUUUCAUCCGAACGAUAUAUAUAUCAACCUGACCCGAUGAUAAUCAUCGUUUUAAGAUAACAACGAUAGUCAAAAAAUUGGAAACCUAGUUAAGAAAAGUAAUAAAGAUUGGUAACCUAAUUUAUGAUAUUGGUUCACCCCUGGUGAGUUGGGAUUAGAUGGCAAACCAAGUCCCAAUUCCUUUUUGAUCAAUAUGGUUCCUAUCCCAAGUCAAAUCCCAAUUCCACCCCAAUCUCAUAAAAACACAAACCAACCCCUAACCUCAAUCAGGUCCUAUCACUUUUUAUCAUAAACCAAUCUCAUCCACCCUAUUCUUCUUAUCACCCAAUAAUACUUAUCUUUUAUCACAAACAAACCCCAAACCAACCCAAUCCACCCCAAUCGAUUGAGCCCUAUUGGUUAAACUCCACCCCAAUCGAUUGGGGUGCCAGGGGUGGGUAAAAAUCUUCAUAAACCUUUAUUUUAUCCCCAAUCCCCAAUAAGGUGGGGGAUUGGGGAUUGGUUUGUUAUCGCUGGUGAGUUGAGAUUGGCUGAUUAUAGUAGGACUGGGGUGUGUAGGGUAGUUGGUUGCCAAUUUUUGAACUACUCGUUUUUCUCUCAGAGAUGAUUAUUAUCAUAAGGUCGUAUUGGGGUAUGUAUAUAUAUAUAUCCGACACCGAUGAUAUGAGUAUACUCAUAUCUCGGGAAACAUGAGUAUUCAAAAGCUGNNNNNNNNNNNNNNNNNNNNNNNNNNNNNNNNNNNNNNNNNNNNNNNNNNNNNNNNNNNNNNNNNNNNNNNNNNNNNNNNNNNNNNNNNNNNNNNNNNNNAAGGGUUUGGUACUAUCAAUAGUAUAGUAGCGAGACUCAUCUCAUUCUAUAUGAUAUAGGCUUAAUAAGAUGAAGAGACCCUUUAAUAACCGUUGAGGGUCUCGGACCAAUGCAAACUAACUAUAACUGCCUCAACUACCACCAGUCUCAUGCACAUGCGCUGACGUGGCAGGCCUAGUCCACUAAAUAAUAAUCAGUACGUACCAAACUAUAUUAACUACCUAAUAUAACCACCUAUAUACAUAUAUAUAGAGUACAUAGAACCAUAGUUAGUUAAUUCGGAUUCGGCAAAAAUUUAGUACGGAUAUAAUACGCAUAAAAUUCGUUUUCUAAUUUUUAAAUUCGUUGAAAAAUUCGGCUUAAAAAACGGAUUCAGUAUAAAAUAUAAAAUAUAAUAUAUAAAAUAUAAGAUAAUCUAUAUUUAAAUAUAAAAAUUAUAUAUUUUUUAUUCAUAUUUUUAAUAAUUCAUAAAUAAUUUGCGAAUUAUUCGGCUGGCCCAAAAAUUCGCGAAUAAUUCUCUAUCUUUGAAAAAAAUUCGUAAACAGACCGUUUAAUUCGGAUUUUCAAUAAUUAAUUCGCGAAUAAUUCACGAAUUUACUAACAUAUAUAGCAUAGAACAAGAAUAAGAAUAAGGUGGGGAAUAACUACCCAAAAUAAUAAGAGACACUAUUCUUUUUUUUUUUUUGAGAGAUAAGUAGCACGCUACCCGCUUCGUUUAUUUCAUUUAGAAAUAAACUUAGCUGGAAAUAUGAAUUAACUAGGAUUCGAACUUGGGUCUCGGGUACCAACCACCAAGCUCUUUGCCACUUGCUUUAGGGAUGGUCGGUAUUAUAAGAGACACUAUUCAUGACAGUGAGCAAGAGGAGACAAUUAAGGCCAUCAUGUAGAACCAACUCACUCAAAUUAACUGCGCGUAAAAUUUAAACCAAUAAGUUUUUAACAAAACUCGUAUAUUUUGAAAGAAUUAGAAUUCUAAUUUUACAUUUAAAAUGAAAUAUAAUAUCCUAGAUGCACUUUAUUUUAUAGUACAUAUGCAAGAAAAGACUGUCAAACAGAUCCUAAAGCGUGGAAGAACACGAAUAGAAGCAAAAAAACUUUGCGUACAUAUGAUUACCUUGGAUUAAUGCUAACUACUUAACUGCCAUGCAUCAACUACCAAAAUUAACAUGCAAACACACGCACGUGCGCGCACAGAGAGAGAGAGAGAGAGAGAGAGAGAGAGAGAGAGAGAGAGAGAGAACAAAAAGAGUAAUAAGGGAACAUAGCAUAUAUGAUUACCUCAAUUAAACUGAUACUAACUCCCUAAUGCUAUGAAACCUAUGAUUGUUCUUUGAUACAAUUUCUACCAAAAACAAAAAACGAGAGAGAGAGAGAGAGAGAGCCCAACAAAGGAUAAUGAGGUGCUCCUCGUUCAAGUUUUUUACUUAUUGGGAGACAUCAAGAUCCUUAUAAAAGAAGCCAUGAAACAAUCUCAAAACUCAAAGAAGCUAAAGAAGAAGAAUAAACUGAUCCCAAUACCUAGAGACAAAUGAAGAAGAUCAGCAGCGUUGGCCUCUGAUAGAAUCUUCACAAUAAUUAUCAUCGCCCCUAUCGCCAACAUCACUACCAUCUUCUUCUUCUUGAUCCUCUCCUCCUCCUCGCCUCCUCCGCCUCCUUCUGCAACCCUACUACAUGUAUAUAUACCAAAUCACACCACCGUUGUAAUUACCAAGAAAUUGAAAAGAAGAUGCAUGCAUGUAUCUGCGUAAAGUUGGUGAUAAGUAGUAAGAAAAAACAUGGGGGGGAUUGAUUAAUUACGAAGAGUUCUCGACGGAGGAAGGAGGCCACAGCGGCAGCAACAGUGGCGGCCACUGCGUCUCCUUCCCCGUGCCGUUAUCUCACCUGGUGCUGUUGCGGGCCUCUCCCACAGGUGUCAAUCUUGGUAUAGCUUGUCGGGCGGGGAGGGCCUCUCCGACCAACUUGGGAAUGAGCGCUACGCCGAGGAAGGCCAGUGCUCCAAUAAGCCCCAACGUUGGCAUCGGCGUAGUCUUCUUCUCCCGUUGCUGGUCUCUGUUGGGUGGGGAUGCCAUGGUCAAGAAUUAGCAAGAGUCCUAUAUAUUCUCUGAUCCUUGGCUAUUCCUCGAUCGACUUACUCGUGUUACUCCUAUCCUUAUAUAUAGCUAACCUGUCGACGGAGGGAGGAGGCCGCAGCAGCAGCAAUGGUGGUCUCUGCUGUUGCGGAGGUAUAGGGUUUUUUAGUGCUUAAAGUAUUACACCAAGAGACGUCAAGUUUGGAACGCUCAACAGUGUUACCUCCAGCGUAGGAAACCCUAGAUUUUUAAAUAAGCUAUUGGGCUCCAGAGAUAUGGGCCUUAAUACGCUUUCACUUAUUGGGCUUGUAUGUGAACAUAUUAUUUGGAUUAUAUUAUAACAAAAUAUCCAAUAAUAAUAAUAUAUCCAACAAUCUUCUCCUAUGUUCACCAUACAGCACAAUCCAAUACAGUGGUCAGUGUAAUGUUCAAACAAUUAUGAAUCAUCCACAUUCAGUCCAAGACAAUCAACUCGGAUUAAAAACUCAAUCAUCAAUUGUAAUUCAAAUGAGUGAAUCAUUCUUAUCAUGAAUCUGUUCUAAGAUCGACAUAUCCAAAAUGAUUCUCAAAAUCAGUUCACAACCAACAUAUGCAUAACAGUCAAAUAUAAGUAGGCCAAUCAAAAUAAUCCAAGGCCUUACAAAUAAAAGAAAAAGACAUAAUAAUGUUCACAAAUAGAGAUAGCCAAAAACAAGUCUUAAGUAAAUGGACUCCAUCAAAACAGGUAAUAGUAGGUGAACUGUCAAGUUCCCGUACACUCUAAAUGAUAUAUAUAUAUUCAUUCAUCAAAUAGAUCAUCAUGAUCUGGAUCUCACUUAUUAAGCUCUCCUCCAUCCCUGCCAUCCUCUGUAGAAUAUCAAAUAUAAAUUUCAUAUUAUCAUGAAUUUAAUCAUUUGAAUAAUCCACUAAAAAUGUCUAGUUUUACUAAAAGAACUUAGCAUCAUGACAUCAGGCAGAGAAGAAUAUAUAUUAAUGUCAUAAAGAAUCAUAAUAUCAUGUUCACAAGUAUCAAGCCAGUUUCAUAAAUUAUGAAUAAAGCCUAAAUAGUUUGAUUUAUAAAGAGCCAUCAACUUAAGUUUGUUUGUAAGAGAAUAAUCAUUGUCUAGUUUCAAAGAACAUGAACAAAACCAACAGGCUUCUUAUGCAUAUAGCUAUUUCUAUGUUUCAAUUUGGAAUGUCACAGUUACUAAUUCUUUUAAGUCAAAUAAUCUAGCAUCAAGUUUGGAAUGAGAUCAUUUAACUAAGAAAAGAAUAGUCCAGCCUAGUUGGAUUGUAUCAUCAAGUUUGGAAUGACACAAGCGUUCCAGGUAGAACUUUGAACUAGGUUAAAGUCAUUUUCAUCAAGUUUGGAAUGAAACAACUCACCUUUUUUCAAAUUAGUCCGCAACCAUGAACAUCAAUGAAACAUAUAAAUUGUGCUUGACCACCAAAGGAAGGAAGAUUCGAUAAUUCAAAACAUACAAUUAGAAAGUAAGUAAAUGGUAAUUAAGACUAAUUUACAUAGUCUUUAACCCCAUUUCCCCCACUGUUUUGAAUAAUCGAUCUUUAGUCAUACCUUUUGUGAGAGUAUCGGCCAUGUUAUCCUUCGAUCUCACAUCGAUCAAGGUGAUAACCCCUUGUUCUCUCAGAUAAUUCAACAACGCACGUCUCAGUCUCACAUGUCUUCUCUUUGAAUUAAAGAAAGCAUUUUUUACAACUUGAACAGUUGCUUGAUUAUCACAGAACAGGCUUAAAGAAUUAAUCUGUAGCCGAGUCAAAGGAAUAUCCAAAAUCAGAUUCUUUAUCCAUUCUGCUUCUUCGCCAGCGGAAGCUAAAGCAAAAAGUUCCGAUUCCAUAGACGACAAGGCAAUACAAGUCUGUCUUUUGGAUUUCCAAGUAAUAGCAGCUCCACCCAAAGUGAAUACAUAUCCACUUGUGGACUUACUAUUUCCAAUUUCUGAGCACCAUGAGGCAUCAGAAUAUCCAUCCACAGUUGGAGGAUAACCAGAAUAACAUAGAGCAUAAUCUUUCGUACCUUUAAGAUAUCUCAUCAGCCUACUAAGGGCAUCCCAAUGCUCUUUACUAGGAUUACUAGUGAAACGACUCAGCAUGCCAACUGUAAAGGCGAUGUCGGGUCUAGUGCAACUCAUAGCAUACAUGAGACUACCAAUCAGUUUUGAGUACUUUAAUUGAUCCACACUGGUCCCUUCAUUAGGACUCAGUCUUUUAUUAUAAUCACAUGGUGUCUCACUCGGUUUACAAUCACUGUAUCCCCAGGUAGAAAGUAGUUGCUCAAUAUAAUGAGUCUGGCUAAGGGAGAUGACUUGCCUUUCAAAUCUAACUUUCAUACCAAGAAUGGUAUUAGCAACACCAAGAUCUUUCACGUCAAAUUCUUUAGCUAAAGUAGCUUUCGCGUCACUCACUACAGAAUGAUUGGAGCCAAGAAUUAACAUGUCAUCAACAUAUAAGCAAAUGAUGACUAUUUUAUUUGACAUAGAACGAUGACAAAGACAUUUAUCUGAAUAGCUAGAUUGAAAGCCAUAACUCUUUACCACUUUGUCAAAUUUAAGAUGCCACAUCUUAGGUGCUUGUUUAAGACUGUACAAAGAUUUAUUCAAUUUACAAACUUUGUCCUCAAGAUCUUUCAUGACAAACCCUUCCGGUUAUUCCAUGUAGAUUUCUUCAUUUAACUCUCCAUUUAGGAAAGCUGUCUUUACAUCCAUUUGAUGCACUACAAAGUGUUCAAUAGAUGCCAAAGCAAGAAGAAUUCUCAUAGUUGAUAGAUGACACACAGGUGAAUAGACAUCAAAAUAGUCUAUUCCACUCUGCUGUUUAUUCUGUCACGCCCCGGGACCCAGCGGAAGCCCGCCCGGCGCGAGCCCAGACCCGCCAUAUGUCUAAAACAUACAAGGCGUCUAAAACAAAACGAUAAAUAAGGCAAGAAGAACGAGAACAUCUAGCUGUAUCAGAGCAAAGUGUAUUUAGAGGCUACAAUAAAAGAAAUAAACAUAAAGUCGAAAGUCCACUAAAUAAAAGCAUGAAGUAGUACAAAAAAAAUCCCAAAUACAAAUGCUAAACAUAAAAACAUGGGUGGUCUCUAUAUAUGGUAACAAAACUCUCUCUCUCACAAAAACCAAAAAGAAGAGAGUGACCACCUAGGAGCAACAGCAAGCUCCGCUAUCCAGCUACGCGACUCCCUUGCCGCGAUCCCGUGCCUCCGCUAGUGCCGAAGGCUCUGAAAUAAAACCACGAAACAGGGGUCGUGAGAACUAUUGAAUAAUAGUUCCCAGUGGGUAAUUACUGACUUUAGUGAAAUGCGCCACUAGGCCCAAAAGAUACAAAAAGGGGUCAGUGUAUAAGUAUAACAAAAGCGAUAAGUACAACUAGUAAAUAAACAUGAAUACCUGCUACCACAAGAUAUUUCUACUUAGCAUGAUUUUGCUUAAGUAAUAAAAAGGCUACACUAGCAUGAAUGUACCAAAUCAUCACUAGUAUGAUGUCCAUAAGCUAAAUAGUAAAGAUGUCCUUGUUUACUAUUAUAGUCAAUGUCCACAUGGCAUGAUGAAUGCUCAAAGUCAAAUCUGAAGAGACCCGCCCGAAGGCUGUCUGGCCCUGAGACCCACCCGUAGGCUGUUUGGCCGAUGCCGAGCCUAAUGGCCCCGUAGUAGUCAACAUCCCCACUUUAGGAAUGAGCCUUUCCCACGGCAAUCCACUUCGGCGCCCAAUCCCGCACGGCGAAUAUGUAUCGCGAUGGCCAUCUCCGGAGUGCCGGCUUGUAGGGAGCGACCCUCACAAGCAUAUGCGAAUGAGCACAAUGGCAAGUAACGUAAGAUCCGUCUCAAGUACCAAGUCCUCAUGUCUAACAACAUGGAAUGUCACAUAUCUCAAUGGCCUAUAUCUAAGUCAUCAUGUCUAAAACAUGAAAGUAAUAGAUAUCAAAGGCCUAUCACUAUGUCUCAUUAUAGCAGUUUCAUAGUUUGCUAGUCCAAGUGCCCCUUUAUGACACUUUUGGUCACUAAGUCCAAUUAUAGUGUAGUGUUUACAAUUACACAAUUAUGAGUUAACAUAAGGGACAUGAUUCCCAUUGCUAUCUCGAACACUUCUCACAUGCAUAAAAAUUACCCAGUAUGCUCUACUAUAUAGAGUGAAAUUUAUCUUACACAUAGCACAUGCAUUUUAAGUGUUCUAAAAUUCACAUAAAUCCUAUCUAGUAUGGAUUUGCAUUCAAAUUGACGUUACGACAAGUAUAGAAUACAUAGGGGCUAUUUCGCCCCGAUUUUAUGAAGUCAAACCUACCCCAACUCUUGCGCUCCUUCGUUUGCUCCAACGAAGGUGUCCACUAGUCUCCUAGCACCCUAAAGAUGUAGGAACAAGAGUUAAACGAACCUUACGAACAACCAUAAGGUUGAUCAUUAACCAUCUCAAGCUAAGGUGGAGAAAAACUCACCAAGUGUGAAGGAAGCUCUCUCGAUCUCCAAAUGGGAGUUAGAGCCCUUCCAAUCCAACCUAAACCAAGGUUCUAAACCCAUCAAUUAGGUCUCAAAGCCCUCAAAUCGGAAAUCCCCAAAAUAAACCCUAAAAUCCAAAUCUAGGGUUUCAUUUAGUAAAAAGCUCCAAAACUAGGAUCUAGAGGAGAGAAACUAGCCACAUACCUCUAGGAUGCUCCAAACCAAGCUCAAAACCCUCAAGGAUGGGAGUUUGAUCCUCCACAAAGCUCCAAGUCCAAGCUCCAAGCCUCAUAUGAGAGAAAGGGUUGAUGCUCCAAGCUCCCUCAAGCAAGCUCUUUCUCUUCUCCUUCUUCAUCUUCUUCUUCUUCUCUUUCUAGAGGUAUGAGAGAGUGAGAAGUGAGGGAAAGAUAGAGGGAAAAUGGCUCUAAAAGCCCUCUCGUGUAACAAAAUCCAUUUAGGUCCCUCAACAAUCCAAUCUGUGCAUCAGCUCGAACUGGGCAAUUUUCGCCCAGAGGGACUGGUCUCUCCCAGCUGGGACCGGUCCCUCAGGACCCUCCCGCAAAACAAGCUCUCGGGAACCGGUCUUUCCCUGCCAGGGACCGAUUGCCUCAAGAUCUGCCGCACCACUGUUCCGGGGGGACCGGUCUCUCCCUGCCAAGGACCAAUCCCCGAGAGUAAAAACUCUCAGGACUUAACCAAAAUUCAGAAUUCGAACUUUUAGGUCAGAAUACCAUCUACGACCCUCCACCAAGUGUGGAAAAGCUCGGAAUCCAAGUCAAGCACUCGAACCUCGCAAUUUGCAAUGGUCCAAUGUGUUACAUUCACCCCUCCUAAAAAGAAGUUUCGUCCACGAAACUCAAAAGCAACAACAUACCUCAAAGUUCCAUCUGAAAAAGAUAGGGAUAGCGCUCCUGCAAAACGCUCUCCAGCUCCCACGUGGCCUCCCGCUCCCCGUGGUUGCUCCAAAGAACCUUCACAUACGGAAUAUCCUGAUUCCGCAGUUUUCGCACCUCGCGAGCCAAGAUCCUCACUGGUAGCUCCUCGAAGGUCAGAUCAUCCUGCAACUCCACAAGUGUAGCAUCCAACACAUGAGUCGGGUCGAAGAUAUAUUUUCGAAGGACCGAUACAUGAAAGACGUUGUGCACGCCCGAUAGGUUCGGUAGUAGAGCAAGUUUAUACGCUACCGGACCUACACGCUCCAAAAUCUCAUACGGUCCAAUGAAACGGGGGCUCAACUUACCCCGAAUCCCGAAUCUCCUGAUCCCUCUAGCCGGCGAGACCUUCAAGAAUACAUGGUCUCCAACUUGGAACUCCAAGUCUCGCUACUGUCGAUCGGCGUAGCUCCUCUGUGUACUCUGCGCCGUCAAAAGUCGCUCCCGAGCAAUUCGAACCUUGUCUUCAGCUUCCUGGAGCACGUCAGGGCCUAAAGCCAAUCUCUCGCCUACUUCACUCCAAUGGAGUGGCGAUCUACACUUCCGUCCAUAAAGUGCUUCGAACGACGCCAUCUUGAUGCUUGCUUGAUAAUUGUUGUUAUAAGCAAACUCCGCCAUAGGUAGGUGCUGCGACCAUCCGCCCUAAAAGCCUAUCACACAUGCUUGGAGCAUAUCCUCUAAAGUCUGUAUGGUGCGCUCCGACUGCCCGUCACUCUGAGGGUGGAAAGCAGUGCUGAAGUCCAGUCGAGUGCCCAGAGCGUCUUGUAGACUCCUCCAAAAAUAAGACACAAACCAAGUGUCUCGAUCCGAUACGGUCGAUGUAGGUACUCCAUGAAGUCGCACAAUCUCAUCAAGGUACACUUGUGCGAGCUUCUUCCCGGUCCAAGUAGUAUGAAUAGGUGUGAAGUGCGCCGACUUCGUCAACCUAUCUACGAUCACCCAAAUGGUAUCAUGCCCGGCCUGAAAGCGAGGCAAUCCUGUCACAAAAUCCAUGGUGAUCUCUCCCACUUCCACACGGGAAUAGGUAAACUCUGAAGUUUUCCUGCAAGUAAUCGGUGCUUAGCAUUUACUUGUUGGCAAGUUAGACAACGAGCUACAAACUCGUCAACAUCAUUUUUCAUCCCGGACCACCAGUAGAGUAACUUUAAAUCCUUGUACAUCUUGGUGCCUCCCGGAUGUAUAGCAUACGGUGCUCGGUGCGCUUCCUGCAAAAUAUCCUCUUUAAUUCCCGGAUCCGCCGGUACACAAAUCCGUCCGCGGAAACGCAUCAAUCCUUAGUCAUCCACAAGGAAGUCACCGGUGUAACCAUCAACCAUUUUAUCCCGAAUCUUUUGCAACUCCACAUCGGAAGCUUUCUUUUCUUUAAUUCGAUCCAAAAGAGUAGGUUGCACCACCAAAGUCAUCAAUCUCAAAGGUGUAUCUGGAGUCACCACUUCCAACUCCAACCGCUUUAUCUGCUCGAUCAACUGCGGUUGAGUAACCACGUGCAUCGCUAAGUUUUCCGUCGAUUUCCUACUUAGCACAUCCGCCACCACGUUAGCUUUGCCCGGGUGGUAAAGGAUUGUAAGAUCAUAGUCCUUGAGCAGCUCCAACCAUCUGCGCUGCCUCAAGUUCAACUCCUUCUGAGUGAACACAUACUUUAAGCUCUUGUGAUCCGUAUAUACUUCGCACUGCUCGCCAUAUAAGUAGUGGCGCCAUAACUUCAAUGCGAAGACCACGGCCGCCAACUCUAAAUCAUGCGUAGGAUAGUUCUUUUCAUAUUCCUUCAGUUGGCAAGAAGCAUAAGCGAUCACCUUGCCAUCCUGCAUCAAAACGCAGCCCAAUCCAGUAAGAGAUGCAUCACUGUAAACCACAUACCCUACUCCAGCAACUGAUAGGGUUAGGAUCGGGACGGUCGUCAGUCGUUGCUUCAACUCUUGGAAGCUUCUCUCGCACGCGUCAUUCCAGAUGAACUUGACACCUUUAUGCGUGAGCCUCGUGAGGGGAGUAGAUAGCUUAGCAAACCCCUCGACAAAUCUCCGGUUAUAACCGGCCAAUCUAAGAAAACUGCGAAUCUCCGUGACGCUCGUCGGUCUCGACCAAUCCUUGAUAGCCUCAAUCUUCUUAGGAUCCACGACUAUACCCGAUCCCAAUAUUAAAUAUCCAAGGAAGGCUACCUCUCGAAGCCAAAAUUCACACUUUCUCAGCUUAGCAUAAAGCUCCUUUUUCCGAAGUAUUUGAAGUACAAGCCUCAAAUGUUCCUCAUGAUCUGCAUCACUUCGGGAAUAAACCAAAAUCUCGUCGAUAAACACCACAACGAACCUGUCCAAAUAAGGCUUGAAAACACGGUUCAUCAGAUCCAUAAAAGCUGCCGGGGCAUUAGUAAGCCCGAACGGCAUAACUGUGAACUCAUAAUGUCCAUACCGUGUUCUAAAAGCCGUCUUCGAUACAUCCUCAGGUUUGAUCUUCAACUGGUGGUAUCCCGACUGCAAGUCUAUCUUGGAAUACACACACGAUCCUUGAAGCUGAUCAAACAAGUCGUCGAUCCUCGGCAAUGAAUACUUAUUCUUGAUCGUGACUUUAUUAAGUUCACGAUAGUCCACACAUAGGAGAAGUGAUCCGUCCUUUUUCUUGACGAACAAAACUGGCGCUCCCCAUGGCGAAACACUCGGUCGAAUGAAACCCUUGUCCAGUAGAUCCUGUAGGUAUGCCCUCAGCUCUUUUAGCUCCGCCGGGACCUUGCCAUCCUAUAGGUGCCUUCGAGAUUGGAGUAGUCCCAGGGACGAGAUCUACCACAAACUCGAUCUCCCUAUCGGGAGGCAUACCAGGUAGCUCAGCUGGAAACACGUCCUGAAACUCUCGUACCAUCGGGAUAUCCUCAAUCCUAGGGGUAUCAUCCUCGCUCCUCAGCACAACACUAGCCAAAUAGGCUACACAUCCUCGGCUGAUCAGCUACCUAGCACGAGACGAGCUAAUCGACAUCACAAAAAGUGAACUCUGGCAUCCUCUAAACAUCACCUUAGUCUGCCCCGGUUCUCUAAAAGUAACCGUGCGAUUCAUUACAAUCGAUCGUGGCAUAGUACUUGGUUAGCCAAUCUAUACCCAAGACCAUAUCGAAAAUCUCCCUAACUUGCGCAAAGCUAGCAAGUCCACGGGCAUGAAUCGAAUCUCCUACCCGAACAGGGCAACUAGGGGCUAAUACUCUCUAAUAUCCAAAGAUGUGGUUGGGGACAACCAACACGUCCCGGAUGCAACAACAGAAACCAUACGGGAUGCCAUGCAACUCGGCAAACAGCCGAUCUAUAAAUGAAUGCGAUCCACCGGUAUCAAAUAAACCACGAACUCUAAUGCCAUCAAGUAAAAUGAUACCUGCAACCACAUCCUCGGCUGCUGCCGCCUCCUCGGUCUGAGCGGCAUACAUAGCGCCCACUUGGGGCCUGUCGAAAUCCCUCGCUCUGGCGCUGGACGGGUGGCCGCCCAGGCUUGGUACUGUGUCCGACAGGAGUCCCGUGGCUAGCGGCUGGUAGAGCCGGUGCCGAUGCAGUCGACGGUGCUGGUGAAAGAACCUCUCGGGCACUCAGGUCCGAACGUGGCCCUCCUGGCCACACUGGAAGCACCUGCCCGCCCGCUGUGGACACUGCGGUGGGUAGUGAGGGACCACCGCAGAUCACACACGGGAAAGGCCGGGGACCGGUCAGGAACCUCCUCGAGGUGCUGCUGAGCCGCGUCCACGCUGCUGGCUCCUAGGAAGCUUUGGCGGCCUCCUAGAGUGCGUCUGGCUCGCACCCUCAGCCGCAGGCCUCUUGGCCUUACCCUUGUCCAUAGCCUCUUGCCGCUCCUGGACAUCCGUCGCGCCGCUCUCCCCAAUGAGUGCGCGAUCCACUACCUCCCGGUAGGUUUGGAGGUUAGAGGAUUGCACGAAACCGGAAAAUAGACGGUCGCAACCCUUGCUCGAAGAUGCGGGCCUUAUCCUCGUCGUCCCGCACGACGAAAGGGCACGCAGUGUAGAAGCCGAGAAAACUCCCUCUCAUACUCGGCUACAGGUCCGGUCUCCUUGGCGCAAGUUGCGCAAGUCCUGCUCCAUCUUCCUUUUGACGCUGGUCGGAAAGUAGUGCGCCAGAAGAAGCUCCUUGAACCUCGUUCCAAGAUAUAGAUGCCAAGUCAGUGCUGGGGUGCUCCUGAAAAUCCAACCACCAGCGGUAGGCCUCGCCGUCCAAGGUGGUGAGUGGCGAGCCAAACUCUGUCCCUCUUCCUCCACGAAGGUGUCGCGAAAGAGCUUCUCCAUAUGCAUCAACCACUUCUCCACGAUCCAGUGGUCGACCUUCUCGCCAUCGAAAAAUCCGGGGACUGCACCUCCUGAACUCAUUGAGGCGCUCCAUCAGUCUGGUCUCCGCUCCGCCCCCUCCACCAAAGGUAGGGAAUGCAGCUCCAAUCGGGGGCCUCUGCACAGGUGGUGCCGCCAAAACCUCCUCCUGGGGUGCGGCCGCAGGCGCCGGCACGCGAAGAACUAGGGCGCGGGGGACGGCGCUCUCGGUGCAACGUCCACAACUGGUGCUGGCGGUGUAGGGGCCUGAGUCUCCCUAGGAAGCUGCCGCCUGCUGCAAUAGUAAGGUCCUCCAGACGCUUCAUCCGCGCCUCCUGUCGGCGCGCCGCCUCGGUCUGCUGUCGGGCCGCCUCCGCCUGCUGAGUGACCAAAUGAGUGAGGGCCGCAAGCUGGCCCCUCAACUCACGGACCUCGCUGGAAUCCGGAGGUAGCGGAGGUCUCGACCUCCUCGAAGUUUGCCGCAUUGUCCGCCCCGGCAGAUUGGGAGCGAGUAAUCGGCCAUCGUCACUACAACAUCAUAAAAGCGUAAGUUAGUAACCUCACGCUAUCGCAUCCCAACUCAAAAGACAAACCCAAAUCAUGUGAAAGUAAGGAAGUGUGCUAUCCACAACUAACUCCCGAUGUUACGUUGUCGGCCGCCAACGUAACCCUCCGCGAAGUUAGAAGUCCAAACACUCCGAUCAACUCUAACUUUUUAGAGUUAUCAUAAUACCCAAUCAUGAUACUUUCGCUCACAAGUCGAAAUAGACCUCGUCUCUCACGAGCCUAUUUCCCUAUAGUCCAACCGGCCUAAGGUUUGCUAGGUCCCCUAAGACUCAACCCUAGGCUCUGAUACCAAAUUAAUCUUGUCACGCCCCGGAACCUAGCGGAAGCCCGCCCGGCACGUGCCCAGCCCCGCCAUACGUCUAAAACGUAUAAGGCGUCUAGAAACAAAACGAUAAAUAAGGCAAUAAUAAACGAGACAUCUAGGAGUAUCAGAGCAUAAUAAAUGUCUAAAUGGCUACAACAAGGGAAAUGAACAUAAAGCUAUAAAUCCACUAGAUAAAACAUAAAGUGUACAAGAAGAAUUCCAGAAUACAAGUGCUAUAACAUAGAUAACAUAGGGUGGUCUCUAUACAUGGUAACAAAACUCUCUCUCACAAAAAUCAAAAAGAAGAGAGUGAACCACCUAGGAGCAACAGUAACCGCUCCUCGCUAGCUAGCUAAGCGACUCCCUUGCCGCGAUCCCGUGCCUCCGCCGGUGCCGAAGGCUCUGAAAAGGAAACCAUAAAACAGGGGGCGUGAGAACUAUUAAUAAUAGUUCCCAGUGGGCAAUUACUGACUUCAGUGAAUGCACCACAAGGCCCAAAGCUACAAAAGAUGGUCAGUGUAUAAGUAUAACAAAAGCGAAAGGUACAACUAGUAAAUAAACAUAAAUACCUACUACCACAUGAUAUUUCUACUUAGCAUGAUUUUGCAUUAAGUAUAAAAAGCAACUAUGCAUGAAGUACCAAAGUCUCCAACUAGUCAUAAUGUUCCACAAUGCGAAAUAGUAAAGUUCCGUUGUUUACUAUUCUAGUCAAUGUCCACAUGGUCAUGAUCUGUCCAAUGCUCAAAGUCAAAUCUGAAGAAGACCCACCUGAAGGCUGUCUAUGGCCCUGAGACCCACCCGUAGGCUGUCUGGCCGAUGCCGAGCCUAAUGGCCCCGUGGUAGUCAACAUCCCCACUCUAGGAAUGAGCCUUUCCCACGGCAAUCCACUUCGGCGCCCAAUCCCGCACGGCGAAUAUGUAUCGCGAUGGCCAUCUCCGGAAUGCCGGCUUGUAGGGAGCGACCCUCACAAGCAUGUGCGAAUGAGCACAAUGGCAAGUAACGUAAACGAUCCGUCUCAAGUACCAAGUCCUCAUGUCUAACAAUAUGGAAUAUGCCACAUAUCUCAAUGGCCUAUCUCUAAGUAAUCAUGUCUAAAACAUGGAAGUAAUAGAUAUCAAAGGCCUAUCACUAUGUCUCAUUAUAGCAGUUUCAUAGUUUGCUAGUCCAAGUGCCCCUUUAUGACACUUUUGGUCACUAAGUCCAAUUAUAGUGUAGUGUUUACAAUUACACAAUUAUGAGUUAACUUAACAUAAGGGACAUGAUUCCCAUUGCUAUCUCGAACACUUCUCACAUGCAUGAAAAUUACCCAGUAUGCUCUACUAUAUAGAGUGAAAUUUAUCUUACACAUAGCACAUGAAUUUUAAGUGUUCUAAAAUUCACAUAAAUCCUAUCUAGCAUGGAUUUGCAUUCAAAUUGACGUUACGACAAGUAUAGAAUAUAUAGGGGCCAUUUCGCCCCGAUUUCAUGAAGUCAAACCCACCACAACUUUUGCGCUCCUUCGUUUGCUCCAACGAAGGUGUCCACUAGUCUCCUAGCAACCUAAAGAUGUAGGAACAAGAGUUAAACGAACCUUACGAACAACCAUAAGGUUGAUCAUUAACCAUCUCAAGCUAAAGUGGAGAAAAACUCACCAAGUGUGAAGGAAGCUCUCUCUAUCUCCAAAUGGGAGUUAGAACCUUUCCAAUCCAACCUAAACCAAGAUUCUAAACUCAUCAAUUAGGUCUCAAAGCCCUCAAAUCGAAAAUCCCCAAAAUAAACCCUAAAAUCCAAAUCUAGGGUUUCAUCUAGUAAAAAGCUCCAAAACUAGGAUCUAGAGGAGAGAAACUAGCCACAUACCUCUAGGAUGCUCCAAACUAAGCUCAAAACCCUCAAGGAUGGGAGUUUGAUCCUCCACAAAGCUCCAAGUCCAAACUCCAAGCCUCCAAUGGUGAAGAAAGAGAUAAAGGGUUGAUGCUCCAAGCUCCCUCAAGCAAGCUCUUCCUCUUCUCCUUCUUCUUUCUCUUCUUCUUCUUCUUCUCUUUCUAGAGGUGUGAGAGAGUGAGAGAGUAAGAAGUGAAGGAAAGAGAAGGGAAAUGGCUCUAAAAGCCCUCUCAUGUAACAAAAUCUAUUUAGGUCCCUCAACAAUCCAAUCUGUGCAUCAGCCCGAACUGGGCAAUUUUCGCCUAGAGGGACCGGUCUCUCCCAGCUGGGACCGGUCCUUCAGGACCCUCCCGCAAAACACGCUCUCGGGAACUAGUCUUUCCCUGCCAGGGACCGGUUGCCUCAAGUCCCGCCGCAACACUGUUUCGGGGGGAACCGGUCUCCCCCACCAGGGACCGAUCCCCGAGAGUAAAAACUCUCAGGACUUAGCCAAAUUUCAGAAAUCGAAUUUUUAGGUAGGAAUACAGUCUACGACCUUCCACCAAGUGUGGAAAAGCUCGGAAUCCAUAUAAAGCAUUCGAACCUCGCAAUUUGCACAGGUCCAGUGUGUUACAUAGCCUUUAGCUACUAAACGUGCUUUGUAUCUAGCUAUUGAUCCAUCACUAUUCAGUUUCUUUUUCAAUACCCACUUACAGCCUAUAGCCUUAGCCCCUUUUGGCAAAUUGACUAGCUGCCAAGUAUGGUUCUGCAACAGAGAGCUCAUGUCAUCAUCUAUGGCUUCUGUCCACAGUAGGGAUUCCCUAGAUCUCAUUGCUUCUUGAUAAGAAAAUGGAUCAUCCUCUAAAUGGUAAGUAACAAAGUUCUCACCAAAACUUUUGGGAACUCUCUCUCUUGUAGAUACUCUAAUUGGAACUGAUUCAACAGCCAGCUGUGUGGGAUUAGUGUCAGAAGGGCCUGCUUCAGAUUCUAUAAGAGAUUCCGAAAUCAUAUCUAUAGAUCUAGAAACAUUCAAGCCAUGAUCUCUGAGAAACUUAUUCUCGAAGAAUUCUGCAUCUCUAGAUUCUAUCACUGUGUUAGUAGAUAGAUCUAAAAACCUAUCUGCAGCACUAUCUUCUGCACUACCUAGAUAUACACAGGUAAUGGUUCUAGGUCCCACCUUAGGUCUCUUUGGAUUUUGUAUUCUUACAUAAGCAACACAACCCCAGGUCUUAAGAAUAUCAUAUCUACAAGGACGCUUAUGCCAUAUCUUAUAAGAUGUCAUAGACAACUUAGAGUGUGGCAACCUGUUCAGGAUGUGAUUAGCAGUUAGAACUGCUUCUCCACAAUAGGAAGAAGGCAUGCCAGUUGUAAGUAACAUAGAAUUUAACAUUUCAGUUAACGUUCUAUUCUUACGCUCGGCAACACCAUUUGAUUGGGGUAAGGAGCAGUUGUUUCAAGUAUUAUGCCCUCUGAAGCACAAAACCUUGAACCCUGUCAUUGUAUAUUCUCCUCCUCUAUCACUCCUAAACCUCUUAAUUUUCAAGUUGAGUUGAUUUUCUAUUCUAGACUUGAAAAUCUUAAACUUUUCAAAAGCCUCAUCUUUCAAUUUCAACAAAUAGACACCACAAUAUCUAGAAAAAUCGUCCAUGAAUGUUAUCAGAUACUUCCGACCACCUCUAGUGACGUAAUUUCUAAAAUCACAGAGGUCAGAAUGUAUUAGCUCAAGAAGUGUGCUUUUAGAAACCGAAUUAAAAGGUUUUCUACUGAUCUUAGCUUGUGCACACACUUCACAUUUGUCAAAUCGAAUAGAAGUAUAUAAUGGAAUGUUGUGAGUUUUAGCUAGAUGUUGCAUUUUCCUGUAGUUCACAUGUCCAAGUCUAUUGUGCAACAACUUUGGAUCAAUCAGAGUAGAACUCACAUGGUUUAUGCUAUCAGUAUCUAAACUCAACCUAUACAUACCAUUAACCAUGAAUGCACAACCGAAAUAACAUGAGUGAACAGAUAAGUUUACUCUACCAUUCAUAGUUGAAAAGGACAUACCAGCUUUAUCAAGUUCAUAGAUAUCAAAUUCCUUUUAAAUAAAGAUACUACUCUAACAUGUUUCAGAGUUAGUAAUCUACCUGAAGAAAGCACCAAAUUUGCAGUUCCAGCAUGAGUCACUUCUGCCUCACCACCAUUGCAAUUUUCCACGAUGUCUUUCACUUCUGUGACCUCUGUGAGUAGGUUCUUGUUAUUUGCAGCAUGAUAAGUAGUGCCACUAUCCAACCACCACUCAGAAGAAAUACUAGCCUUUCCAAUUUUCAUCGUUCCAAUGAAGGCUUGAGGCUCAGAUUCACUAAUUAGCAUAUUAGCCUCACUUUGUGGUCUGUUAUUCUUUGGCUUCUUUGGUAGUUUACACUCUGCUACCCAGUGACCCCACUUUCCACAGUUAUGGCACUUUCCCUUCUUCUUCCUUUUGGAGAUAGUCUUUUUGGCCUCUAACUGUGAAGAAGAUUCACCUUUUGGUGACUUGGACCUUUUCUGAGGUUUAUUGAAGUGUGAAACUAAGUUGGCAACUGACUUUUGUUGUCCUACUUGUUCUAAACUCUUUCUAGUGCUGUUUUGAUCCUCAAUAUGAAUAUCUCUUUAGUUCAUCCAGUCCCAUCUGUUCUUUCAAUCUGUGCAUUUCAGUCUUGAAAGAAUUCCAUUCAGCAGGUAGCUUACUCAAUACAAGACCGACAAAGAGAUUAUCGGACAUAUCAGAUUUAUCAUCUUUCAGCUUGUUCCUCAUAUUCUCAAGUUAAAUUAACUGAGAGGUGAUGCUUGAAUUCAUAUUGAACUUAAAGUCAAAGAAUUUCUCCGCUAGAAAAGUUUUAGAGAGCCCCUCUUGUUUUUGGAACUGAACGUUCAAGUGAUCCUAUAUCUCUUUCGCUGUCUUAUACUCACUGUAAGUCAUAGCUAGACGAGGAUUUAGAGAGUUCAACAAGUAAUCUCUACAAAAGUCUUCAUCCUUGUUCCAUUGAUAUUCAUCCACAUCUUCAAUGGUAGAUGCAAAAUCACUCAAAAUAGUGUAGAAUAUUUCACAUUCUUUCAUGCCAAAUUGAACAUGUAAUUUCCAACCAUGAAAUUCAAUGACAUCAAAUGAUUGCAGCUUUAUAAUAUCAUAAGAACUACGCUUUGCCAUUUAAUCAGAGCAAAGUGUUAGAAAGAGUGCACCUUGUAGUCCUCAGAGCUCACAAAGUCGAAUAAAGCCCCUGACCUGAAUCAAACUGCUCAGUAGAGGUGGAAUUUGCCAAAAACAGACCCAAAAAUGGAUCCGUAGUGCCCAAAAACCUUAAGGGGAAGUUUGGAUUGACGAAUCUGUAGAUCCAACAUAAGUCAAGUGUAGUGGUGUUUGAGUUUCCCUGAAGUGUGAUUAUUUUUUUGUUGUUUGUUUUGACGUAACCCGUACGGUCUGAAAGUUAAAUUCAAUUACUUCUUCUGUUUGUUUUGAUGUAACUUGGUGCUGGUAAAAUUAGUUUUUUGAGUUCCGUUGUUUGUUUUGAUGUAAGUGGAUCCUAUUAUCUCCUAAAUAUAGUAGUAAAUUUACCACUAUAAAAUUUAACCUAUUAUAUAAUUAAAUUUUUUAUUAUUAUUUAAAGGUAAUCCUAAUUUAUUAUAAAUAAGGUAAUUCUAACCCAUUAUAAAGGAAGUAGAGUUUAGGUUUUACUGUUUAAUUAAUUUUUUAGAGGAGGUUGAGUGUGGUGGAAGUCGAGUUCGGCACUUUAGAGGAGGAAGUCGAGAGUAGGUAAAGUGGAGCUCUAACGUAACUUGAGUUACAUUAUAUUUUUCACUUACACCAAAACAAAUAACGGAAGUGAUGGAACUUGAGUUCCAUCACUCCACUUACAUCAAAGCAAACGGGCCCUAAGAUGAACUGCCCUCGUUGCCGGAAACUGCUGAAAACUUUCGAUUGCCGUAACUGCGUCGUCCGACCUCCGUUCGAGACGAGUGACCACUCAAAACGUUCGUAUCGACGAGUAGAACAGAACCCAAGUGGUUUCACCCUCCGAAAUUGGCUAUAAUUUUUGGGUUUUUGAAUCAAAGAUUUCGGCCGCCUGACUUUCAAACUCAGAUCCCGGCCAAUCCGACUGUCGAAAUCGAAAGUAAAUUAUACCUGUGAGUUCACAUGUUGACGAGAUCUUCAAAUAGACACCUUACUCGCUCAGAUCCGACAUGCGAUCAUAAUACUUCAAGAUUGUUGGAGGUUAUGGGUUUUUGAGAAUAGAUGGCGUUUCAGGGUGCUUGAAGUAUUACAUCAAGAGACAUCAAGUUUGGAAUGCUCAACAGUGUUACCUCCAGCUUAGGAGAACCCUAGGAUUAAUAAGUAAGCUAUUGGGCUCCAGUUGAUAUGGGCCCUAAUACGCUUUCACCUAUUGGGCUUGUAUGUGAACAUAUUAUUUGGAUUAUAUAACAAUAUAUCCAACAGGAUUUGGGCCUUAAGACUUCAAUUCAGAGUCUGGAACACCCUCUAAUGAUUGAAGACCUUUGCAUGAUUGAGAAGCAAUGUGGGAUCCUUCUUCUGGAGGAUCUCAUUUCAAAAGCAGCAUUAACGCAAGGCUGCUCGCCAUUUGGCACUUGAUGGUUGUCCCAUAAGUAGUAGAGCAGUUGCUUAUCUUUUUUCAUGUGUGUACUAUAGCAUUUGUGAGCUUUUAUUUGAGGAUUUGAUGUGAGGUACGAGUUAAGUUUCAAGAAUGAAACUUUUUGUAAGGAGGAGGAUGUAGUCUUCUAAAAAAUUUAAUUGUCGGAACAACUACAGUAUCAGUAACAGGUCGACACUUUUGUAGAAUAUUGGGACGAGUUGCAAUCGUUUGGACAUAAAAUUGACGCUACAAACGAACCCGAAAUGUGAGUAAAAUUCAGCUGGAAUAUUUUAUGUUGUGUUGUACCUAGUGUGUGACUCACCUCCCUCCAACCACCCUUAAUUGGGGAUUUUGUAGGUUAGCGAAUCAACUGAAUUAUACCUAUCUUCUUCUCCUCUCUUCUUCUAAGUCUUCUUCUUCUUUUCCUCCUCCGGUCCUCCCUCUCUCCCAGCUGAACUUCAUGCGCAUUGCUGCUAGCAGCAGCAUUGCUGCCAGCUACUGCAGCAGCAAGGAAGCUACAAAAGCAGCAGCAGCAGGGAAAUUGCAGCAGCUGCAGGGGAGUUUCAGCCAUCUUCUUAUUCUUUUGCUUCUUCUCCUACACCAUUGGUAGCUGCAGCAGGAGAAGUAGCAGCAGGAGGUGCUGCCAGCAACUGCAGCAUGUGCUGCCAGCAGUGGCAACCUCAAUGUGGGUUGAAUUUGAGUGAUUGGUGACCUCAACUUCGAAAUUGUGAUUCUUGGGGAGAAUAAGGGAGUAGGGGAGCUCAGUUUGGACUCUUUUCCUAGCUGAAGUUAGAGAGGUAUGUAUGAAUGAGACUUGAGUGAACAUGAAGUUUGAGCUGAAAUUCCAGCAUUGUUGGAUUUUCUAGGGUUCUUUUGAUCCAAUUCUUGAAUCUAAAUUGUUGGCAGCAAAAUUGGGUUCUUGGUGAUGUUCUAGGGAGGGAGAGGAUCUAGUGGAUUUCUUUCUUCAUCUAAAUUUCAGGUAUAUUAGUAGUUAAUUGCUGAAGUUAGUAUGCUGAAAUUUGAUGUCUUGUGGAAAUUGAUGGAUUUCUUUGAUUUUUCGACUUCGAUUUCUUCUAGUGAAUUAAUUGGGGGAUUCUUUCUGGUCCUUGCUUCAAUUCCAGCUGUUUUGAGGUUGCACCCAACUGAACUUUAAGGUACAGUGAUCCAAUUGUUAAGUUAAUUCAGUUCCGAAGUUGAAGUUGCAUUUCGUUAAAUUUUUCUUGACUCCAAUCUUGAUUUCAGCAUAUCCCUGGUUGGAGAGAAAAAAAAGAACCCCUUUUUUCCCCUUGUUCUUUCUCACUUGAAUUGUCAACUAGGAGCUUGGAAUUGUAAUGAAUUCCAGCAUUGGAUAAGUGAAUUCAGAAAUUGAUGAAGUUUGACCAUUGAACUAAAUUAGCUCCUUCCCGCCUGCUUGUGAGGUCUUUUCCUUUGAAUUCUUGCCGAAUUUGAAGCUGAGGAAGAUACGUUGGUGAUUGAAUCCUUGCUGUGGUUGGAUUAGCACACAAGGCGGGUUUAAUUUUCCAAAAUUGAUGGAAUUUCCAUUAUGUUUACUAAACUUUCAGCAUGAAUGCUAUUGUUUGUUCAAAGUUAUUUAUUCUAGCUUAGAAUCACUAGAAUAUCGUUUGAAAUGCUGAAAUCUGAAUAUAGAACAUGUUAACCUGCAUGUAAUGAUUUUUUAUGCUGAAAUUAGAUGGAAACAGUAGUGAAAUCUGCACUUUUUAGCGUAGAGUUGUUCAGUUCUUAUGAGGUUUUCUCUUAUAGUUUGGUUUCAAUAGUUGCUUGAUUGUAUUAUUAUUAUUAUUAUUAGAUUCGUUUUUAGGUUCACCGCUCUGCUGACUUUGGCAUGGGGCGAUGAGUUUACAUUGUGGUCAUGUUUGGUUCACUCUUUAUUAACCGUAGAAUCGGAAUAUCCAUUCCGAUUCUAGACGUUUGGUAUAGUGUAAUCCCAUUGCGAUUCCAUUUCCGCUCCAGAAUGUGAAUCCACUAAUCCGGAUAAAAACCAAUCCAGCCUCGGAUCCCGGAUUAAAGCUUGACUCCAAUAUCAUACGAUAAAAAAUUAAAAAAAUAAUAAUAAAAAACUUCGUGGCGAAAAAACCUCUGCGCUCGCCCCGGCCAUCCCUCUUAACCCUCUCGUAAGCAACUUCUCCCCGGCCAAUCUCUCUUUCUCUCUCUCUCUCUCUGUCUCCGACCGUCGUCUCUCAAAUCAUCGUCAUCUCUCUCUCUUCUUUACUAUUCUUUCUCGCUUCUCUACUAUUUUUAUUCUCAAAAGUAAAUCAAUUUCUUUCUCUAUUGUCCGAAAAUUGAAUCUUUUUCUUUGAGGUCAACAUCACAUAGAGCAUUGGUACUUUCUUGUCAAAAGAAGAAGACAAUGAACUUUGGAUUUUGAUAAUAAAAAAGAAACAAUAAUUUUAGGGCUUGUUUACUUCCCUUAUUUUAGACUCGUUGAUUCCGACAGUUGUUGUUUGUUUUAUAGGAAUAGGAUUUCGAUUCCCAUUCCACUCUGGAACAGAAAUGGCCCAAUCCGGCUUUGAAUCCUGGAAAUACCUCUCCAAAGUAAACCACUUAAAAUCUACUCUCACAGAAACCUUCCCAUCCUCUCCCCUCAUCAUUCUCCUCUCCCUUAACCAAAACCUCUCUCAAAGUACUAGAUGUCCCUAUUGUUCAUUUUGAUUUCCAUUCCAAUAAUGAAACAAAAUUUUUGGAUGAUUCGUCAUUCUAUUUCCCAUUUCAAUACAAUUCAAUUCAAUUUUCUAUUCUCAUUCCACUCAUAAACCAAACAUACCCUUUUAUUAGGGAAAAAAAACUUAUCCUAUAAUUUGGAAAAAGAAAAAAAUUGCAAGUAAUUUUAUCUGAUACCAACUUAAUCUAUCACACGCCGGGUUAUACCGGAACUUGGGUUAAGAUUCUCCCCAAUCAAAUGAAAGCUCAACUCCAAGAGAAAAAUCCAAAGAAAAUCCAUUAAAAUCUCAACUUGCUCAAAAACUGGGAACUUUUACUAAAACUUAAAAAGAAAAAAAUCCAAAAAUACUUGGAGAUUUGAUGAAGUGAAGCUUUCCACAAACUUUGAACUUUAACUAGCUGUGCAUACACCUCUCCUACAAUCUUAAACUUCGAAACAUCACCAAAAUCCAAAGAAAAGUCGAACUCCUCAAGCUGCCAAGCUGCUGCUAUUCUGGGAAUGCUCCAAUGGUGAGUAGAAGAGGAAGAAAGGCAAUGAGAGGAGGAGAAUGUGAGGAAGAAGGAAAUGAGAGUGGAAGAGAGAUGAUCUCAGCUAGCACUAUACUCUAAACUCCUAAUUAAAAGUAGUUGGAGGUGUAAGUUGAGCCUAAACCUCAACAUAACUCUUUAUAAUAUUCCAGCUAAAAUCAAUAGUACUUCGGAAUUAUUUGUUUUACCAAUUUCGCGUCCACAUCAAUUUCGACUCAUCCUAACACUUUUCGAAUGUGUCGCUUAAUCCACAGACUGUAAUCAUUACAAGAAAUAAUAUUCUAAUAUAUAUUUUUUUUCAAAACACUGCAUCUCCACUUCUACAAAAAGUUUUGUUCUUGAAACUUAAACCAUACCUCAAAGAAGAACUCUCAAACAAGUAGGGAUAGGUCUCCAACAUCAUAGCCUCCGGCUCCCAAGUCGCUUCACGCUCCUCGUGAUUACUCCACACAACUUUUACAUAGGGAAUGACUCGGUUGCACAAUUCUUUCACCUCCCAAGCAAAAAUUCAUACUGGUCUCUCCUCGUAUCUCAAAGUCUCACUCAGCUCCAGUACAGUGAAAUCAAUUAUGUGCGAGGGAUCAAAAAUAUAUUUUCUCAAAGCCGAGACAUGAAAAACAUCGUAGAUACUAGCUAACUAGGGGUGGCAAUUCAGCUUGCCAUUUGCGAGCCAGCUCGUGUUCGGCUCGAAAUGAGCUCGGGAUCAAAUCGCUCAUUUAGUAAACGAGCCGAGCGCGAGCUGAAAUUUUCAGCUAGUUUAAUAAACAAGCCGAACAUGAGCUGGGGUCAGUUCGCUCGUGUUCGGCUCGAUAGCAACUCGAAUACAUAUAUUUUAUAUUUUUCUAUAUAAAUUAAUAAUUAUAUAUGUAUAUAAUAUAAAUUUUUAUUAUUUGAUUUUCUGCCCAAUAUAAAUAUAAAGCCCAAUUCAAUUAUAAAAUGAUUCAUUUAUAUGUAAAAUUUUAAUUAUUAGAUCAAAGUAUAACAGGUAAGAUCUUAUAAAUUUAUUCCUUAUAUAUAUUCUUUCUAAUCCUUCUAAAUUCUUAUUUAUAAGCCAGCUCGCAUUCAGCUCGAUACUUUAACGAGCUAGCCCGUGCUCGGCUCGUUUAUGAAACGAGCCAAACACGAGCCGACCACAGCUCGCUCAUGUUCGGCUCGUUGAUGCCCCUAUAUAUAUAUAUAUAUAUAUAGAGAGGGAGAGAGAGAGAGAGAGAGAGAGAGAGUAGGGCUACUACACUCUUAUGAGUAUUGGGCCCUUCGUACUCAUAAGUUGUUUUCAAUGAUGGAGCUUCCGAAUCAACGAUCCACUCCGUUAAAUAUGAUCUAGAGUAUUUCAAACUUCUAGAAAAUAAAUUUCGUAAUUUUUCGAAAUCAUAAUAAUGUUGUAGUAUAUUGAACUUUAGCAAAUCGCGCAGUUCAAGUAAGGAGAAGGGUACUUGGAACCAUCCUACGUGUUUUAAAGAGCAUAAAGAUGUUUUCGGACAAGUUUGAGAGUCAUUGGACCCUUGGAAGUGAGAAAGUGCAUUGUAAUUUCGAAUUUGGCAUUUUCUGCAUUGGUGUACCGGUACAAGCAUAAUGCUGUACCGGUACAGCAAGCAGCAGCAGCAGCAGGUGCGUGGUAGCAGGGAUCUUUUGGUCUUUUGGGCUUCUUGAUCUUAUCUUUAAGAGGUAGCUCGACCCCUGCAGCUGUAGAAGGGUUGCAGGAGCCUUGAGAAAGAGGUUGAAUAGAUUUUCUUCUCCUCUCUCUAGAGUUUUUCUCUCUACCAUGGGAAAUAAUGGUUUAAGUUGAAUUUCUUUCAUUAUUCGAUUUCAGCUGAUUGGGAGUACUUUGGAGUUGCUACGGAAGGAAGGAACAGCAGCCUUGCAGAGCACUUCGCAGCUUCGAACCUAGCUGUAACUCGGUUGAAGCUUUGGAGAGGUAAACUAGUAGUUAUUCCUUAGUUUGAAGCAUAAUGAUGAAUUAGUGUAAUAUUGGGGUUUAGGUGUUACUAGCAGUGUAAAGAGAGAGAGAGAAGAACAUUCUGCAGCUUGGGAAGGAGACUUGGACUGUGGAGCUUCAAAUUGAAGCUAGAGAAAGGUACUAUUCAAUCUGCGAAGGUGUAUUAUUUAGUAAUCCCCUUAGCUGAAGGGUUUGGUGUAAAGUAAAAUAGUAUUAACACUUGACUUCGCAGCAGGUUUACUUACUCUUUGGAGCGGAGUUGAUGAGUUUUGAGACUGAAUUUGAGUACUUAUAUCUUCGGCAAAGUAGAAAUAUUCCGUGGGGAAUUUAAACAAGUAAGACUUCAGCUUAUAAUACAUGGUUUUCUAAGAAUAGCAGGACUGUUUUGAGGCUAAUUUGCAGCAGGCUUGCGACAGGGUAUUAGAUAGUUCUCGACUGAAUUUUGGGAGCUUGUGACGGUGAAUCUAGUGUCUUCACUUGAACCAAAACAGGAGAUUAGAGCUGCAGCCUGACACAAGGCUAUGUUGCACAGAUACGGAUACGGGGAUACGGAUACGACACGAUACGGAUACGGCGAUACGGCAAUUCCUAAAACUUCUAGGAUAUGAUACGCGGGAUAUACUUGAGUAAAAUAUUAUUUUAAAUAUAUUUAAAUAUAUGUUGAUUAUAUGUAAUGAUAUAUUGAGAACAAUCAGAAUAUCUGGACUAUAUUAAGGAAUAUAUUCUAAUAUGCAUUAACUUGUAUAAUUGUUUUACAUAUGUUCAUAAAAAAAGAUAAUCAAUCAUAUAAAAUAAUAAUUCAAAAAGUAUCAAACCAACUGUCAUCCAACUUGAUCAAAUGAUAACAAUAGAUAUGUAGUUGCACAAACUAGAUAAUUAGUCAUUCAAUAUACAUGUCUGUUUUGUUAGUUCUAUUAUUAAAAUAGUAAUAAAAAAAUAUGGUAGCAAUGUAAUAGAGAAGUAAAAAAAAUCAUAUUUUCUAUAGCCUUUGUUGCUUAAUGCUAGGUUGACAAAUUAGAUGAAAGAGAGUAUAUAUUGUGUGAAGAUAGAACGAGAGGGAGCGCCUUCUACCAUUCAAGAGCAAAAAGAUAGAUGAAAUGACAAAUUGAACAGAGAUUGGCGUUUUUCUCACUCUUUUCCUUCUUUCUAAUAGGUUUGGACUUGAGUUUUUUAAAAAAAUUUUAAGUUUCGAUCAUUUUAGAUCAAAAAAGAAUCUGGCCGUGUCCCCCCCGUAUCCCCCCGUAUCCUUCACGUAUCCGAGCCGUAUCCGAUAUUUUUUUAUUUUUUAAAAAUGUCCGAUACUUCAUUCCCGUAUCGGACACGUAUCGGGCACGUAUCGGGCGCGUAUCGUUAUCCGAUACAUAUCCGAUACGGGUACGGCAUGAAAUUUGAAGUAUCCGUGCUUCAUAGACACAAGGUAAAAGUUGCUGAAAGUUGACAUUCGAUACUAGUUUCAAUGUAGUUUGGUAAAGUGAUUCACAGCUGUGGUCCAGCAGGUUGAGUGAUCAUUUGAAGAUGGUUAGUAUAACCUGGAAGCUGAAGUUGUGCUGAUCUAAGGGGGGGGGCCAACUUGAAUUAAAGCAAGGUUUAGUUUAGACUAAACCUAGGUGAGAAUUUAGCCUUAACAUGGGAUUAUGUGAAGUUUUACCUUUGACAUGUAAAUUCAGCUUUUAACUGACUUUGACCCGAUAUUAGGGAGAUCGAAGACUCCAGGUUACGCAUACAAGAGUGUGUUUCACAAAUCGGCAACUAAUAGGUGGGUUUGACCUACCCAGAGCAAGUGGAAAUCCCCUAUGUUCUAUAUGAUACUAUAUGUUGAUAGUAUGUGCGAGUACUAAUGGGCAUUAGUUACAGAGUGUUGAAUACUAUAACUUACUUGCCAUUGAAUUGACUGAAUCUUCCUAAUGUAUUAGAAUCAUAAGUAAUGAACUUGAUAUUGGACUCAAUGCACAUUUAGUAUAUGACUUUAUCCUACUUUGAUGAAGUAUAGAAUAAAGAGGUUCAUUUAGUAUAUGGACAGGUCAUUCAUUUGUAUUGAUAAAUUCUCAAGAUCUUGGACUUAUGUAUUUUUUGUAAUAUUUUUCUAUAAUUGCUGAAACUAGUGAAUACUAGCAUUUCCUUUAUAUUAAGAUUCCGACCUAGAGGUCGUAAGCAAGAAUUUUACAUGUUAAGACAUGAUGACUGGGAACUGUUGAACUAUGGAUCGUGCUUGCUUGCCAUUGUGCUCAUUCGCACAUGCUUGUGAGGGUCGCUCCCCACAAGCCGGCACUCCGGAGUUGGCCUACGCGACAGAUUGCUCGCCCGUGCGGGAUUGGGUGCCGAAAUGGAUUGCCGUGGGGAGUGUUUACUACCACGGGGCCAUUAGGCGCGGCGCAAGCUGGACUACCUUGUGUAGGUUCUUAUGAAUUAAACUAAAGUUCCAAAGGAUAGUAAUCGAUGAUUACCUUAUUUAAUGUAUAGUUACACAAUCCCAGAAUUUGUCCAUGUGCAUAGUAACUACUUUAUUUGCUUUGGCUUAAUUAACAUGUCUGAUAGUAUGAUACAUAUUCAUUAUUAAUUAUCAUUGAUUUAUCUAUCAUGCAGUAAAUGUUGUUUACAUUUCUAAUAGUACAUUAUGAGCCUAGUGGUGUAAUUCGCCGAGGCUGGCGGCUUACCCACUGGGAACUAUUGUUUAAUAGUUCUCACGCCCUUUUUAUUGUUGUUUUUACAAAGCCACCUACAGGAGAGACUAGGGAUCGUGGCAAGGGAGUCUCGUCUAGCUAGAUCUAGCUUGGAGCGUGACUAGAUGAUCACCUUGCUACUCGGGCUACGGCCGAGGGUGAUGUCCCCAUGUAUAGAGAGACUACCGUUGUACUUAUAUUGUAUAUAUACUUGGGAUGUAUAUGUGGUUUUGACUAGAGUUUUCAGUUUUGAUGUUUUUCUGUGAUGUUUGAGAUUUUGGGGUAUUUACUUACUGUCUUCUGAUAAUCUUAUUAUUGACUUAUACUUUGCUCUGAUAUCAGGUUAGAAUUCUUCGAUGUUUUCCUCCUUUCAACAUGGUUUUCUUGUAGACGCCUUAUAUACUGCAGGUAUAUGGCGGGUUUGUGCAUGUAUCGGGUAUACUUCCGCUGAUACCCGGGCGUGACAAAUGUCCAUCAAGCAGGCAUAAAAUGAACGGUCAAAAUCGAACGACGUCUUAAAAAUGAAUGAUCGGAUCCUUCAAUUUAAGAUUGGAGUUAUUGAUCUUUAUCUAGGGAGUGAAUAGAAUUUUCUAUCAAAAAUUCAACCUAUUCGGAUUCUUUUGCACCGUUAAACUAGCAAGUAUUCCAUACCGGCCGUUAAAAAUUGUCAAAUUUGUGAGCUUUUGAUCGUAAGAUAAUGAUGUCGAAAAAUUAUGAAGUUUGAUUUCUAGAAGUUUUAAAUGCUCUAGAAAAUGUUUAAUGGUAUGGAUCGUCGAUUCGGAAGCUCUAUCAUCGAAAACGACUUAUGAGUACGAAGGCGAUCGUACUCAUAAGAGUAUAGUAGCCGGACUCUAUAUAUAUAUAUAUAUAUAUUUAUAUAUAUAGAGCUAGUCUCCUAUACUAUCUAUAAUACGGUGUAUAGUCUCGUUUUCGAUCUUAGAGUGUUCAAAUCAACGAUCCACACCGUUACAACUGAUCUAGGAUAUUUAAAAUUUUUAAAAAUAAAAUUUUAUAUUUUUUUGACAUAGUUUACUUUAUGAUCAAACCAUUUCAAAAUUGUCAAUUUUCAAAAGCUACUAUGGCGAGUUUGGAGUUUAACGGUGUAGAAAAAUCUAAAUUUCUUCAAAUUUUGAUAGAAAAUACUUUAAACUAUCUAGAUUAAGGUUAACAUUCUUGAUCUUGAAUUUAAAAGUCCUAUACUCAAAUUUUAAAGAUUAUUCAAUUUCCACCGUCCAUUUUGACAUAAUUUAUUUACUAAGUAAACGAUGUCGAAAAAAACUAAAAUUUUAUUCCUAAGAACUUCAUAAACCCUAGAUCAUAUUUAACGGUGUGGAUCGUUAAUUUGAGCACCCUAAGAUCGAAAACAAGACUAUAGUACCGGAGCUCCGAUACUAUAGAUAGUAUAGUAGCUAUUCAUAAAAUUAUAAUUUAUAAUAAUUUGGAACAGUACAUCCCUCCUUUAUAAAAAGUUUCGUUCUCGAAACUUAAACCAUACCUCAAGAAGACCUCUCAAAUAAGUAGGGGUAGGUCUCCAACAUCAUAGCCUCCGCUUCCUAAGUCGCCUUACGCUCCUCGUGAUUACUCCACACCACUUUUACAUAGGGAACGACCUGGUUGCACAAUUUUUUCACCUCCCGAGUAAGAAUUUGCAUCGGUCUCUCCACGUAUCUCAAAGUCUCACUUAGCUCCAGUGGGAUGAAGUCAAUCAUGUGCAAGGGAUCAAAAACAUAUUUUCUCAAAGCCAAGACAUGAAAAACGUCUUGGAUACCAGUUAACCGCGACGGUAAAGCAAUCCUGUAGGCCACCAGUCCAACCCACUCCAAUACCUCAAAGGGACCAAUAUAACACGGACUUAGCUUUCCACGAACUCUAAAUCUACGAAUCCUCCUAAACAACGAGACUUUCAAAAACACAUGGUCUCCAACCUGAAACUUCAAAUCUCGUCACCUAGUAUCAACAUAGCUCCUCUGCCGACUCUGAGCUGCUCAAGAUGUGCCGUGCAAUUCUGACCUUUUCUUCUAUCUUCAACAGAAUGUCUGGACCAAAAUCUUUCUUUCACCCACUUCAUUCCAAUAUAGGGGUGAUCGAUACUUGCGUCCAUACAACGCUUCAAACGGAACCAUCUAAAUGCUCGCUUGAUAGCUGUUGUUGUACGCAAACUCAGCCAGUCUCAAGUGCCGAUGCCACCUUUUUCCAAACUUCAAGACGCAGACUCUCAACAUAUCUUCAAGAAUCUGAAUAAUCCGCUCUGAUUGUCCAUCGGUCUGUAGGUGAAAUAUUGUACUGAAAUGAAGCUGUGUACCUAAGGCAGUCGGUAGACUCCUCCAAAAAUGCGAGUUGAAUCUCGAGUCUCAAUCUGAUACAAUCAAAAUAGGUACUCCAUGAACCUAUUCCCUCUAAAUACAACUGAGACAAGUCAGAUCUAGACCACAAGUUGAAGCAGACUUGCAGAUGUCGGCUCAGACGCAUCAAAUCACUGAGCUCCAGAUAAUCCGACGACAAAAUCCGUCGUGAUCUGGUCUCACUCCCACUCUGGAAUCGGAAGGGUCUGAAGCUUGCCAGCAGGUACACGAUACUCGGACUUCACUUGUUGAUAAGUCAAACACUGAGAUACAUAUCUCCCAAUAUCCCUUCGAGGUAUUGGAGCGGGUUGGACUGGUGGCCUACAGGAUUGCUCUACCGUCGCGGUUAACUGGUAUCCAAGACGUUUUCAAUGUCUUGGCUUUGAGAAAAUAUGUUUUUGAUCCCUUGCACAUGAUUGACUUCAUCCCACUGGAGCUAAGUGAGACUUUGAGAUACGUGGAGAGACCGAUGCAAAUUCUUACUCGGGAGGUGAAAAAAUUGUGCAACCAGGUCGUUCCCUAUGUAAAAGUGGUGUGGAGUAAUCACGAGGAGCGUAAGGCGACUUAGGAAGCGGAGGCUAUGAUGUUGGAGACCUACCCCUACUUAUUUGAGAGGUCUUCUUGAGGUAUGGUUUAAGUUUCGAGAACGAAACUUUUUAUAAAGGAGGGAUGUACUGUUCCAAAUAUAUAUAUAUAUAUAUAUAUAGUUAACUAGAGCUAGAAUAUUAUCGAUAGCAAACCGGCACUUUUGCCACCCAUUUGUUUUUUAUGAUGGAGCUUCCAAAUCGACGAUCGGCAUCGUUGAACAUGAUCUAUACCACUUGAAGUGUUUAGAAAUCAAAUUUUAAAUCUUUUUUACAUCAUUUGCCUAAUGAUCAAAGGGUUUCAAAAUUUAUAGUUUUAAUGGUCGAUAUGAGGCGUUUUUUCGUUUAACGGCGUAAAGAUAUCCAAAUCAAUUAAAUUUUUGUUAGAAAAUUCUUAAAACUAUUUAAAAUAAGAUCUAUACUCUUGAUCUUGAUUACAAGACUCCUAGCAUCAUUUUUUAAAGAAUAUUCAAUUUCAGCCGUUCAUUUUUGUGUCCACUCGAUGGAUUAGAGAACAAUAUCGAAAAUGUAUGAAAUUUGAUUUCUAAAUACUUCAAAUAGUAUAGAUCAUGUUCAAUGGUGUCGAUCAUCAAUUUGGAGGCUCUAUCAUCGAAAACAAAUGGGUGGCAAAAGUGCCGGUUUGCUACCAAUAGUAUUCUAGCUCAACUAUAUAUAUAUAUAUAAUAAUAUUAAGAAUAUUAUUUCGGAUGAUACAGUCCGUGAAUUAAGGUGCACAUCGGAAAGUAUUGGGAUGAGUCAGAAUUGUUUUGAACGCGGAAUUGGUACCACAAAUAAUUUCAAAAUACUUUUGAUUUCAACUGGAAUACUAUUAUGUGUUAAGUUGGGGUUUAGGCUCAACUUACACCUCCAAUUCCUCCUAAUUGGGGAGUUUGGGGUGCAGUGCUAGCUGAGAUUAGUUCUCUCCCACUCUCAUUUCCUUCUCCCUCACAUUCUACUCCUUUCUUUACCCUUCUUCCUGUUCUACUCACCAUUUGAGCACUCUCACAGCAGCAACAACCUGGCAGCAUGAGGAGUUCGACUUCCCCUUCGAUUUUGGUGAUGUUUGGAAGCUUGGAAUUAUAGGAGAGAUGCACGCAUAGCUAGUUCUUGAAGUUAAGAGUUUGGGGAAUGCUUCAUUUCAUCAAAUCUCCGGGUAUUUUCGGAUUAUUAAAGUUUUGGUAAAAGCUGUCAGUUUUUUUAGCAAGCUGAGAUUUUGAUGGAUUUUCUUUGGAUUUUUCUCUUGAAUCUUGGUUUUCUUUUCGUUGGGGAGAAUCUUUACUUCAUCUAGAGCAAGUGGGAACUUUGUUUGAGCUGAAUCAAAGGUUGGUUUUUAGUGAAUUUCAGUUUUCAUUGAGUCCAUCAACCAAAAAUCAGCAUUUGGUGGUGUUUUUUAUCACUUUUGCAUGGUGAUUUCGUGGUAACUAUGGGGUUCUUUUGAUGGAUUAGGGGCUUGGGAACACAUUUGGGAGUGUUGUGGUCUUCCUCAUUGCCUUGCUUCCCUCGUGGACUUGCUGGAAUAGCCGCAAGAGCUGCCGGAACUCAGCUACAGUGCAGUGGUAGCAGCAGCCUAGUGCAGGGACAGCAAUGAUGUAUUUUCAAAAUUCCUUUCGAUUGGGACUUUGUUGCUACGAUUUGAAGAUUUCUGGGUGUUCCUAAGGUUGAGAGGAACCUAGUAUUUAAGUUUGAGCCGCUGAUUUGAGGUGAGCAUAGCUGAAUUUCAGUUUUUCGUACUGUAUCGCCGUUUUGUUGGAAUUUAGCUUGAUUUAUUAUUCGGCUCAAUCCGAUAGGAAUACUUACGAUUUUUUUUGCUUUGUUUGGUGAUUUUGGAUCUGAGACACGUGCCCGCUGAGUUUCAUCCUGAUCCGUAGUUGGAUUUGCACUCUAGGUGGGUCUGAACUAAUACAUCAAAAACCGCAAACUGCACUCUACAUCUAGUGUAAUUUCAGCAUGUUGUAGUUAAGACAUAUGUUGUUUUUUCUACUUAAUUCUAGAUAUGGUUGAUAUGAAUCUUGUACUGAGUUUAUCUUAUUUCUAUACUUCCUUGCAUAUGAUUGCUUAGUCAUUUGGUUAGGAUCCACCUUAUAUACACUACCUAUAUAAUGCAUAUGAACUUAGAAUAAGAAACUCCAUUCCUAUGUUUGAUUAGUUCAUUAAUACUCAUGAUGUUGAGUAUGGGUUAGAGGUAGUGUGGUUAUCAUUGAGUUGGGGCUGGACAUUAUCGAAUUAUUGACUCGUUGAUUUCACAGUAACCGUGGGAUUUUGGACGGUUGUACUGAGUUUUCAAUUAUGCAUCGGAUUAGGACGAGAUUAUUUAUUUAGUGGUUUUGUUGAUUCACCUUGGUCAUGAGCAUUGAUUUUAACCUGUGACAUACUUGACCUAGUUACUUUAUCCUUGAGUCGGUCGCUCUCCUCAAGUGCCACUCCGGAGUUAGAUGUUUGAGUACUUUUGGGUAUGUUCCACGUUAACGAUCCGCAGAUUGUUAGUGAGAUAAGAUGUGAUGCUAGUGCAGGCGGGACUGGGCUUUCGAGCCAAUCGAUUGAUUGGGUUAUUCUCGUCGGAUUAUUAUAGUUGAUGCAUAUCAUUCCAUUUAUACUUACUCAUUCCAUACUAGUGUAGAGGCAUAGUACGUAGUUUUCCUUUCAGCAGCUAUUAUAUAUUCUUUACCACUUUGCCCUUGUCGCCUCUGGUAGACCUAGUGGGUGGGUUGUACUUGUCGAUGACGUACUAUUGAGGACUACUGGUUUUUAGUAGUUCUCGCACCCUCUGUUAAUCCUUUUUUGCAGAGACCUCUACAGCGAUAGCGGCAACUGCGGACCGAGGUAAGAGGAUCGCUAGCUAGAUAGCUCUCCUUCCUAUUUUGUGGGUUAGUUUUGGACCCGAAUAUUAUUUUUGUUAGACUAUUGUACACAAGGAUUUAAGUGCUGUGGCAAAGGAUCUUGCCGAAAAUUUGCCGGCACAAUACGACACGGUGCUUGCCGAACCGUACCGAUGUGUCCCGGUCACAAAAAAAAUGUGUGCCAACACAUAAUGAUAUGAAAUAUUUAUUUUCUUUAACAAUAAAAUUUUCUAAUUGCUUAUUAUGUAUCUUUAACAAAUCUUUUAAACUUUAUUGAGAAAAUUACUUACUAAUUUAAAGAAAAAAGGGUUUUGAGCUGUGUCAUCGUCACGGAGGCUGUAUCGUGCCUGUAUCUUGUUGGCACGAUAUGGUAUGGUAGAUACAGUCCAUACCGAUGGACACUUAAAUCCUUGGUUGUACAUUUUGAAUCUGGCUUUUGCCAACUGGCUGUAUUUAUUUUUAUAUAUGGGAGAUGGAUCUUGUAUUCGAAUGAUAUUUUUAUACAGUUCAAUCUUUAGCUAGUUUAAUACUUCAGCUCUGUUUUGCUCUUCUGUAUUGCUUUAUUAUACUUUAAGCAGGUACUAGCGCUUCGUGGGCACGGGGCUUCCCGUGUACACGGCACCACGGCGGAUCUGUUGGCUAGCCCAAAUUUCGGAAUAACCCGGAGCGUGACAAAUUAAGUUGGCACCUAUUUUUAUAACAAAAUAUAUAUUUCUCUAUUUAUAUUUUCUCUAUUUAUAUUUUGAAUAUAGUAUUCAAAAUGAUUAAAAGUAAUUAAAAUACUAUAAGAAUAAAAUUGGUAUACUUUUUUAUUCCAUUUCUAAUGUCUAAAUCAACCAAACGGUUCAUUCCGACCCGAUUCAGGUGGCGAACCAAACAAACUGAUGUAAUAAGUCAUUCGUAUUCCGAUUCCAAUUCCGACUUCGAACCAAACACGACCUGUGUAUUUUUUUUCUUAUCCCUUUAAUUGGGCUGCAAAUGGAAUCGCCCUAUGUUCUUCUACAGUCGAAAAAUGAAAAGAAAAACAAUGGAAAAGAACUCCAAGAGCAAAAGCAGAAGAUAAAUAGAUUACAGAGACACACACAGUAAAUGAGCUAAGUUGACAUUCUCAAUACCUCAUUAAAAGCAUCUUGAUUCCAAAACCAUUCAUCCUGCUCAAUCUCUUCAUCCAGCAACUUAGUCAUUCUACCAAUGCCACAAAAUUAAAGACUCAUCAAAUUAAACCACAAAUAAGCAAAUUGUACUAGCUCAGAUUACUACAUCCAAACAAACAUCACCCGAAAAUGAUGAUUAAAUCACAAAAAACACAAAACAUGAAACACAACUAUGCUUCUAUGUUGAAACCUAUAUCGGAACAAAUCGAACCACAUAGAAAAGAUCAGAGACCUGUUGGGGGGGGAGAGAGAGGUACCUCUUGCCUCUGGUGGCUCGAGCGGAGCGCUCGAGGAGAAGGAGAGGAUCCUCGUCGGGAUCCGCCAUGGAUGAGAGCUUCGUUGGAGCUCGGCGAUGGUGAGGGAGGAGGAGGAGAAGAGGGGAGAGGCGAAGUGUUCGCUUUUGCCCUCGUCGACCAGAAGGAAAAACCUUUGGUUAGGUUACUGGUGAGUUUAAUCACUUAUUAAUAAAUCGGCGGGCAUGAGAACUCGGCGCUUUUAUUUCGCAUUGCCGAAUUAUGCACUAAACUCGGUGUUUAAACAUCCCUGUUGCCGACUUACGAGUAAUCGCUGUGAACUGGGUAAAAAUUAGUGGGUGUUUGGCCUAGCUAGGGGUGGAAACGAGCCGAGCUUGAGCGAGCUUAUCUCAGCUCAAGCUUGGCUUGAAAUUAAUUUCGAGCCUAAAUUUAGGCUCAAGCUCGGCUUGAAAUUAAUUCGAGCCGAGCUCGAACGAGCCUAAUUUCGAGUCGAGCGAGCUCGAGCCCUAAACGAGCUGUUUGAAAUUCUUAACACCGUGCAAUCUAUAGUUUAAUUUUUAUAAAAUAUUAUCUAAAAUUCGAUACAAAAAUAUCUAAUAGCUCAACAUACAAAAUGAAUGCAUGAAAUACAAUAUUAUAAGAUUAAAAAAAAUAGGAAAAGCGAUUCUAUGAGGAGUGAAAAAGAGAGAGAGAGAAAUUGCUGGUUUGAUUUUGUGGGCCCAAUAAUCUAAAUUCUAUAUACAUAUAAUUAAAAUACAUAAUAUAUAUUAUUUUAUUAUAUUAUUGGGUAUUGUAUAUAUUAUAUAGCGGAGAUUGCUACUUCUGCUUUGUAGGACCUUUAUACUCAUAAGUUUUCGAUCGUUAGAUCUAUGCUUUUUACUAUUUCCAUCCGUAAAUCAUACUGUUCAACCAAUCAUCCACCCAAUCCUAAGGGACCACUAUCAUCCUAAUUGCACAUUCAACGGCCAAAAAUUUAUAAGUAUAAAAAAGUCUAUACUCAAAAGAGUAUAGUAGCCCUAGCUUAUAUAUAUAUAGAAUUAAGUACUAUACUAUUAAUAGUACCAACCGCUUGUUAUUAAGUUUUCGGCCCUUAGAUGAAAGGAUGUGUGGUCAGGAUAAUUGUAGCCCCUUAGGGUUGAGGAGGUGGGUAGUUGAAUAGUAUGAUCUAAUGGAUGAAAAUGGCUUAAGGGGUAGAUCUAACGGUAGAAAACUCGAUAGCACCAAACGCUUGGUACUAUUGAUAGUAUAGUAAUCGGACUCUACAUAUAUAGAUAGAUCUAACGGCAGAUAACUCGAUAGCACAAAACGAUUGGUACUAUAAAUUGUAUAAUAGUCGGACUAUAUACAUAUAGAGAGAGAGUCCGGCUAUUAUAUUAUCGAUAGUACCAAAUGCUUAGUACUGUCGAAUUUUGUACCGUUAGAUCUACCCCUUUGACCAUUUUCACCCGAUAGAUCAUAUUAUUCAACUAAUCACCCACUCAACUCUAGGAAAUCACUAUCAUCAUAACUGCAUAUCCCUUCAUCCAAAGGCUAAAAACCUAAUAGCAAGUGAUUAGUACUAUUAAUAGUAUAGUAGACUAAUUCUAUAUAAAUAUACAUAUAUAUAUUUCGAGCUUUUAAAGCCUAAUUCGACCGAGUCCGGUAAUACUCAAGCUUGACUUGAAAUUAAUUUCGAGCCUAAAUUUAGGCUCAAGCUCGACUUGAAAUUAAUUCGAGUCGAGCUCGAGCAAGCCGAAUAUCGAGCCGAACGCGAGUCGAACACGAGCCGGCUCGCUCAUUUGCCAGCCCUAGGCUCAUUUGCCAGCCCUAGGCCUAGCAUUUGAAAAGUGAUUUUGGGUUCAAAAGUAAAUUUUUGAUUCAAUAGAAUGUUUGGCAAUCACCUAUUUAAAAUCUGAUUUUAAUUUUUAGAUUGAAUGUUCUAAUUUUUUAGGCUCAAAAUCAGAAAUAGCAAAAACCUGCUUCUUGAAAUCUGAUUAUGCUUUUAGACUCAAAUUUUAAAUUUUAUUUUUAUUUUAGAUUCUAAUUUUAAAUUUAAAUUCAAAUUUAAAUUUUAAAUUUUAAAUUUUAAAUUUUAAAUUUUAAAUUUUAAAUUUUAAAUUUUAAAUUUUAAAUUUAAAAAUUUUAAACUUUCAAUUUAAUAUAAAAUUUACUAUUAAAUUUAAAUUUUAAAAUUUUAGAAUUUAAAAUGUAAAUUAUAGAUUUUAUUUUUCAAAUUACAAAUUUAAAUUUUAAAUUUAAAUUUUAAAUUAAAUUUUAAGUUUUAAAUUUUAAAUAUUAAAAUUUUAAUUAUAAAUUUUGAAAUUCAAAUUUAUUUUUUGAAUUUGAAAUUGAAAAUUUAAAUUUUCAUUUUUUAAAUUUAAAAUUUUUAAUUUUUAAAUUUUCAAAUUUACACAAAAAUUUUGCUUUAAAUUUUUGUGCAAAUUUAAUAUUUAAAACUUUAAUUCAAAUUUAAAUUUUUAACUAAAAUUUAAAUUUUAAAUUAUUUUAAAAUAAAAUUUAGUAAAAAAUUUAUUUUAUGAAACAUUUAAAAAAUUUUACCAAAUAGUUUUACAAAUUCACUUCAGAAAAAUACUUUCUAUAUAUUUAAAUUUAGUCAAACACACUGCAGCUUUUAAUCAAAAUCUUCAAACCAAAACCUAUUCUGCAAAAAGCAUUUUUCUAGAAUUUAGGCCAAACGAGUAAUUUCUUCAUGAGGUAGUCCUUUUCUUCACUAUAAACAUCUACUUAAAUACACAUGCAGUUAAUUGAUUUCUUCGGCUGGGUUAAGACUAAUUAUAGGUAGUUAAUCUGUGUAAUAUUAAAAUUUGGUCUCUAAACUUUUUUACUUAAACACUUAAAUUAUGAACUGUCAUAUAUAUUGCAAUUUAGUUUGAGUCUUACAGAAAAAAAAAAAGAGCUAUUUUUAAUGAAACGACCUUCUAUCACUAUUUGUAAGCUAAUAAUUAAACUGAGUUAUACGAAUAAUUUUUUUAAUAUAUAAGCCACUUUAUAGGUGAGAUUAAAGUUGUCAUUUUCUAAGAAAGAUUAGAUUAGUUUUUAAAGGUCAAGGAGUGAAUUGCAAUAAUAUACGCAGAAGUUUGGGGAUUAAAAUAUUUAUUUGAAAUGUAUAUAGCGACAAGUUGCAAUAUAGGAAUAGCAGCGAAUAUUUAAUUUCUAUCGAAGAGUAUUAUUAUUGGAGCCACCAACUUUCUUACACGUGCUGAAAUUAUACUGAAUAAGAGAAAACAAUUUUAAGGCCCUCCACAACAACCCCAAAUCCUUUCCUUGAAUUGAUUAGCUCUCACUAGAGAACACUGAUCUUCGUACACAUUUAGGACUAAUUCAACCUUCAUUACACAGUCGGCCGCCGCAUAUUUUAUUAUUUUUCGUACUCUGAUAAGGUCACCGUACUGAUAUUUAAUUACUUUUUUAGUUACACAACGACCACAUCAAAACAAGGACCGAUUAAUUCUUACUAAAGCUUUUCAAACUAGGCUUCUUUUUGUAGGAAAAAUUAAGUAUGACCUUUUCAAGGCUCUAUCAUAUGAUGAUCUUUUCGAAGCCUUAUCAUAAAACCAAGUCCCCACAUCCUCUUCUUCUAUAUGUACUCAUAACACCCCAGCCACUUUUCCAUCAUCAAAAACUAGCUACAACAUUCAAGUUUCAUUAGUUUCUUCUGCAGUGACCUACAAGCUUCAGGAAACAUAAAAUGGCAGCUAAAAUCCUCCUCUUUGCUCUUCUUUUAGUCGCCUCUCCUUCUGCAUUCGCUUCCGAUCCUAGUCCUCUCCAAGACUUUUGUGUCGCCGAUGAGAUGUCUCAUGGUAAGCAAUUUAAUACAUUGCUCUUCUCUGUCAUUUGAGUUACUAGGGUUAAGUAGUUGCAAUUGGGUCCCUAGCUACGUACAAAGCUAGUUGUACAUAUGUAGUAGUAUCACUAAUUAACUAUGUGUUUAUGUUCCUGCAGUGUUUGUUAAUGGGUUCGUGUGCAAAGAUCCAAAACUAGCGAAACCUGAGGAUUUCCUCUUCUCCGGCCUAGACAAGCCCGGAAACACAUCCAACAAGUUCGGAUCGAAAGUGACCUUAAUCGAUGCAAGUAAGAUCCCCGGUCUCAACACCCUAGGUGUCUCGAUGGCUCGUCUUGAUGUUGCACCUCAUGGUCUCAACCCACCACACAUUCACCCACGUGCGACCGAGAUCUUGACUGUGAUAGAAGGCUCCCUUUAUGUUGGAUUCGUGACGUCGAACCCUGAGAACAAGCUCUUCUCUAAGGUCCUUAACAAGGGCGAUGUGUUCGUGUUUCCCGCGGGUUUGAUUCACUUUGAAUUUAACUUUGGUCCGACCAGGGCAGUCGGCCUUGCUUCCCUGGGUAGCCAGAAUCCGGGUCUCAAUAGGAUUGGCGAAUCGGUCUUCGGAUCAAACCCUUCCAUUUCUGAUGAUAUUCUUGCUAAAGCCUUUCAGGUGGACAAGAAAACCAUAGAUUGGAUUCAGGCUCAGUUCACGUCGACCAAUCAAAACUAAGAUAUAUACUAGAUGUAAUUUACUUUUGAUGUUUUGUUUUUCCAAUUAUCGCAUGUAAUCUGCUUUUGUUAUUCAUGUCUGUGGAUUUAUUCAUUUGAUUGUAUCAAUUGGAUUGAAUAAGCAAACAAUAUGGUACUGUUUGCAUGUGAGUUAGCAAUAACAAAACUACAAAUUUAUUUAUUAAUGACUGGCACUAGUUCCACGAUUAAUUACCCGUGGCCUCCGCUUCUCUCUCGAAAAAAAAAAAAAAAGAAGAAGAGGGCAACUUUAUUUCCCUUUUAUUUAAAAAAGUUUGCAUUUAGCUUGACAUACGAGGGCAAAUUUUAGAUAUAAUUUUGCUUGACAUAUGAGGGCAAAGUUUAGUUAUAACUUUUCAAAGUAGGUUUAUAUCAUACGUUUAGAGUGUCGGAUCGUUGGCGCUAAUCAUUAAUCCUAAAUGUUCAAAUUGUUAGAAAUAUAUAAUUAAUUCACUUAAAACAUAUAGACACAGCGCCAUGAGUCUCGAUUAUGACUCAACCAUGGCCAACUAAUCUCACGCCACUUUGAACAUGACUUGUCAUUGCGCCAUUUCAAACAUGACUCGGUCCAACCUGGUUUCCUGCCACAGGGCAGGAUGCUGACUUCUGUAAGCUAACAAUUUUUCCCUCCAGUACCUGCACAAAUUCACAACAUGCAGGAAUCGAACUCGUUCCCUCUGAAUCAGAUACCUCUUGUCGGAUCGUUAGAGCUAAGUAUUAAUCCCAAAAGCUCAACCUAUUAAAAAUAGGCAACCAAUUUACUUAAAAGCCAUAGUUAGUUAAUUCGAAUUCGACAAAAAUUCGGUACGGGUAUAAUAUGCAUAAAAUUCGUUUUCUAAGUUUUAAAUUCGUUGAAAAAUUCAGCUUAAAAAAAGGAUUUGGUAUAAAAUAUAAAAUAUAAGAUAUAAAAUAUGAGAUAAUCUAUAUUUAAACAUAAAAUUAUAAGAUUUUUAUUCAGAUUUUCAAUAAUUCGGGAAUAAUUCGCGAAUUAUUCAUGAAUUACAAACACAGGAUCCACGGGUCUCGAUUGUGACUCAGCCCAACCAACUUCACGCCACUUUGAACAUGACUCAUCCAACCCAGCCUCUCGCCAUUUCAAACAUGAUUUGGCCCAACCUGAUCUCUAGACACAUGGCAGGAUGCUAGCCCAUUUAAACCAACACGGAGUCUCUUGCCUUAACGCCGAGCUACUCAAAUUUAAUUAGUCUUCGAUUAGUGUAAUAAAUUUGUUAGAAAUAAUUUUUAUUAGAUAUGCCUCGAAAUUUGGUAAUCGAGUUCGAUUUUGUACCUCUAAUUUGCCGACAGCUUCACGGUGCGACAAAUUUUAAAAGGUAAUUUAUGAAGUAAAAAAUGGAUUUUGUGGUGAGUAUGGGCUCAAGACCAUUCUGAAGAAACCCCUAACGGAACUGCUGUCAGCCGAAUUCCGUAUUCCCUGACCCGGUCAAGGAUUUCCCUAGAAUAGGGAUGCGAAACGGCUACACGUGGUGACCCUCGAAGUUUGCGCCAUUCGACAGAUCAAGCGAUUCGGCUGAUGAGGGAUCCGAUCAGCCGAGUUUGUACCCUCUAUUAUAGAAUCGGUUCGGCUGAAUGAGCCGAAUGUACGGAUUGCACAGUAUUUUCAAGUCGGCUGAAGUGCCGAAUGCUUUUAUAUAUAUUAACUUGAAGUUCGAAACAAGUACAAAAGGUGAUGCCGGUACGGUGUACAGAAAAUCUAACUUAAAACUACUCUUAAGAAAAAACAGUAAAUGUAGGGAAGCCAUAAAAGAUUACAAGUAAACUAUUCCUUGAAAGCGAGGAAAAAAAUGCGUAGAAUUGAAAGUGGUCUUCUGUUCGUAGGGAAAAGACCCCUCUUCCAAGUGUCUUCUGUUUAUUUAUACUCUGCCCGUAGUUAUUCAAUUAUCUACAUUAUUGGUCACUUCUCCCUAAUUUCGUGGGCCACUACGAGCCGAUCUCAACCACAUGAAACCGUCUGCGGUUUGCUGCAACUUGCCUUUUGUUCUCGGUGCACCAAAUGUCGUUUAUCUCCAGUUUUAAAGUCCCUGGCUGUGUUGUGCACUUAUUCACCACGUGGCACUAUUUUACUGUCACCAACAUGAACUUUCUUUCUUUUUUUUCCUACAGGCGAUACAUUAUAUUGUACUUCCACAAUAUUUGUACUCCCGUUUUUAUAGUAAAGUUCUCUCCUUCUUCAUCCAUGAUUUUUUUCGUGCAAAAGAUUUUUCACGUAAAUCUUUCUGUUUUAUUUUAUUUUACUAUUUUGUGGUUUGUCAUUCUCCAUUAACAUAUAUAUCGCUCAUCAAAUGUUUCGAUUGCCAUUUUUCGUUUUUGUUUGUGCGCUCAUCAAACAAUUUUAUUCAUAUGUUAUGAGAAUUUGGAUUUGGUAUUUUGUGCAUGCCUGCAAGAGUAUUUGAACUUUUUCUAGCUAUCCAAUAUUGAUUUUAGUUAUUGAACUUAUGACCUAUGUGCAGUUUGAAAUUAAACUAUAAAUUCAAAAAUUUUCAUCACUUAUUAUUAAGCCAAAAACUAAAAAAAAGAAACAACUUAGCCAAUUCAUAAUUAUGUAAUUUCAUAUAUAUCCAUAUAUAUCGUUGAAGUUGUUUUGACUAAUUUAAGGGGUUGUUUGGUUGCAUGCAUUUCCAACUGUACUAAGUUGGAAAUGCAUGCAUCUAUUAAAUUUGUGUUUCGUUUGGUAUAGUUAGACCAAACUGCUGUAGUUGUAUAUGCACGAGAAGGCCCAAUUGUUGCAAUUGGUAUUGCAGCUAAUUGCUGUAGUACCAAUUGCAGCAAUUGGGCCGGAGUCUGCUCACCCAUUAAAAAAAUAAAUAAAGUGUUUUUUUUUUCACACGCUUCUUUUUUAACUUUUUUUUUUUCAAGAAUACCUAUUCAUAAAAUCUGCUAGGAUUUUAAUAAUGUCUGUUAGGGUUCAAUAAAAUUUUUUAUACGCUUUUUUUUAAACUUUUUUUUUCCAAGAAUAUCUAUUCAUGAAAUCUGUUAGGUUUAAUAAUGUCUGUUAGGGUUCAAUAAUUUUUUUUUCACACGCUUCAUUUUUUGCCAGUUUGCUAAUUCAAUAAUGCCUUAAUUUUUGUUUUGACCAAAUUUAUAGUACGUUUGCAUUUAAAAUUCAUUACAUUCAGGCUAAAUUACAGAAAACCUCCAUGUCAAAAUUCGAUUUUUCACUUUUCCUCCCUGUCAUUUAAAAACUUAUACUUUGCACCCUUGUAAAAUGAAAAAUGUGCACUUCACCCCCUACCGUUAGUAAUCUGUUAGAGUUCCGUUAUAAAAUAUUUUUUUAUGCCAAAAAUACCCCUCCGCCCUCUUCCCUGUUGCUUCGCCUUCCUUCGCCUCGCCGCCGCCUUGCCACCUCGCCACCUCGCCCUCCUCUAUUGCCUCGCCCUCGCCCACAUCUCCGCCCGCGCCCAUAAACACCCCUUCGCCCUUCUCCGUCCCGUCGCCUUCACCCUCUUGUCCUUGCCCACCUCUCCAUCCAUGCCCACCUCGAUCUCCUCCCUACUGUCGCCGAAAUCGAUGGGCGGUGAGGGUGCAGAAGGAGAAGGGGAGCAGGUGGAGAAGAAAAUGGAGAGAAACCGCGGCCGAUCGAGGCGUGAAUCGCAGCCGAUCGAGGCUGUGGUUGAGGAAGAUGAGGGAGGAGACGAAAAUGGUAAGGGGCAAAAUGGUCAUUUUAUCAUCACAGUACACGCCGUACCCCCCCUGUGAACAUUUUUCAUUUUACAAGGGGGCAAAGUGUAGGUUUUUAAAUGACAGGUGGGGAAAGUGAAAAAUCAGAUUUUGAUAGGGGAGUUUUAUAUAAUUUAGCCUUAAAUUUAUACAUAAUUUUGUAAUAUAGAAAUAAUAUAUAGAUAUAAAGUCUUAAUAAAUAACUAAAAGAUCUCAUGAUUAUGCUAUGUAUGUUUACAAGAGGUAAUCUUACAUUUUUAUCUAAAAAUUGAUAGGAUUUACAAAUACAAAUCUCAACUGCAGCCUACCAAACAGAAGAAAUGUAAUCGCAGCAGUUGCAACUGCAUAAAAUCAAACAGACUAGAUAUAGUUAUGGCUGCAGCAUUUACAGCUGCAGGUACUUCCAACUACACUGUCUUUAUAACUAUAUUCAACCAAACGGCCCUUAAUUGUUGUAAUAACAAAAUUGAAAAAUGAUAGUGAUUAUAUUAAGUGUAUCUAGCAAAUUAAUUAACGGAGAUUAUUAAUUAUAGAGUGGGUGACCACAUGACAAUGUGGUAUAUACAUCUCCUUGAUUAAAAACUAUGCUAAUUAAUUCUUAAAUAUAUAUUUGUUAAACUUAUCAAAAUAUCCCGAGGAUUGUAUCAUUUUUUUCCUUUUUUUUUUGUGUGCAUGAGCAUGCAUUAAUGAAUCAAAAAAUUUGACAAGAAAAGGAUGUUAUAUAUACUGAACUCUUAAUUUCAAAAGAAAAUGCUACUAAACAAUGUUGGAAGCGUGAUUAGCUCUGAUACAAUUGUUGGAAUCGGUACUUGUUCUGAUACCAAUUAUAUAAGAUGACGACGAAGUUCGAAUUCAGAAAUUUGACAAGACCAACAAUUUUGCAUUAUGGCAAGUCAAGAUGCGUGCUAUAUUGACACAGCAAGGAUUACAGAAAGUACUGUUGGGAAAAGAAAAAUGUCCGAUUCGUUGAUACCGGAGCAGAAAGAGGAGAUUGAUGACAAAGCUCUCACGGCAAUACAAUUAUAUAUAUCCGAUCAGGUAUUGCGCGAGGUCUUAGAUGAAAAGACUGCUGCAGGGCUUUGGCUUAAAUUGGAGUCUCUCGACAUAACAAAGGCUCUCACUAACAAAUUAUAUUUAAAGCAACGUCUCUUCAAGUUGCGUAUGGCGGAAGGUACCUCUAUUAAGUUGCAUUUAGAUAAAUUUAAUUCUAUUAUUAGGAUCUCCACUCGAUAGAUGUUAAAUCGUCAAGAAGAUGAAGCCUUUUUAUUAUUAUAUUCUCUACUGCCCUCUUAUAAGAAUUUUCGUGAGAUCUUCUUGUUCGGACGAGAUACUCUAUGUCUCAAUGAUAUUAAAUCCUCUUUACUUUCAAAAGAGAGAAUUGACAUGCAGAUAAGCAACGAGACAGGUGGAGCUUCAAGACAAGGUUUGGUCGCUAGAAGGAGGUCUCGGAAGAAGGGUUUCGAUAAUAGAGGUACAUGUAGAUCAAAGUCAAAGCACAAGAAUCUGAUUUAUGGUUAUUGUAAGAAGAAGGGUCACAUAAAAGCUAAUUGUUUCAAGUUGAAAAAUAAAGAACAACGGAAGAAUAACGGUGAUAAAAAUUAAGGUCAGAAAAAUACCAAUACUGAAACAGUAGCAAGUAUUGGAGCAGGAGAAUCAGAUAAAAAUGAUAUCGUCUUCACAGCUACGGAAAAGACACGUAGACAGGAUGAAUGGCUUAUGGACUCCGCACAUGUUCCUUCUAUAUCUGUACGCAUAUAGAAUGGUUCUCGGCGUACAAGCCUAUUCAAGGUAGAGAUGUAUUGAUGGGAAAUCACUUUAAGUGUACAAUUAUUAGAAUUGGCACUGUUCGGGUACGGAUGUUUGACGGAGUAGUGAGGGCUAUAUCUGAGGUUCAGCAUGUUCCGGAUAUGAGAAAAAAUCUGAUCUCAUUGGGUAUACUUGAUACUAAAGGCUUUAAGUGUUCAGCUGAUGGAUUGAUGAAGGUCGCUAAAGGGAAUCUGAGUGAUGAAGGCAGUCCGACAUUAUAUGUUCUACAGGGUUCCACUGUGACAGUUUCAGCAGCGGUGACUUCUUCCUCUAUUUCAGAUUCAAAUAGCACCGAAUUAUGGCAUAUGCAACCGGACCAUAUGAGUGAAUAUGGUAUGAUGAAGUUGGGCGAGAGAGGUUUACUUGGUAGUCAGAGUUUAGAAAAGUUGGACUUCCGCGAGCAUUGUGUUCUUGGCAAACAAAAAAGAGUCAGCUUUAAGGCCGCAGUUCACCGGACAAAAGGUACACUGGACUAUAUUCAUUCUGAUCUUUGGGGACCCUCUCGUACUCCUACUCAUGGUGGUGCUAGAUAUAUGUGACUUUUAUUGACGACUAUUCUUGUAAAGUGUGAGCAUUUUUUCUGAAAAGUAAGAAUGAGGUGUUCAAUUAUUUCAAGCAGUGGAAGGUCAUGAUUGAAAAGCAAACUGAAAAGAAGAUUAAGAAAUUAAGGACCGACAAUAGUUCGGAAUUUUGUUCGUCAGAGUUUGAAGAAUUUUGCAAGAAUGAAUGAAUCGUCAGACAUAAAACCAUUAGGCAUACUCCACAGCAGAACGGGGUGGCCGAACGGAUGAACAAAACUCUUUUGGAGAAAGCUCGUUGUAUACUCUCUAAUGCUGGCUUAGCUAAGAGUUUCUGGGCAGAGGCGAUCUCUAUGGCAUGCUAUUUGGUAAAUCGAUCUCCACAUUCAGUACUUGAUUGCAAAACUCAGGAGGAGGUUUGGUCUGGCAGCCCUUCUGAUUAUUAUAAUUUGCAAAUAUUUGGUUGUCCUACUUAUGCUCAUGUCAAUGAAGGCAAGUUAGAACCUAGGGCUAAAAAGUGCAUUGUUAUUGGUUAUGCAUUGGGGGUUAAAGGAUAUAGAUUGUGGUGUCCUGAAUCGUCUAAAUUAAUUAUUAGUAGGGAUGUCACAUUUGAUGAAUCUGGUAUGUUAUAUCCUAACCGAAUUCUUCUAAUGAGACCCCGAGUGCUAGCAAGCAGGUAGAGGUAGAGACCAAUGGUAUAGUUCAGUCGCAGGAUUUUUCUCAGUCAGAAUAAGUUCAGUCGGCAGACACCUUAGUAACUGAAACUCCAUAAGUUGAGAGGCAGAGUAUUGCUUUAUGCAGAGCGAGGAGAUAGAUCAAACCACCGCAGAGAUACGGUUAUGAAGUUGGUUGCUUACGCUCUUUCAGUGGCACAAGAUACAGAAGAAGAAGGCGGACCUUCCACAUAUAAUUAAACUAUUUCUAGUGCCAGUUCUGCAGAGGGUUGCUGGCGAUGAAUGAGGAGAUGGAGUCUCUCCAUAUGAAUCGCACAUGAGAUUUGGUAAAGCUGCCUACAGGCAAGAAAAUUGUUGGCUGCAAGUGGGUCUUCAAGAAAAUGGACGAAAUCCCCGGCGUGGAAGAUACAAGGUAUAAAGCUCGUUUAGUUGCUAAGGGCUACAGUCAGGUAGAAGGUGUUGACUUUAAUCAUAUUUUCUCACCCGUCGUGAAGCAUACUUCUAUUCGUGUUCUUUUAUCGUUAGUAGCCAUGAAUGAUCUGUAUCUUGAGUAGCUUGAUGUUAAGACAACUUUUCUACAUGGAGAAUUUGAGGAGCAAAUUUAUAUAAAACAGCCGGAGGGAUUCAUUGUUGAAGGAAAGGACGACCAUGUUUGUCUGUUAAAGAAAUCGUUUUAUGGCUUAAAGCAGUCUCCUCGACAAUGGUAUAAGCGGUUCGACUCUUUCAUGACAGGUCGCAGAUAUUCCAGAAGCAAGUAUGACAGUUGCGUAUACUUCAGAAAGCUUAAUGAGGAAUCUUUCAUAUCUUUGUUGCUCUAUGUUGAUGAUAUUUUAAUUGCUUCCAAUGACAUAGUUGAGAUAAAUAAAUUGAAGACUUUACUUAAGAGUGAGUUUGAGAUGAAAGAUCUAGGUGCUGCUAAGAAAUUCUUAGUAUGAAAAUUAAGAGGGACAACAAAUUAGGAUUACUACAUUUGACACAAAAGAAAUAUAUAGAGAAGAUUUUUAAAGCAUUUCAGGAUGACAGACGCAAAAUCGGUGGGCACUCCUUUUGCAGCACAUUUCAGACUUUCCGCCGAGUUAUCACCACAGUCCGAUGAUGAGCAGGAGUACAUGUCACAUGUUCCUUAUUCUAGUGCUGUCAGGAGCAUCAUAUAUGCCAUGGUUUGCACACGGCUGGACAUCUCUUACGCAGUGAGCAUGGUUAAUAGAUAUAUGACCAAUCCUGAUAACGCUCAUUGGUAGGCUGUUAAGUGGAUUCUGAGAUACUUACGAGAUACCAUUAGCACUUGCUUGGAGUUUGGAAGGUGUAAAGAUGGUGUGGUUGGAUAUGUUGAUUCAAAUUUUGUAGGUGAUUUAGAUAGGAGGAGAUCAUUUUCAGGUUAUGUAUUCUCUAUUGGUGGAUGUGUAGUUAGUUGGAAAACUUCAUUGCAACCUAUUGUUGCCUUGUCUACAACGGAGGCGGAAUAUAUUGCGAUGACAGAGGGUGUGAAGGAAGUUAUGUAGCUAAGAGGCUUAUUUGGAGAAUUUACUUCUUGUUGGGAUCCGACGAUUGUUUAUUCAAACAGUCAAAGUGCUAUUCAUUUGUCUAAAGACCAGGUGUUUUAUGAGAAGACAAAACACAUCGAUGUAAAGUUUCACUUUGUUCGGGAUGUGAUUGGGAGACGCACGGUGACUGUUAAGAAAAUUGGUACUGAGGACAAUCCAACGGAUAUGCUUACUAAGUCUUUUAUUAUUGCCAAGUUCAAUCAUUGUUUGAACUUGGUGGCAGGUGGCAGCACUUGAGGCCCUAUGGGGCGUUUGGAGAUGACGAAGCACGGAGCGUUAAGGAACAUUGAGGCGAAUUAAAUUAAAGGUGGUGUUUUGUGGUGAUCUCGAUAUAGCGGUUAAAUUACAAAUUAAACAAAGGUGAAGAUUGUUAAAUUUGGUUUAGAUUUGUAGUUAUCUAAAUUGAGGUUAAAUCCUAAUCUAAUUGAGAUUAGAUAUAAUUUAGAUUUAAUCUGGCAUAUAUGAAUUAUGAGCCGGAAUGUAAUUCAAAUUGAAUUAGAUUAGACUUGCGUUUAGAAAUCCAUUUAGAUUGGAGUACCAAUUAGGCUCUAAUUUGAAGCCACAUCUUUUAUAUAUAUAUAUAUAUAUAUAUGCCGGCUAAGUUAAUGAAGCCGCUGCGCCCAAAUUAGGAAGCCAUGCACUAAUUAAGUCUAGCUUGCUGCGUGGUUCGUACGGCUAAAAGGAGGGAGGCCGAAGCUCUAAUUAAACGUUGCAUAUUAGAGAGAGCCAAGCCGCCGCAAUCCUAAUUAGACCCAUGCCAAUUCCGUACGGCCUUGGGUCUUGAGAGGAGCCCUGUGCGCUAAGUAGCCCUAUGCGCUAAUUAAGGCCAAUUUGUGGUCCAUACAUAUUGGAGAGAGAAGUCAUUUUGGAGUUGCUCGUAGGAGGGUUGCGGCAUUUUCGAUCUAAUUAAACUUUGGUAUUUUGAGAAAUCUUCUUUGUACUCCGUCUUUCGACAUUAAUAAAAUAUUUUCUCUGUCUUCGCCCGUAGACGUAGGCCGUUGGCCCAUUGGCCAAACCACAUAAAAUAUCGAUGUGCUCUUUCUUCUUUUUUUUUUCUUUUCCUGCAUUAAGUUAUUUUCUGGAUCUAUUUUUCGCUAUUAUAAUUUUAACACAUAUAAUCUAUGAGAAUAUAAUAUAAAUAAUAGACUAAUGAUUCUCGAUCAAUCAACAAAAAAAAUCUAUAUAUAUUUGCAGGCCAUAGUAUAUAUAGUUAGUCAAGGGAGCUAAUGAAGGAUACGAGUGUAACAUGCAUGCAAUAAUAGAAUAACGUUGAUAGUACAAUAUAAAUAUAUAUUAGAAGCCACAUGUAUCAUGCGAAUCAAAAACACAUAAAUUUAUUAUUGAAAUACAUAUAGACGAAUACGAAGUGUUUGCUUAUUCAAAACAAGUACAGACUACCAAUUAAUUAACUAUUAAGAUUAUGUAUAAAAUAAUGAGUGUCCUUCAAGCUAGCUAGUAUUUGUUGUUAAUUGCUCUUUAUCACUUAGAACUGAGUUUGGAGCCAAUCUACAAUCUUCUUAUCCAAUUGAAAUGCCUUGGCAAGAAUAUCAUCGGAGAUGGGAGGGUUCGACUUGAAGACUGCGUUAGCUAUAGUGAUCAGGCCAGGGUUCUGACUGCUGAGACCUGAAAUGCCAAAGCCACUUGUCUUUCCGAUAUUGAAUUGAAAGUGAAUAAGCCCUUCGGGGAACACGAACACAUCGCCCUUGUUCAAAACUUUAGAGAAGAGUUUGUUAUCGGGGUUAGAUGUAACAAAACCGACAUAGAAUGUGCCUUCCACUACCGUGAAGACCUCAGUCGCUCGCGGGUGAGUGUGAGGUGGGUUGAGACCAUAGGGUGCAAAGUCCAAUCGUGCUAAGGAAAUGCCGAGCGUGUUGAGUCCGGGAAGUGCCAUUGCGUUAACUAGAUUCGCAUUGAACCCGAGUUUAUUCAUUGUGUUACCAGGCUGGUCGAGCCCCUCGAAGAAGAAAUCUUCGGGCGUGGUAAAGUUCGGAUUCUUGCAAACAAGUCCAUUCACAAACACUGCAAGAACAAAAACAUAAUCCAACACAAAUUCACUAAAUAAUCAUGUUAAAAUGUUCUAGAGAAGAAAAAAUAUAAUAAAAUAAGAAGAGGGCGAGGACACAUGCACACCUGGAGAGUUCUUAUCGGCAACGCAAAAGUCUUGGAGAGGACUUGGAUCGGAGGCAAUGGCUUGAGAAAACACAAGGGCAAAGAGAGCAAGGAGGAGAAAGCGAGAAGCCAUUUCUAUAAUAUAUCUCUUCUUAAUUAGCUAGUAGGCACGUAGAAGAUGCAAAUGAUUGAAUGUGCUGUGGUGCUAAUGGGUUAGACGAGAUGGGUAUAUAUAGAGGAUAAGGCUACGAAAGAGUCGUUGUACGUAGCUACAUUGUUAGAGGAAUAGUUCGUAUUACAACGUUAAUUAGGUAUAGUAAUUAAUUGAACAUGUCAAUGCCAAGUAAGAUUUUCUCUUUUGUACACGUUUCUUUGGCUAAUUAUUUCUUAUUAAUUUCUUAGUUAAUUAAGAUAUAUAGUUUUUCCUUCACCGUCUCUCUCUCGCUCUCUCUCUCUUUAGACACCGAAUAAAUUUAAGAUAGUUGAAGAAUUAAAGUUAAAAAGACUACUAAUGCAUGACUCGUCCUAGGUAUGCGAAUUGCAAUUUUCUUUUUUUGUAUGAAAACUUCAAAGGCUACUUUUCUUUCCAAACAAGACUUGAUUAAUUUAACAGCUUAUCUCUAGAAGCUAUGUAUAAACACAAUCUUACAUUGAUUUCUAGUUAAUUAAUUUUGUGAUAAAUUUAGAAACUUUUUUUUCCUAGUUCUAAUCAACUGAGUCAAAAAAAGGGACACCGGGUUCAUAUUAAAAAACUCAUCUUAUAAACUAGGUAGUUUAUAAUUAAUUUAUUCAACUGCUCCCUUGAACAGGUGCUCCGAAAUUAGAUUGCUUAGCUACUCCUCAAAAUGAUGUCAUGAGUUCAAAAAAUUAAUCGCAGCAUGUUUUUUUUUUUAUCUCCGUAAUUAGAUGAUGAAAGAAGCAUAAAAGGUACCAAUAGUUCCGUCACAACUUGGUCCUUAUUUUUUAUCCUAACUUAAACAUUUUAGUUUGUAAACUUUUGUGUACACUAUAUUUAUAGUGUAGUCUCAAGCCUUGAGUUUGUUUUCAUAAUAUGUUGAUUUUACCUCUCUUUUUCUUUGCAAAAUUACUAGCUUAUGGCCAAAAAACAGCUUUAAUCUUUAGAACGUCGACUCAUCCAAUUCACCUAGGAAAGAACAGAAUUUUAAAAGAAAUUAGGUUGAAAAUAUGAAGAACUAUUUUCUAGCUUAUAGUAAUAAUAAUCAUAGAAACCUUUCUUUAACUUAGAGAGAGAGUGAGAAAAAAAAAGGAAAAAAAAAGAGCUUAUAUCCAAGAGGGCGCAUGACUUAUAUAAGUCACACGAAUCUAACAACACAUAAAUUUUAGGAUUUGGUGGACUAAUAUAUAAAAUGAUUAAUUUCAUAUAGUUUCCGGCAAAUAUAGUGAAUUGUAAAUAUAUUUAUAGAAAGUUCAACUUUCAUAUGUUGUCCAUACAAAAAUCCUGAUGUUUUCAAAUAUGUCCUUAACGUUAGAAUCUGUUCUAAAAAUUUAGUUAAUAAUAAAUAAAAUACUUUAUUCUAAUCUAUACCCUACUAUGAAUCCCUCUAAUUUUAUCCACAUGGCAGGUUUUGCUUAAUUUGUGUAUGUGGGGACCCACCUCGUCCAGUUAUAGUAUUUUGGCUUAAUUAAGUGCAUGUGGCCGACCCCACCCUGCUGUUUUAGGCGUUUAAGAAAAAUCUUAGUGGACCUCUAAUUUUAUCGACGCGGGAAAGCGUUUGCUUGUUGAACAAAUACGCUGUAUCGCGGCCCACCUGUCAGUUAUAGUAUUUUGGCUGGCCGGUUCGGUUUAGAGAAAAAUAAUUAAGUGCAUUUUUAUUAUAUGGCUGUGGGACCCAUCGCUUUCGGGUUGAUGAGGUAACUUUUUGAGCCAUCCGUCUUCCAUUGCUCUGGGUUCGCUUCGUCGCCUCGGGCCGGUUCGGUUCGUCGCUUCUGGAAGCCAUCGUUGCCUGGUUCGGCUUCGUCCGCUGUCGGCCAUCGAUGCCGCGUUCGCGUUCAUCGCUUCCGAAGCCAUCAAAUUUUCUUCCUAUGAACAGAAAAAUAGGGGCCAAAGUGCACGCGACAUCGAUUUGGCCUGGCCCUCCCUGCCAGUUCCAUUGGCGCCGCUUCAUUCCCCGUCGGAAAUGGUUCCCCUCUCGACCUCUAAAAAUGGAUCUCGAUUUCUAUUAUCGCUUCGUCUUCCAACGCCGCAUCGGCACGUUCGCCGGUCCGUUCCUUUCUUUGACGUACGCUUCGAAAACCGUCGAAUUCCUUCGCACUGUUUCCAGUAGCGCCGAAGAGUGGUCUGCCUUUUCCCAUACCUCUCAGUGCCUAUUAUAAUGGUCAUCUGCCUCCUCCUUUCCUUCGCAGUCCUGGCGACAUCUCUUCUUCUGAGAAGAACUUUUCACAUUUCUUCUCAGAGCCAAGAAUAUUAAGAAGGGUAUUGAACGUUUGAGUAAAUUUUGUCAAUUGAGUUAUUAUUAUUAUUUAUUAUUUUGCUAAUUUGGAUUGCCUUAACUGAGUAUUUAUUUAUUUGUUUUCAGGAAGCCUAACAAAAUCUGGCCUGAAAAUUGUUCAGGAUCUGCAAUCAUGUAAGUUUUCAGCUACAUCGAUUUUUUAAUUUUUUUUUUUUUUUUUGGUUAAUUUGGGAAUUGCUUUACUAUUUAAUUUUAGAAGUUUUAAAUACUAAGUAUUUAUUAAUUUGAUUCCAGGAAUCUAACAAUAUCACACCAGAAAAUUGUUCAGAUCUGAAUCUGAUAAGCUUCUCAGUUCAUCUAUUUUUUAGAUAUAUCUAUGCUUAUUGUAUACAUCGUGUCUGAUAUAAAUGUUUUAAAAAAAAAAAAUCACUAGAAACUAAUUGUGUGAGACAAUACUUAUACAUAUUAACAAUAAUAUGACAAUAAAGUUUACCUUCUUCCGAAAAAUUUGUUUAUCUAAAGAAAAAUAAUUUGGCCAUUAUAGUUUAAUUUUCAGUAUUUUCAAAAUUUUAAUUUGAUGAACAAAUAUAUUGAUUUUUCGUUUAGAGAAAUAUAAUCUUAGCAUGUGGGGACAUGCCUGACAAUUUUUUCUUUCCUCUUUAAAUAUUAUAUAUAGAGGCAUGUGGGUUGCAUAAAGAUGUGUUUUCAGAAUUGAAUGGAAAUUUACAUGUUUGUAAAAUAGACUUAUGUUGUAUGGCAAUUAAAAAUGUGAGAAGCUUUUUGUGUCUUGAUAUGAUUUAGAUUUCUUUACAUUGAAUGCAAAGUUUAUUUUAUUUUCAAUUAUCACAUAUUGCUAUUAUCUGCUUACAUAGAAGUGAAACUUUGUGAAAAAAUUUUACUAAUACUCUAUGGCAGUUGAAAUGAAAGGAUUUAUUGUGUCUUGAUUGUUACUUAAUUUUCUACACCAUGAGUGCCACAAAGUUUAUUUAUUUGUUUAAACUUGUGUUCGCAGAACUAUUUUACACAAUAUCGUUUUUUCUUUAGUUUUUCGCUAUACACAACUUAUGAAAAAAAAUGAUGUUUUAGGUGGAAUUUGUUGUGCCUCUUCACAUAUAUGGUUCUUGGAAUAGUAAUUUUUCUUUCUUGAAAUAAUUCGAAGUAUGGCAUUAUUUAUUAUGACUUGCAUGUGUAAAGAAAUUAGUAAGUGUGACCGUAAUGAACUAACUGUGAUAUUAUUUUUAGUCAUUAUAAAGCGAAAAAAAUUAGGCAUAUUAUCCUAAACAAUGUGAAUUAUAAAUUCGGCAAGGUCGGAUGUCAUAAAAUACCAUUGGAACUAGCCAUCAGUACACGAUGGCAUCCAUCUAUCUAGCUUUCGGACUCAGCUUCCGCCCGUUUUUGUUGACGUAGUGUUUGUUCAAAAUUUUUCCCCUUCCUCUUCCGAAGUAUGGAAUCACUUUAGGUUCGCUGGUGGUCAAUUAUGAUUCAUUUGUGGGAUGUGGCGGUCCCUAGAUGGUAGUCGAUUUAUGGGAGGUUAUUACCGUGUUUGGGGUUCCGCCUUCUACAGAUUCUAAUGAGACCGAGCGAGGAUGCGCUUAGGGUUGCAGUCGAAACACUACGCAAAGAGCUUGAUUUCGAAAUUUAGCGGAUGCUAAUGUAUAAACUGAGAUAUUUCAUUUAUUGACUUAAACCCUUUUGUUUGACGAAAUGUUUUUUGUGUUAAUUAUAAUUAUAGUUAUUCGUCAAAUUUCAGGAGAAACGAGUGUUAAAAACGGAGAAGUUACAGUGACCCGGAAGUUCGAUCAAGUGAAUAGCUAACUCCGGUUUUCCGGAGAGCCCGAGUAGAGUGGACUUUGACGCGCGUAUCGGACUCCGAUAUAGCUUCCAAUAGUCGUUUUCAACUGCGUCGACUAUCCUGGACCAAUGCACUGCACGGAAUUGCAAUUGGCUGCCACGAUUUCGAAGAAAAAGGGGUUAAUUGGUUUUUACAUAUGAUUAUACCUGAUAUGUGGUUUAUGGGUGGAAGAUUUGAGUCGAGGGCAGGUAUCGUCGCUGAUCGGAGACCAAAUCAGACGAAAAUAUAAAUGCUAUCAUUCGCAUGCCCAGUCGUGCUGAACACGCCUGGCGCAAUCGUCGGAAAUCCGACGGACGGAUCUUCGGCGGAAUCGUGAAAAGUCCGCUAAGAGGUCAGUAGCAAAAUCGAUUAAUCGCGAAAAGGUCAAUAUUUUAUGCGCGGUUCGUGCGCAAUUUCGAUUGUAGAGGGACUAUACGGAAUAAUCCACAUGUUGGCAGGGGGCUUGUAAAAAGGGUAUUGCGAUAGGGAGGGGUUUUCACACAUUCAGUUUAUAGUAUAAAGGUGAGGUUUUAGGGUUCAGCCAGGGAAACCCUAACCCUAAUCAUUCUCCAGGCUGCUGCCUAACCGCCCCAUAACCACCCUGCCCCAACUUGUGCGCACGCCCCGGCGCCGUGCGCUGCAACUCCGGCCGCCGGAAAAGUCACCUCGGCCACCUCUCAGCGUCUCCCCUAGCCGACUGCCACCCCCUUUUUCGAUGUUGUGCUCGGGAAAGCUUCAAAGCCGAGCUUCCCCCUCCCUUUGCCGGUUCUCCGGCCGUCCUCCCCCUCGCCCGGCCACCCGAACUGCCGCACGGAGCACCCCGGCUCCCUGCAGCCAGCCGGCUGCAGCCAGACCGAGCCGGCCUCGAGUGACUGCGUCCUCGCCUUGCUUCGCCGCGCCGCCUCAGUCGGCUUUCGGUGAGCUCCGGCCAACCCGUCGCAGCGCGCGUCCCCCGCCGUGCCGCGCUGUCGGCGUCGGCGCCGCUGAGAAAUUCCUGGGGCGCCAGGCACGUGCGGGCGGCCAGAGGUCGGGCCCGCCAGCUUCUUGGCGCUGCGCAGCCCACCGUAGAGGUGACGACCUCCCCUUCGACCACCGGCGCGACCGUCGCCCCCGCCUCCUCCGGCGCCGCCGGACGCCGCGGGAGCAUCAAACCCGCAGAUGAGAAAGUGGUGAAGGGUCGAUCAUCGGCCCGCCGCACCACCGUGCGCCCGCCGCCGGCCAGCACCUCCCCGACCUCCUGGACGACAUGCUCCCUCCUCGCCGGACGCCGCUCCCGGCGCCGGCGCCACCCUAGCUCUCCUCGGGUCCGGUAAGGGCAUUUUACGUUCCAGCACUGUUUUUUGAGGUUCCGGUCUCCUUUUCGGUGAUCCGAAAAGCCUCCUAAGCUUCGGGAAGUGAGCACGAUGAUCUACAACUCGUGCUGAACAUCGUGCUCACCUCCAAUAGCAGCAAUGAUGCCCUGGUUUGCGAGUUAGUCGCGAUCUUCGCGCUGUGCGCGCAGUUUAUCUGAUUUUCACAUCGCUCGUGCGCGCACCGCAGUGGCCGGCAGUGCUCCGAAAGGUGAGCACGGCCUCCGACAUGCUGAAACCUGUCAGCGAGUACGACGGUCGGAUUAAUCGGCCCCUGGUUUGUGCGCACGGUCCAGAAAAGUCUAGAAAUCACAUGAAAUGAUGCAAUUCAUGUAUCGGUAUCGGCUUUUAGGCUUUCUGCUUCGUUGUAGAUGCUGUGGACAGCGUGUAAAUGCUGAGGGUAACCUCUGGACUGAUCGUCCAAGGCCCCAAGCCUUUGCGGAAAUCGUAAAGUGACUUCCGGAGCGUUUUUCGGCGAAAUCCGCCGAUAGAACGCGGUUUCGGUUCGGAAUUCUUCCGAUGGUUCUUGGGGAUCAUUUGUUUCGUCGCUGAGCCUUGUUGGCUGGUCACCUGCAUCGUUUCGUGGGCUUGGAAACGACAGGUGAGCGACAGCGAAGUUCCAGUGCGGUUUUCGGGACUUCCGGUUUGUACGGUAAGCGGUUUUGGGAAACUAUUUUUGUGGGGCUAUGAGCGGGGGUUGUGAGUUAGCUUUUCAUGUCAGUGGGUUAGACCUUAACCCGUUGGACCUUUCGUAGGUUCGGUUGCACCGUCUUCACAGUCGAGAGACCUUCGUCAAAUACAUACAGGUGGGUACUUCGACCCGUAGUCGGUACAGUGGUGCACGCUCGGUGACGUUUCUUCACCCCUACUGUUUACUCUAUCUUAUAGUUAUAUUGAGCCUUGCAUCUGCAUUUAUAUCUACAUUUCUCUACUCAGUUAUUUCCAUAUUGAUAUCAUGCUUAGGAGUAGAGUUGAUUUAUCUAUUCACUAUCAGUGAUUUGGUUGGGGCGGUUCCCCCUAUUGUGAUACCUAUGACCUGUUCGGUCGAGUUGCUACAGUUCCAUCUUGACUUACGUAGCCGAUUAGUUGCUGAUGGCCUAUACGGCCGGUGUGCCCUGAGGGGCCUGGAUUGUCGGCUAGUUGCCGACGGAUGAUCUUUGAGCAUACUACAUUGAUCGCCACUACAGGUACGCAUUUCACGAACACCAGCGGUCUGAUCCACCGCAAGAGGGUGUUCUUUUUCGGAAAAGUGGUUGGAUUGCCAACCCGUGAGCCCAGGGGCUUCAUUGCGAGGGUAUAUGCUUCUGACCCAGGGGCUUCAUUGCGAGGGUCAGGUACAGGUUGCAGUGUGGCAUGAGCCUGAGGUCUUCGGACCAAUAGGGCAGCGAGAUUGGGUACUUUUGAGCUUUUCGUCAGUUGACGCAUGCAUACAGUAGCUGUAGUGUUUAUUUCCAGUACAUCCUUAUCUGUUUAUUGUAGCUACUGUUUUACUUACCUGCAUCUAUACUUGUCAGCUCCUUACUUAUCAGCAUAUUUACUUAUCAACACUUAUAUCUAUCUAGUUUUCCGUGACUAGUGAGUACCCUCGCCCUCUACGGCUUGCGGUACCCACUGGGAGGGGAGACAUGUUUACAUGUUCUCACCCCCCGCCCCCAUUACAGGUGACGUAGCAGGUCCGAGUGGGACAGCUGGUGAGGAGCGUGUCUAGCGUGCGAUAGAGCUCCUUCCCGAGUCGGUUAUCCCUUUUACCCUUCAUGCUCGAAUAAAUACUUAGACAUAUUAUGGUUCAGUUUCUAUUUUAUUAUCUGACUAUCUGAGUUUUCAAUUGGUUUUGAAAUGUACUAAAGGAUUGGAGUUAUCUUAAAAUAAAACAGUUUUCUACCCCUCGUGGUAGCUGGUUUUGAAAAAGAAUGGUUCCCGUGUAGGGAUCAGUUUUCAAAUUGAUUUCUCUGUGGAUUUAUGGAUUUAGUAUUUCAAAAUCAGUUUCCAGGUAGGAAACAUUUUUAACUGAUAGAUGUGGAAUGUUAUGCAUAUUCAAGUUUCAUAUCUGUGUGUGUGAAUGGAAUGGAUGAAUGUUAUCUAUCUUGUUGUUCAUCUGGUUGUGGUUGUGAUUAUGUGUGUACUUAUACUCUGUUGUACUUGUGCGACGCCGUGCAAAUAUAGGGGAGACUCUGUCCGUGUGAACAGUGGAACUCCUGUAUUUGUGGCGGAUCUGGCACACUCUGGGGGCAGGUUUUCAAAAAAAAAAUUUCAGACGCUUUUCCGCUACCUUUUAAACAAAAAGGGACCCCGGGGCGUGACAGAUUAAAGUGGUAUCAGAGCCAAGUUACAACCACAACUCCAUUCACAGACUGUUUUUGAAAAUAAAAAUAAACUGAACCAUUGGUUAGGUUGACCCUAGGAAGACCCACGAUGUAUAGGCACGUGAGUGCGGGGUUUGGGCUCGAGUUCUGGUUGUUAGUAGUCGAGUUGAUUUUUCGAUUGACGGUGUUUCUGUUACAGAUGGCUCGUGGCAGACCUCCUCUUCGUGGACGUGGUGGUGGACGCGCCGCAGAGGGCUCUAUCAAUAGCCCUGGAGAGCAGGCCCCGAGAGGCAGAGGCAGGGGCAGGGGCAGAGGGGAGCAGAUCAGCCCAGAUCCGCAGGGCGAUACUCGUGCCCAGCAGCUCGAGGCUGAGGUAGCAGUGAUGAGGGGUCAGAUGACAGCCCUCACUGGGUCGGUUCAGCAGCUCCAGCAGCUUUUACAGCAGCACGCUGCAGCUGCUGUUCCCCCGGUACCACCCCCGACGCCGCCGGUUCCUGAGGCAGCUGCCCCUCAGGUGGCGCCUGCACAGGCGGUCCCUCCGACCGUCCCGAGGACGACGACGACCACCACGACGGUUCCCACUGGGGGUGCUGAUGCCCCAGCAGCUGAGGGCGCCCGUAUGCGUGCGAAGCUGAUCGAGUUCAGGAAGUUCGACCCGCCGAAAUACGCGGGGAAGAAGGAAGAGAAUGGAGUUCUCGAGCGCUGGCUGACCGACAUGGAGAAACUACUCGAGGACUUAUUCAUCGAUGAGCACGAUCCCGUCCCCUUGGCCGCCCACUUGUGGACGGGACGCAAGCUCUUGGUGGCGUCGAAUCUAUCGCUCCAAGCUGGCAAUGUUUUCUCCUCUCUGGGGGGAGUCCGGUGAGACUCACUCACGAGCAAUUCUUUCGGGACAACUCAAAAUUAGAGCUGGAGGCGCGAGCUAGAACGUCCACCGGGCAGGUCCGUAGCUGAGUACGAGCCGACUUUCUCUCGCAUUGUCGGAGCCUGAUUCCCUUCGUAUCCGAGACAUCCGCCAACAAGGCCAGAGAGUCUUCGGAGGGCUUGAGACCAAAUCAGGAUGGUGCUGGGCCUUCAUAGCACGAUGACAUUAUAGUGUUGUACCGCAGCCCCUCAUCCAGAGCGAGUCUACAGUUCCUGCUGCAAAAGGAGGCUGGAGCGAUCGGGGGGACAGAAGCGUUCCCAUUCUAGACUGGGUGGCGGUCCUCUUCCAACAAGCAAGAAGCCACCAAAUGCCCUCGCACUCAGCAGUUCGCGAGGAGUGCACCCUCUGGCAUCAAGCGACGAGGCAGUCGACCCGUGUGAUUUGUGCAGGCAAGCACACCGGGUGACCGAAUGUCCGCAGAUGAGGGACCACUGCUUCCAUUGUGGCCAGCCGGGCCAUCUACAGGCUCGAUGCCCUAUGAGAAAUGGGGCCACGCAGAGCGCCGCUUCCUCCCCAGCAGCAUUCCGACAGGACCGCGGAGCUUCCAGCGCAGCUGCACCGUCUGGGCGUCCCUCUUCCUCACGUCAAAAUGAGGGGGCGCGCAAGGCAUCUGGUGGACGGGUCUUCGCCCUGACUCAGCAUGAGGGCAACACUGGUGGCGACGUCCUUGUAGGUAUUGUCACCCUCUCCAUCACUCGUGCUAAAGCUAUAUUCGAUACUGGAGCAUUGCACUCAUUCAUUUCGCAUUCAUUUGCAUGUGAGCAUGGUAUUCCCUCGCGUCCACUAGAUAUGCCGCUCCGUGUUGACACGCCCGGGGGUGAUCUAUUAGCUGAUCGAUGCAUCCCAUCAUAUCCUGUCAUCUUGGAUAAUCAUAGUUUUCUGGCGAACCUGGUGGUACUUCCAAUGAAGAAGUUUGACGUAGUGCUUGGGAUGGACUGGUUCACCAGGCACCGCGCUACUAUCGACUGCGAGCGGAGGACGGUGACUUUUAUUGGGCCCGGUGAAGAAGUAUUCGUCUAUCGAGCGUGUAAGAGCUCUUACUUCGCCGCGUCUAUCUCUUCUGCUAGAGCUAAGAGGCUUAUAAAUGCCGGAUGUGUGGCCUUUUUGGCUUCCGUGGAUGUUACCCACCGGGCUGCACCAGCCUUGGAGGAGAUUCCAGUUGUCCGGGAUUUUCCGGAAGUGUUUCCAGCCGAACUUCCGGGAAUGCCCCCGGACCGAGAAAUCGAGUUCUUCAUCGAGCUAGUUCCGGGCACAGCACCGAUUUCGAAGGCCCCCUAUCGCAUGGCCUUCGCUGAGCUGAAAGAGCUGAAGGCUCAACUCGAGGAUCUCCUGGAGAGAGGAUUUAUCCGACCCAGUGUGUCUCCCUGGGGUGCCCCUGUUCUCUUCGUCAAAAAGAAGGAUUGUAGUCUUCGACUGUGCAUCGACUACCGAGAGCUCAACAAGGUCACAGUGAAGAACAAAUAUCCACUGCCCCAAAUUGACGAUCUAUUCGAUCAGCUUCAGGGAUCGUCGGUAUUUUCAAAGAUCGACCUUCAGUCAGGGUACCAUCAGCUUAAGAUCCGGGCAGAAGACGUGCCGAAGACCGCUUUUCGAACUCGUUACGGCCACUACGAGUUCACGGUGAUGCCUUUCGGGCUUACUAAUGCCCCGGCAGCCUUCAUGGAUAUGAUGAACAUGGUCUUUCGGGCGUACUUGGAUCAGUUUGUCGUGGUAUUUAUUGACGAUAUCCUGAUCUACUCGCGGAGUGAUGAGGAGCACGAGGAUCAUCUUCGGCGAGUACUGCAGAUACUCCGAGAGCACAAGUUAUAUGCUAAGCUCAAGAAGUGCGAAUUCUGGCUUCGUGAGGUAUCUUUCUUGGGGCAUAUUGUGACUCCAUCGGGCAUUACAGUGGAUCCGAAGAAAAUAGCCUCAGUGGUCGAGUGGCCUGAGCCGACUUCAGUGACAGAAGUCAGGAGUUUCCUGGGAUUGGCGGGUUAUUAUCGGCGAUUUGUCGAGGGCUUCUCCAAGAUCACCGCACCGCUGAACAAGCUUACCAGAAAAGGAGAACGAUUUCAGUGGACUGAGCAGUGCCAGCAGGGCUUCGACGAGCUGAAGGAUCGACUGACCCGAGCACCCGUUCUGACUCUGCCGCGGCCUGGUGAGGACUUUGUGGUCUAUUGUGAUGCCUCACGGGUCGGUUUGGGGUGCGUGCUUAUGCAGCAGGAUCGGGUCAUUGCUUACGCCUCUCGUCAGCUAAAGCCGUAUGAAAAGAAUUAUCCAACUCACGAUUUGGAGCUUGCAGCAGUGGUGUUUGCCCUUAAGCUGUGGAGACACUAUCUAUAUGGGGCACACUGCGAGGUGUUCACUGAUCAUCAGAGCCUGAAGUACCUCUUCACUCAGAAGGAGUUGAACCUCAGGCAGAGGCGUUGGCUCGAGCUCUUGAAGGACUAUGAUCUCACCAUACAUUAUCAUCCGGGAAAGGCGAAUACAGUAGCGGAUGCCUUGAGCCGGAAACAGCCUUCGGGAGAGUUGACCUUCAUGAUCACGAGCCAGGAUCGUCUGGUAGAAGAGUUUCGCCGUCUUGAGAUCGAGGUUGUUUCCACAGGAGUUAUGGCCCAGUUGAUGUCUCUGGUGGUACAGCCUACCCUGACAGAGCGGAUUACACUCGGACAGCAGAGUGACCCGUACUUACAGAAAGUGCGGGCGGAGAUCGAGCAGGGCAAGGACGGGGACUUUACUAUCCACACCGAUGGAUCCUUGCGUUUCAAAGGCAGGUGGUGCGUGCUUAGUGACUCGGAGCUGAGAAGCGACAUCCUAUCCGAGGCGCAUCAAUCCCCUUACACAGUUCAUCCAGGUGGAACCAAGAUGUACCGCGACCUGAAACAGAAUUUCUGGUGGCCUGGGAUGAAGCUAGAUGUGGCUCAGCACGUGGCUCGAUGCUUGAUUUGUCAGCAGAUAAAAGCCGAGCACCAGCGACCGGCAGGGAAGCUGCAACCACUUCCGAUCCCCGUUUGGAAGUGGGAGCAGAUUACUAUGGAUUUCGUCACUGGAUUGCCUCGAUCACAGCGAGGGCAUGAUGCGAUCUGGGUUAUAGUGGAUCGGCUGACGAAAUCGGCUCACUUCCUAUCGAUGCACACGACGUGGUCCCGUGAUCGACUGGCACAGUUGUAUAUUGACGAGAUUGUCCGGCUUCAUGGUGUGCUAGUGUCGAUUGUAUCUGAUCGAGACACUCGCUUCGUUUCCCACUUUUGGAGGAGUUUACAGCAGGCUAUGCGAACGAAGCUGAACUUUAGUACUGCAUUCCAUCCCCAGAGUGACGGGCAGUCAGAACGAGUCAUCCAGACUCUUGAGGACAUGCUUCGCGCCUGUGUCCUGGAUUACGGCGAUGGAUGGUUUCGAUAUCUACCACUGGUGGAGUUCGCCUAUAAUAACAGCUAUCAGGCGAGCAUCGGGAUGGCACCGUACGAGGCUUUAUAUGGGCGUCGAUGUCGAUCUCCUAUCUGUUGGGAUGACGUCGGGGAACGCCGGUUGAUCGGGCCAGACUUAGUGGAGGAUGCGGAGGCAAAGAUCCGCAUUGCGAGAGAGCGGCUUCAAACUGCACAGAGUCGACAGAAGAGCUACGCGGAUCAGCGGAGGCGUGACCUGAAGUUUCAGGUCGGUGAGCAUGUGCUACUCAAGGUGUCGCCUUCCAGGGGGAUCAAGCGGUUUGGUUUGCGGAACAAGCUUAGUCCUCGGUUUGUGGGACCGUUUGAGAUCCUAGAGCGCGUUGGUCCAGUGGCGUACAGGUUGGCUCUUCCUCUAAGUCUUGCCCGUGUGCACAAUGUCUUUCACGUGUCCAUGCUUCGGAAGUACAUUCCAGAUCCGUCUCACGUCAUCAGUCCGACGUCUAUUCAGCUACGGGAGGAUCUGAGCUAUGUGGAGGCUCCGAUGAGGAUUUUGGCAUGUGAGGUGAAGCAACUACGGAAGAGGAGCAUUCCGUAUGUAAAGGUUCAGUGGGCAAAUCAUGAGGAGCGUGAGGCUACGUGGGAGCUUGAGUCUUCUAUGCGGGAGAGUUAUCCGCAGUUGUUUACAGGGGAUGUUUAAUUUAAGUUUCGGGGACGAAACUUUUUGUAAGGCGGGAAUAAUGUAAUAACUGAAAUUUUUGAAAAAAUAAAAUUAAACCCUUGGUUGACGAUGCUUUUGUGUGUAAUAUAAUUACUAAAGCACUCGUCAAAUUUCAGGAGAAAAUGAGCUAAAAUGGAGAAGUUACGCGACCCGAACCGAUGACUUAAGUGAAUAGUAACUCCAGUUUUCCGGAUGAACCAAUGAAUAGAGAAGGGUUCUGGUGCACGCUCGGUGACGUUCCUUCCACCCUUCCUGUUUACAUUGCUUAUCAUAUACAUUGCUUAUCAUAUUAUCCUCGUAUUACUCUACUCGGUUGUUUCCAUGCUCAGUAUCUUGUGUAGGAGUAGAGUAGAUUUCUUCAGCAUAUGAUAUCUGUGAUCUGGUUGGUUGAUUUUCCUUUGUUGUAUCUAUGACCUGGUUGGUCGAGUUUCAUACUCCAUACUUGUGACCUGGUUGGUCGAGUUUCAUACUCCGUACUUGUGACCUGGUUGGUCGAGUUUCAUACUCCCUAUUUGUGACCUGGUUGGUCGAUUCGGUUACAUGAUGACCCAUGCGGUCGAUGGGUCCUGGGGGGGGGGGGGCAGGAUUGUCGGCUAGUUGCCGAUGGUUGAUCGUUGAGCAGAUUGCAUUGAUCGCCCGAUACUCGUCGCAUUUCACGAACACUGGCAGUCUGAUCCACCGCAAGGAGUGUUCUUUUCCGGAAAAGUGGUUGAAUGGUGACAACCCGUGAGCCCUAGAGGGGUUAUAUGCACUGGAGAGUAGUAGUGGCAUUGGCUUGAGGUCUGCGGUGCUGACCAAGAGAGCAUUGGGUUCAGAUUGGGUACUUUUGGACUGAUUGUCCCGUUGAUGCAUACAUAUAGUAGCUGUAGUUGUUCAUUUAUAUACACUUCAGUAUUUGUUUAUUUUAGCUACUGUACUACGAUUAUCCAUAUAUUUGUUUAUCUCCGUGACUAGUGAGUACCCCUUGCCUUCUUCGGCUUGCGGUACCCACUAGGAGGGGAGACAUGUUUACAUGUUCUCACCCCCCGCCCCCAUUACAGGUGACGUAGCCGGUCCGAGUGGGACAGCUGGUGAGGAACGGGUCUAGCAUACGAUAGAGCUUUCCGUCCCGUGGUUUGGUUUAUCUACUCUUACUCUUCAUAAUUAAAUAAAUAACUAACUUAGACAUAUUAUGGUUCAGUUUUAUUUUACUAUUUGGAUAUCUGAGUUUUCAGUUUGUUUUGGAAUGUAAUAAAGGAAUUUGUGUUUUCUUGAAAUGGAAAUGGUUUUCUACCCCUCGUGGUAGCGUUUUGAAAAGUUAAAAGUUCCUGUGUAGGGAACAGUUUUCAAAAGAUUUUCUGUGGAUUUUGUAUCUUAGUAUUUCAAAACCUGUUUCUGUGGUUGCAAACAUUUUAACUGAUAGAUGUGGAUUUAUAUUUAAAUAGCGAAUGUAAAUUUGUGAAUCUGUGGUGAAUGGUGUAUGAAUGUAUAUCUGUGGUUGUUUGUAUAUUCAUCUGGUUGUGGUUGUUGUAUGAUUGAACUCUUGUACUUGUGCGACGCCGUGCAAAUACAGGGGAGACUCUGUCCGUGUGAACAGUGGAACUCCUAUGUUUGUGGCGGAUCUGGCACACUCUGGUGUCAGAUUUUUAAAAAAAAUUUUCAGACGCUUUUCCGCUACCCUUUUAAACUAAAAGGGACCCCGGGACGUGACAGAUGACACCCCAAUUCCCACAUCGAAUGGGAAUGGGGUUGUCAUUGGGUUUAUAUGAGACUUAGACACUAGUAAUAAUAACUGGGCUUAAGCAUUUUGGGCCAGUGGUUGGGCCCAACGAGUUAUUGUUGCUAGUGGGCUGGGUUGUUACAUUUGGUAUCAGAGCCUGUUCACCAGCUGACAUGUGUGGCGAGUCUCGGCUGAGCCAGGGUCUGGAUAACGGGCUAGCGAGACGAGUCUCACAUAGCCUGGUGAUCUUGGGCUGUGUGUGUGAGGACUGACGAGGACGUCAGGGCCUUAAUGUGGGGAGUCUGUGACACCCCAAUUCCCACAUCGGAUGGGAAUGGAGUUGUCAUUGGGUUUAUAUGAGACUUAGACACUAGUAAUAAUAACUGGGCUUAAGCAUUUUGGGCCAGUGGUUGGGCCCAACGAGUUAUUGUUACUAGUGGGCUGGGUUGUUACAAGUAUUGAGAGGACGAAUUGGAAGGUGGAUGUUAGCACUAUCCGAAUUCUCUCUCAAGUAUGUUCCGGCAAAAGCUGUUAAAGGACAAGCGAUAGCCAACUUUUUGGCUGAUCAUCCAUGUGUUGAAAUUAAAGAGCUGAAACAAAAUUUAGUCGGUUGUCAACCUUGGAUACUUUACUUUGACGGUUCAAGAAUAGCCGAGUCAGCAGGAGCUGGAAUAGUUGUACAGUCUCCUGAGGGGUAUAGCUGUCGGUUUACUUUUGAAUUAGAUUUCGGCUGUUCUAACAAUCAAGCCGAAUAUGAGGGUUUAAUAACUGGACUUGAAAUUUUACAAGAAUUAAAAGUUAAGUUACUCAAGGUCAUCAGUGAUUCACAAUUGGUGAUCAAACAAGUUAGUGGAGAAUACCGAUGCGAAAAUCAGAAUUUACAAAAUUAUUUAAGAAAAAACAGUGGAAUUGCUUUGCAGCUUCGGAGAAGUUGAAUUUGAGCAUUUGACGAGAGAGAAAAAUAAGGAAGCAAAUGAAUUACCCCAAUCGGCUUCAGGGUAUAGAGAGCCGAAACGAGGUUUAAUAGAAAUAGAAAAAAGACUACUGCCUUCGGUUCAUGUCCGAGAACCGAUUAUUGCUCCCAUAGAGGUGAAAGAUGAUUGGAGAAAAUCCAUAAUCGAAUACUUAGAAGACCCCAACAAAAAGGUCGACUAUAAUAUUCGAAGAAGAGCACUCGGCUACUGUCUAUUAGAUGGACAACUCUACAAGAGAACAGCCGAAGAAAUAUUAUUAAAAUAUUUAGGGCCUGAAGAAGCUAUAUUGGUGAUGGGAGAAACACAUGAGGGUUUAUGUGGAGCCCAUUUAGCAGGAAAAAGAUUAAGACGGACAAUUCGGCACUUAGGAUAUUAUUGGCCGACUAUGCAUCAAGAUUGUAUAGAAUAUGCUAAGGGUUGCCAAGAUUGUCAAUUUCAUAGAUUGGUACAGAGAAUUCCUGCUUCUGAGAUGUAUGCUAUAAUUAAACAUUGGCCUUUUUGAGGUUGAGCCAUGAGUUUGAUCGGAGAAAUUCAGCCGAACUCUUCGGCUGGUCAUAAAUUUUUAAUAGUGGCUGUCGACUAUUUUACUAAGUGAGUAGAAGUAAAACCCGCUCGGUUGGUCACUCAAAAAGAGAUCAUUGAUUUGUCGAAGAUUACAUAAUUCAUCGUUUCGGGAUUCCCGAGACAAUUAUAACCGAUCAAGGAACAAUGUUCGCAGGAGGACAGUUCAUUCUGUUCAUCGAGUCUCGAAAGAUAAUGUUACUUCAUCCGUCUCCUUAUUAUGCUCAAGCAAAUGGAUAGGCUGAGGCAGCAAAUAAGGUGAUUAUAAAUCUUAUGAAGCGACAUAUCGGAAAGUAUCCAAGAAAAUGAAAUGAAAAACUUUCUGAAGUAUUAUGGGCAUGCCAAACUUCAGUAAAAACAUCAACAGGAAUGACUCCAUUACAGCUAGUAUAUGGCCAUGAGGCCGUGUUACCAGCCGAAAUAACAGUUCCUUCUUUAAAAGUGGAAAAACAAAAGGAAUUGUCGGCUGAUGAAUAUAACGAUUUGAUGAAGAAAGAAAUGGAAGAAGUACAUGAAACUCGGUUAAUAGCAUUGAAUCAUUUACAAGCUUAUCAGAGCCGAGUACGCAAUGCAUACAAUACAAAAGUUGAAGCUAAAACUUUUGCAGUUGGAGACUUGGUUCUCAGGUUGAUAUUACCAAUCGGUCAAAAAGACCGAGUAUAUGGGAAAUGGUCUCCAGGAUGGGAAGGACCAUUUCAAAUUAGUAGAGUUACAAGGGGCAAUGCAUAUUAUCUAAAAAACAUAGAUGGGUCAGAAAACAAAAAACCAAUUAAUGGAAAAUAUUUGAAAAAGUAUUACCCAUCCAUGUGGGAGAAUAAUCAAAGUCAGAGUUAAAGGAUUACAAGCCGAAUCAAGAUAGCAAAUCCUUGAGUUGGUUCCAUUCGGCUAUCAAGUUAGCUUGGGCAGUCUCGGCUGCUUUUCUCCUACACUUUAUUAAAGGAUUCAUUUUGUAAAGUUGGAUAAGCUUGUCUUGAAGCUUUACCCAUUCAUCCUGCUUCGUCUUCAACUGAUCCUGUAGGAGGAGCCGACACUCAGAGGUACGAGCUAGAGUUGAUUCGGCUGCAGCUAAUUCUUUCUUGAGAGUUGAAAUUCGCUGCUGCAAAGCCAACUCCUGACCUGCUAAAGUUUGGUCUUCACGACUUACUUUAGUAAUAGGAGCCGCUACCUCAGGUAUAGUUUUCUUAGAAUGAUCAACUUGGUGAAAAUGUUGAUCAAGGGAUAAAAGCUCGGCACUUAAAGAUUGUUGCCGAGACAAAAAAGAAGAAAGUUGAGAUGAUAAGAUUUCCACAAAGCAUUUGCGAGCAGAAGAAAUAUCGGGUUAACCGGAUAAGUCAAGCAAGAGAGCGUAUAACCGAUCAAAUUGCUCUGGAUUCUGAGCCAAAGAAGGGAGACCAUUACUAUAUAAUUUGAGACACUCAUUAAAUUUAUGUUGAGUGUCUGAUGAUAUGAUAAUGGUUGAUGAAUCAUCUCCCUUAUUAGAAUUUGGGCUCGAAACAAGAAGAGAGUGGAGAGUUGCAGACAGGGGGUCUUCUGGAAUAGCCGAUGAAGCUUCAAGAGUCAAGUCCGGCUCUGUUUGUGCUCUUUCAGCGCUUUCUUCCAAAGGUGUGUUUGCAUUUUCUCCUUCUGUUGUUGGCAUUGGAAUUGAAAGAGGUGAUACUGCACCUCUUGUUGGCAACUCUUGGUUCUUUUCCUGAGUUGCCCUCUUCUUCUCUGCUUCCUGCUUCUUUUUUAGGCGAGCUUCACGGCGGAGUUGUCUAUCCAUCUGCGUCUUCAAAGAAGGCGCAAAAUGGACUCUUUCAGGAGAGGAUUGUUUUAUUAGGAGAAAAGAAUAAAUAAAUGAAGAAACAAAAGGAUUGAGUACGGAUAACUAAAUUGGUUUACCUCAAUCUCAAUCGGCUCGUUCGAAACAAAGCUUUGUUCAGCAGCCGAAGAAGAUUCUUCAGUUCUUUCUUUUGGAACAUCAGUCGAAGGUGUUUCUUCGGUUCUUCUUUCUCGAAUUGCAACCGAAGGUACAUCUUCGGCCCCUUUCUUUAAAACGUCAGCUAAAGAAGCACCUUCGGUUUGUUGGGAAUAUGAAUGUGGUCUCUUGACAACCGACUUACGCCGCUUUAGAGGCGGCGGAAGGGUGGAUUGUGUGGUUUCAAUCGACUUUUUCUCUGAAGCGGGGGCCGAUGGAGAAAUUGGAAUUGACUGCGGAUAAAGGCAAAAUAAGCAUUGGGCAUAAUGAGAAAAGAAAAGUCCAAAGAAAAGCAUAGUGUAUUACAGAAAAAUGAUGUGGGAUUUCAGAAAUUUCUUCUAGUUCUUCUUUUGGCAGAAAUGAAGCAGCGGGAUCAAUUGGGAUAGGUACUGCUGUAUCUGAGAGAUAAGUCAGCAAAGAAUUAAUAGAUUUUAAAAUGAAAGAAAAAUGACUAUGAGCAAAGAGGUGUACCAAACGGGAGAAUAGUUUGGCGGAACGCCUGUAAUACUGAUCAAUUGAAAGUACGAUCGGCAAAGUGAUGCCAGGUGACAGUAUAACGAAAACCUACCACCCCUGUGUAAUUCGGCCUGAAGCUUACUAAUUUGAAGAACCGCCGAAGGCGAUUCUCCAUAGCCGAGAUCCGAUCAGCAUCGGCUAUACUCUUAGUAGGGGGUCGGUUAACGGCAGUAUUGGCCAAGAAGAACUUGGCUGGAGCAGGGAUUGCUUGAGUGAACCCAAAUUGAUGCGCCACGAAUUAAGGAGAAUAAACCUCAGUGCUAAGCAACAGUUUCGAGCGCGAUUUCAUGCCGACAUGCAAAUCCCUUGCCGCCAAAAAUUAAUACCAAACACCUGCUACCCGCCGGCGCGAGAAGAAGCAAGUUCGCCUUGAAGAGCUUCGUAUCUUGCUAGGAACCAAGACGGGCCGGUGACACGGUCAGCAAAUGAAAACCAAUGGAUAGAGAAGUGAGGACAAGAUUCAUAAAACAUUUUAAAAUAAAAAAGAAAAUCAGAAGGGCGGCCUAAUGUUAGCGACGGAGGACAGCCAAGAGCCAGCCCGUAAGAAUCAAAAUGAGCAGCCGAAUCCUUAUCUAAAGGAGUUCGGCACAAGUUAGGGAAGUAAAUCUGUAAAAAUCUCUGCAAAAAUCAAAAAGCACCACAACCUUAACUGAUUGUUACACUAUUUCCAGAGGGUAGUAGUUUGAUAGAAUCAAAAUUUUUCUAUAAACAAAGGCAAGAAAAUAAGGCCCGAGAGCUAGCUUGUUGCCGUUAGUCAAACCAACGGCGAUUGGGACGAAGUCCCGAUUAAUUUUCUGCAAACAAGUAUAGAAGAGAUUAUGACAUAACCAAUAUAAAAGGAACGCUGUGUGUUCCUUCCUGGUAACAGGAGCAGGGGAUUCCCCUGUGAAUUUACGAAGAAACUUGGAAUAAGCAAGGUCAGAGAGGUCAAGGUGAGCCUCAAAGUCGGAUACGCCAUCAGAAUUGUAGGCCAUAGAGAGGGUAACACCAUGUGGCCUUAGACCAAGAAUGGCAGCUACGUUCAAGAGAGUCAGAGUAAGAGGUCAUCCUUUAAAAAGAAAAACAUUAGAAACAGGGGACUCGAAAAAGAGAGCAGAAGCCAAAAGAAGAUUGUUGGCUACAGGAGGUUUCCGAGAUAGCUGAAUGGUUUCAUAAAUCCCAACUUCUCGCAAGAAAUCACCAUAAGCAGCUUCCACCCGGUCUAACCAAGCCAAGUAAGCGUCCAAAACACUAGGCCAAGUUCGAAGACUUUUUCCUGUUGAAGCCGAAGGGUACCAGGAAUGGAGAUGUAUGGAUUUGGCCACUAAUAGAAGACCGUCGCUAGAAUAAGGGAAGUCAUCAGCAGGCGGGUCUUCAGUAAAGGAGGGACUCAGGAUUAAUCUAGUAGGGUCUGUCUCAAGAUACUAUUUGAGCAGGGUAUAGUCCAGUGAAGGACGAGUAGAUAAAGGCGGAAGCGGCACCAUUACUCGAAGAGAAAAGAAGCCGGGAACAAAGAUGGAGAUUAAAAGAAAUCGGAGAAGACGGAGAAGAAGUAAAGAGAAGCGAAGGAGGGGUUUCAUCGGAGAAAACAAGGAAGAAACAAAAAAGGAACAGAAAUGACAAAAGGAAUGCGAAGCUUGGUGAAGAAGAAAAGGCCGUCGAAUCGUCGCAUUGAAGCGAGUUUCAAGGUCGGCUAUAAUGAUGAAUAGACGGCGGUAAUUAAGAUGACCUAAUUAAUGCCGCAGAAGUGACAAAAAUAGAGGGCGAGAUCGGAGCCGUAGAAAAGAAAUUGAAGGCCAAGAUUGAACCGUACAGAGGAUCACGCCUCGGAUUACGUCAGUCACUCGUACAGAGAAUUUGAAUUUGAUUGGAUCGAGAACCACGCCUCGGAUUGUGCUUGUUAUUGAAGCGAUGGCAGGAUUUUCGGUAGUAGAAAAAGUGGACGGUUGAGGCGAAACCGUACCGAGAGAUUGAGGAGUGAUCGCGCCUCGAAUUACACCAGCUACCGAAGCGUUACUUCGAAAGCUGCCGAGGGGGCAAUUGUUGAGCCAAUAAGGCGCGAACAUAUAGUACACCAGUACUCCAUUUAGUUGUAUUGAUUUGUAGUACACUAGGAGCAACGGAAAAAUAUUAAACUGCACGACUUGAGAGAAGUUACAGUAACCGCAAGAAGUUGCAAGCUGUUUCGAUCGGCUGGAGGUGAUCCAAAAUAUUAGGAGAUAGUGGCCGAUCGUGUAAAAACAAUAACUGAUCAAGAGGCGAUCUAUAAAUAGGUCAAUAACGCCCUAAAAAGAGGUCUUUCCCCUGUGAACAAAAGACCACCCUUAAUUCCUCGCAAUUUUUUGUAUUCUUUAGGAGUAGUCUACUUGUAAUUUCUCUUUCCCACAUUUACUAUUCUUCCUAGGAGUAGUUUUAAGUAGAUCAACCGAGUCUGCAUGUCAUCCGGCACACUUGAACCCUGCACUUCUUAUCAGUGAAUAUAAAGGCAUUCGGCUUUUCAAGCCGAUCCAUUCCUUUGCUCUAUAGUCAUUUGGCUCCUCGGCCGACUUCAGUUCUUGCUUUGCCCGUACAUUCGGCUCAUCUAGCCGAACCGAAUUUAGUGUAGAGUUCCGAACCCGGCUGAUCGGAUCCCUCAUCAGCCGAAUCGCUUGAUCGAUUGAAGGGUGCAAACUUCGAGAGUCAGUAUCAAGAGCCGCUUCCAUCCCGACACGCUCCUUGAGAAGGACCUUUGACCUGGUCAAGGAUCGGAGAUUUUCGGCUCCAACAGGCUUUUUUCAAUAUUGAUGCUUUUAAAUGGGUAUCAAUGUAAUUCAAGAUUGCAGGAGGGCUGGGUAUGAAAAUCAAUAUAAUUCAAGAUUGCAGGAAGGCUGGGUAUGAAAUUAAUCCUACAAUAAAUUAUUAUUAUUCAGUAAAAUAAUUGGUAGUUUAAUUUUUUUCUUCCAAAGUUUUGAUGUUCAUGAUUUGGUAUAUGAUAGAUAAAUUCAUCUAUGAGAUAAUUCAUUUUAUUUUAAACAAAAGUAACUUAAAAGCCAUUUAUGGUAUUCCAUUUAGAUAUUUUACCAACCAUCUAGCUUUAGGCCAUAAUAAAAAAAAUACCAACUAUCUAGCUUCCAUCCUAGUACUCUUAAACUUUCUUAACCUUUUGUACCUAUUCAUCACCCAAAAUACUAUAAUUAGAUUAAGAAUUUUAGCCCUAUUAUCUCUUAUUCGAUAUAUUUUCAUGAUUUAUUUGAGAAAUUUAUAUAUUAUUAGAUAUUGAAAGUGAUCAAAUAUUUAGAAUUGAAAAUUGUAUCCGACCUUCAAAUUGAUCAUUUUCUGGAAUAAACAAAUUAUAUAGUUAAAAUAUAUUAUUCUACUAAAUCAUAAAUAUCGAAACCUAUCAAAAAUAUAUAUAUAUAAUUAAAUAUUUUUUUUUACUAUCAUGCUUGAAUAUUUUUUUACUGAAAUUCUGACUUUUAAAUAUGGCCUAAAGAUUUGGCUACCGUUAGUGGCUUGAAAUGAUGAAAUAUGACUCAAGAUGAUUAAUUAAUUGCCAAGAUGGAAAGUCUAAGCAGCAUACAUUAAAUUAACUUUUUGAAGUUUAGUUGGCUAUCUUUAAAAUGAGCGAAAUUUCGUGUGAUUUUGAUGUAAUUUUUAACUUAUAAAUAUAACGUAAGGCUUUUUCUCAACUCCCGACGACUUGUAUUCUAUUCUCAUGUUUAAAAAUAAAUGCAAUUUCUCGGCACUCUCCCUCCGCUUCCUCAGAGCUCGAAAGGCCCUCCGUUUCUCCUACCACUCAUCAGCUCCUUCAUCUACAAUUCCACCUCCCCCACCCCAAACCCUAGAAACCCGCUUCUUCCCCAUCUCUCUCGAUCCCCGAUCCUUCGUCUCCGCCCUCGUGCAAUGUCGCACCGUCGCACAUGUCGAACAAGUCCACGCCUUGGCGGUCUCCGCCGCCAUGAUCGAAAACCUCGGCGUCGCGAACAAAUUGGUUUACAUAUAUGCCCAGCACAAAGCUGUAUCCGAGGCCCACGCGCUCUUCUCCUGCAUGGCCGAGCGAGACAAUGUGUCGUGGAGCGUGAUGAUCGGUGGGUUUGCGAAGAUCGGAGAUCUCGGUAGCUGUUUGGGGAUUUUCAAGGAGUUUCUUCGAUCCGGCUCUCGGAUCGACAACUUCACUCUGCCCUUUGCUUUGCGGGCAUGUCGGGAUUUGAAGUCGAUUCGGUGGGGCAUGGAAAUCCACCAUCUUGUUUACAAGUCCGGGCUUCAUUCCGAUGUGUUUGUAUCUGCGGCGGUAGUCGAUAUGUAUGCGAAGUGUGGGUGCAUCGAAGAUGCUCGGAAGGUGUUUGAUAGAAUGCCGCUGAGGGACAUGGUGGCUUGGACGGUCAUGAUUGCUGGGUAUGCGGAGUGUGGGAAUCCCGAAGAGUCGUUGAUCUUGUUUGAUAAGAUGGAGGAGGAAGGAAUUGUACCCGAUAAGGUCACCAUGGUCGCAGCUGUGUUCGCAUGUGCGAAGCUGGGCGCUAUGCAUAAGGCGAGGUUAAUCCGUGAUUAUAUAUCAAGAAUGAAAUUUUCAUUGAAUGUGUUCUUGGGUACAGCGAUGAUUGAUAUGUAUGCGAAGUGCGGAAGUGUCGAUGAUGCCCGUGAAAUAUUCGAUGAAAUGCGUGAGAGAAAUGUCAUUACAUGGAGCUCAAUGAUAUCAGCGUAUGGAAUUCACGGCCGUGGCAAGGAGGCUCUUGAUCUGUUCACUAAGAUGUUGCAAUCUAGGGUUCAGCCUAACGAAAUUACCUUCGUGUCCUUAUUAUCAGCUUGCAGUCAUGCAGGGUUAGUCGAUGAGGGCCGGAAAUAUUUUCAUAUGAUGAAGAGGGAUUAUUUGAUCCAACCUGAUGUCAAACACUACACUUGCAUGCUCGAUCUUCUUGGCCGAGCUGGUAAACUUGAUGAGGCAUUGGAAUUGACCCACAAAAUGGAAGUCGAGAAAGACGAAGGAAUUUGGGGCGCAUUACUGGGUGCUUGUAGGAUCCAUGGGAAUAUAGAAUUAGCAGAAAAAGCUGCCCAAAACCUUCUUCAGCUUGGCCCAAGAAAUCCGGGGUAUUAUGUUUUGCUUUCAAAUAUAUAUGCCAAUGCAGGCAGAUGGGAAGAUGUCGCCAACGUGAGGGAGCAGAUGAAUGAUAGAACAUUGAAGAAAAUUCCAGGAUCGACGGUGAUUGAGAUCAAUAAUAAAAAUUAUAAAUUCAAAGUUGGUGAUAAAACCCACCCACAAUCGAAGGAGAUAUACGAAAUGUUAAAGACUCUUAGAGAGAAGUUAGAAUUGGCUGGAUACCUUCCUGAUACGAAUUUUGUGCUUCAUGAUGUGGAUGAGGAACUCAAAGCAGAGUUCUUAUACUCUCACAGUGAGAAGCUGGCGAUCGCAUUCGGUUUGAUUGCUACAACAGAGGGCAGUACGAUACGAAUAACUAAGAAUCUUCGAGUUUGCGGUGAUUGCCACACAUUUACUAAGAUGGUUUCGGCAAUCAUGCAUAGGGAGAUUGUUGUCCGAGAUGCAAAUAGGUUUCAUCACUUUAAAGAUGGUUCUUGCUCUUGUCGAGACUAUUGGUGACAAAUGGGAUUUGCUAAGGUCUUUUGCAGUCCUCUCCUAUCUGUGUUGCCAUAUGAAUCCAGAUGACAUUUUCGGGGUUAGUUACAGUUUUAAUCGCUUAAGUUUGUCCUUAGAUUCAAGUGUAUCCUCAUAGUUUCAGUCGUAACAAAUCGGUCCCUGAAGUAUGCUCAACAUUCAAGUCCUAUUAGUCAAUCAUCUGAAAAAGGUUCCACGUUAGCACAUCACCAAACUUUGCUUUUUUGAAGGUGAAAUUUUAUGGCAAAACUGAAAUCUGGGUAAUACUUCAUGGACUAUAUUGCUAAUAUUGAAAUCUGGGUCAUACUUCAUGGACUGUAUUUGGCUUUGGAAAUUCCGAAGAUGCCAAAGUAUCUGAUUCUCUUCUUCUUGUUUGCCAAGCCUCCUAGUUGUUGCCAUUUUGGGUUAGUAAUCACUCCACAUGAAUCUAAAGAACAAGCAAACUGCUAUUGUUAUUUCCUCCAUCUGACAGCUGUAUCAAUAACAUAGCCAGACAACAAACAGGAUUGCGAGCCAUAAAAUUACCUAUAAAUACACAACAUUAUUGCAAUGCUUAGAAGAACAGGCAAAAAAACAAUCACCAACAACCCAAUCGUUCUAGAAACACUUUCUGGUGAUAGAAGAUGGGAUUUAACAUUUUCUCUCAUGCCUUGCUCAUUAUACUUCUCUCACUGUCAGCCUCUCAUGUUCUUGUCCUAGCAGGGGAUCCCGACAUCACCUCAGACUUCAUUAUCCCGCCAAACUUGAACAACUCGCUCGUGAACGGCACCUUCUUCACCUUCACUGGACUUCGUCCCUUACUCACGUUGCCCCCACCGACAAACUUCACCGUCUCCAAGGUGACAAUGGCAGAAUUUCCCGCCCUAAAUGGCCAGAGUGUCUCUUUUGCCGUCUUAAUGUACCCGCCUGGCAGCGUGAACCCACCGCACACUCACCCUCGGUCUGCGGAGCUCUUAUUCCUUGUUGAGGGUUAUCUCGAAGUCGGAUUCGUUGAUACUACAAAUAAGCUAUACACUCAGAAAAUGCAACCGGGUGAUAUGUUUGUGUUCCCGAAAGGGCUUGUUCACUUUCAGUACUGCACCGGGCCGAAGCCCGCUGUCGCAUUUUCUGCUUUCGGAAGUGCGAGCGCGGGGCUUGUUUCUGUCCCUGGAAGUGUUUUUACGAGUAAUAUUGAUGAUGGAAUCCUUGCCAAGUCCUUCAAAGCGGAUGUUGGUACAAUUCAGAAGUUGAAGGAGGGGCUUGCAGCAAACAAGUGCUGAGUGUGGGAUUAUUAGAGUGCAUAAUAUAUAGUACGAGUGUGGACUACACAUAGGAAAUCAUUACCUAUGUUUAAGUUACAAAAAUAAAAUAGCAUUAGUGUGUUGUGAUAACUACAUUUGGACGUGUAUUCAUAAAGUGCAAUUUUUUGGUUGUUACCAGAAUUGCCUCUUUCAAUAAAUUUAUCUUUUUUUUCUGUGUGAAAUUUAGGACUGUCAGAAUUAUAUCAAAGAUAAUACAUAAAAGAUAAUUUUUAGGAAUAAAUAACCUUUCUCUCAAGGUUGUGCAAUCUGCCCGCCCCUUCUUCUCCGACGAUGAUAACAAUUCGUAACAAUUCGUAAGGAGGCCUCACAGCCUCUUCUUUCUUCUUCAUCGCUGGCGACAACGACGACUCCAAGACUACUCCCCCAUCAUGACUACUCCGCCAUCAUGAGGACAACAGAUUGGUGUAUCGGAGCAACCAGCAUAGUAGCGAUUCUCUUGUCGGUUUGAUCACAUGACCGUCUUCCUGACAUGCUCGACUAGUAGAAUCAGGCAUUGGAUUGUUACUAUAUCGUGCGCGUGUAUUCACUACGCGUCAGUCUCUCUAAUCUCACUUCCGUUGCCGUGACUACGAUAGAUCAACGCGGGCACGUGAACGGCGCGACAAUAGUUAUCUAACUUGUUUGAUUGUGCGGUCAUCUUCGCGAUAGGUUCAACACGGUCAAAUACUCAUUUAAAUAAAUAAAAUUAAAAUAAUUAAAUAAUAAAUAAAUAAAAUAAAAUGGAAUAAUAAUUAUUUGUCACGAAUCGUCAUCUUUAUAAUAGGCUUGAUCUGAUUCAGCUUAAAUCAAAUUGUCGUUUUCUUGAUAUGCUUGAUUUGGAUUUGCUUUCACCGAAUCGCUGAUUUUAUAAUAGGCUUGAUCCGACUUAAAUCAAAUUGCUGUUUUCGUGAUAGACUCAAUUUGGGUUUGGUUAAACCAAAUCGUCAUACUUGUAAUAAGGUAGACUUGGGUUUGCUUUCAUCGAAUCGUCGUCUACGUGUUCGUGAUAGGAUUGAUCCAGUACAGUUAAAUCAAAUUGCCAUCUUCGUGAUAGGCUUGAUUUGACAAAAGUCUUGCAUGCCGGCCUAUCAAUCCAUCUGUUCAUACUAAGGGCUUAGAGGAAGAGGAAGAUGUCUCUCUAGAAAUUAAAGAAACGUCUGAUAAAAUCAAUCAAGAGAUGACUACAGUUAUGUAUUGAAUUCAUUCAUGAAAUCGGAGCAUCUAAUGAUCCUCCUACGUAGAUCUAAUUAGAAUCCUCCAUCCCAAAGUUUAAACAGCUCCUUUUGAGAUUUUAGUAUUAAAAAAUGAAAGAAUAGUGUGCUGAAUGUCCUUCUAUUGGAUUGCAAUUUCAUUUAUGUCUCUUCAAAUUUUUUUAAAAAAUCACCAAUAUCCUCGUUAACAUCAGCAAUUCCCUCAGAAACCCUUUAUUAGUCGAAAUUAACGUAAAUUGAAUAGAUUAUUCAUAAAAUUCUGUUUUACCCCCUAAUAAGCUAAAACAUUAUUAAACUUGUCAUCUGAAAAGUAACAUAGACUUAACAAACAAAAGUGAUAAAUCUCCUACUUAAUAAGAAAUUAAAAAAUCAUACUAUAAUCUAUAAAUAUAUAUAUAUAUAUAUAUAUAUAUAGUUGAGCUAGAAUACUGUCGAUAGCAAACGAGCUCCGUUGUCACCCAUUUAUUUUCGAUGAUGGAGCAUCCAAAUCGACGAUUGGCAUCAUUGAACAUGAUCUAUACCACUUGAAGUGUUUAGAAAUCAAAUUUCAUACAUUUUCGAUAUUGUUCUCUUAUCCAUUGAGUAGACACAAAAAUGAACGGUUGAAAAUGAAUAUUCUUUAAAAACUGAUGAUAGGAGUCUUGUAAUCAAGAUCAAGAGUAUAGAUCUUGUUUUAAAUAGUUUAAAGAAUUUUCUAACAAAAAUUCAAUUAAUUUGGAUAUCUUUACGCUGUUAAACGGAAAAACGUAUCAUAUCGACCAUUAAAAUUACAAAUUUUGAAAUAUUUUGAUCAUUAGGCAAAUGAUGUCGAAAAGAUUUGAAAUUUGAUUUCUAAAUACUUCAAGUGGUAUAGAUCAUGUUCAACGGUGUUCUAGCUCAACUCUAUAUAUGUAUAUAUAUCUUAAAUAAAAAAUAGAAAACAACAUGAAUUAUUAUUUUAUCCUAUGAAUAUUAGUUGAAAAUAACUGUUAUUUCAAUUAACUACUGUUUAACUCUAUUUUAACUUGGAUUGUGGAUUCAUAAUAAACUACUAUAGUAGCCCGCACGUUAAGCGAAUAGAUAUUUAUAAAGUGAGAAUUCAACAUAAUAUACUACAAUACUAUAAAAAAGAGAAGGGAUUAGAGACAUAUCCUCUUCAAAUUUAUUUAGUUGAUAUAGUGUAGUGACAGAAAUUUUAUAGUGAGUAGGUGUUAUUGUAAAACUAAAGAUAAGUCAUCUACUAAACAAAUAGAAAAUAAAAUAAAAAAAUAAUAUUCUUACUUGAUGCAUAAAUUCGAUCAAUAUUCUGAUCUCUACUGUUUGGAAAUUUACAAUAUUAAAUUACAGAGAAGGAAGGAAGGGUGAAAGAAAUGGCAAAAACAACAAUGCAUCGGGCAAUAGCAAACAUUCAUGGAAGAAAUGGCGGAAAUGAUAAUGCAUCGGGCAACAUUCAUGGCGAUGAUGGUCCAUCUUCAGUCAACAGGAAAGAAUAUAGAGAAAAAAAAAUCCAACAAAAAAAAAAUAAUAAAAAAAAUCGGCAAGGAAUAUUAUUUUCAUAUGUCGUUGAUGAAAUGAUAUACCUUGUCUAUUAUGAAUAAAGUAAAUUACAUAUUAUGAUCAAUAUAAAAGUUUUCAAAGUAUUUUGUUUUUUCUAAAAACUCAAGCUACUAUAAUGAAUUUCUCAUACCAUUUUUUUUUUACUCUUUUCAUAAAAAAAAAACUCAAACCACUAUAAUAACAUAUUUUAUAAUUUUUAAAAUAAUUAAAUAAAGAGAGAAAAAAUAAAAUUAUGUGUAGAUGGGUAGAGGAUGACAGGCAUUGUUGGUAGGAAGAGCUCAAGACUUGAUAGUAAUGAUCCAACUGCGCCAAAAAAAAGAGAGCUCACCAUUUGUUGUGGCGCUUCAACCGGAAAUGCUCCUCCCUAACAUUGCCCUUCGCAAAAUAUCGGCUGAUACACCAAAAGAAACCCAUCAAAAUCAAAACUUUCUGAAUCAAAUCAUCAAAUUGAAUCAUCCCGACUUCCAAACACCAUAAAACUUAAAAACUUUUCGAAUCAAAUCACCUCAAUUUCAAAUCUUACUCGCAGUGGACGCAAUUGAACUGCCCCAUCCCUGGAAGGUCCUCAUCCUGCGGCAGCAGCUUUGGCUCCUCCCCCUCCGCCAACUUCAGUAUCUCGCUAUACAUUGCAUCAUUGACAGAUCGAUCACCCCAAAUCAAUUUGAGUUAAAGAAGAAACAAAAAUAGGAGAUAUAGAUGGAUCAAUCAAUCGAAAUAAAAAAGGAGAUUAGAGCCAAAAAAAAGAAGAUAUCUUUGUGGAGGAAUUUGAUCAUCAAGCGCUCUCGUGGGAAAAUCUCCGCUUCUUCACCAAAAUUGCUGCGGACAUAGGUGAGAUGAGGGGAGAGGGAGAGAUGCCUGUUGUCUGUUUGGGAGAUAGAGGGAAGUUAAAGAGAUGGGAGAAAGAAAGAAAGCGGAGAGAAAGAAAGCUGAAGGAAUUAGAGGUGAGAGAAGAAGAAAGGAAUAGAGCGAAAGAUAUAGUAAAAAAAUAGAGAGAGAUGAAAUUUUUAUUUCAUGGCGAUGAUAGUCCAUCUUCAGUCAAUAAAAAAAAAAGUAAAUAAAGAAAAAAAAAAAAACACCCAACCAAUUUGAAAAAAAUAAUUAAAAAAUUGGUGGGGCCCACAUUCCCAAACUAAGAAGAUGAUGGUUCACCUUCUCAGUGGGGCCCACACCCCCAAAUUAAAAAGACUAGUGAAGACCCGCGCUUCUUGGCGGUAAAUUUUCGCAAUUUUUAAAAUAUUUUGAAUAAACUAUUCAAUAUUAUUUACCAAAGUUGGGGUAAAAGCAUAUAAGAAUAUAUUUCUAUGUUUCCGUUGUUAUCAUUUAAAUUUUUAAAUUUAAAUUUAAAUUUUUUAAUUUUCAAAUCUAAUUUUAAAUUUUAAACUUCAACAUUUUUGAAUUUUAAUUUUAAUUUUUCAUAAAUUUUAUUAGCACUUUUUUAAUUCUCUUUUUAUUGUGGUCCAAAGAUGACGUGGUGAACCUGGUUCAUCGAAAUCGCAACUCGCCACGUGAUCACGAGGGCUGCACACCUGUGACACACGCAUCUAUUACACCGAGAGAAAUCCCCUUCCUCUUCUCGUCUCGCGCAUCGUCUCCCUCCUCCCACCGCUCGGAGCUCACAUCCAUGGUGUCGCCGCCGACGCCACUGAGAAGAAAAAAAGAAUGAAAAAGAGAGAAAGGAGUGGGUUGCCCGCCCGCACCCGCUCGCGCCUUCUUCAAACGAAUUAGCGUUUAAGCGAGAGUAAAUAAUAAACCCAAAUUUUCAUUAGUUAUAGAAGAAACACUCAAUUAAUUGCUAAUUAUACCAUACAUAAUUAUAAAAAAACCAACUGAUUUACCCUGCAAAAAAGAAAUCUAAGAUUCACGCACAUUGAUCACCACAAAUUCUCACUAAACUAUCAUGAGAAAUAAAAGAAACCUUCAAUUAACAGCUAAUUUUACUCGUAAUAAAAGUACCAAAAACAACUAAAGUGUUAAGCACAUGAACAAUAGCCACUAUUCACAUUUUUCGUUACUUAUCAUCAUCGCCUCAAAGAAGAGCUAGAAAGAAGGGAGUAGUCAUGAAACUUAGUAAAUUAAACUUAAGAAUAAUUAUAUUUGACAAAUCUAACUACAUGUUCAAAGAAACAGACAUGCAAAAAGCAGUAUUUGAGACCUUAGUAAUUAAACUUAGUAAUUUGGCUGUUGCUGCUGUGACAACAUGGGUGCAUUCUCAAAGAAAAAUAUUGUUCUCUUGUCAAAAUAACUUAGUAAGUUGACGUAGUUUUUUAAUCUCAUCACACAUCCCUUCUUGCUUCAGGUUUCUACCAAUCUCUGCGAUGCUAUUGUACUGAUACAGGGUUCAGGAUCUGUGUAUGAGUUUAAACAAUUAAAUAUCAUUUACAAUUUAUGGAUCUAAAAUAAUUAAAUUUAGCUGAUGAUUGAUUUGAAAUUUCUAUACAGUUACAAGAUACAAAUCAAAAGCUAGAACAAUAUCAUGCGCAAUGCCACAAAUAAGACUCAUAGACAUCUUACUAUGAAAAUUUAUUUUUUUUAAAUAAGAUAAAAGAAAUAGAGCACACACUAACCCACCUCUUGAAAACUCUCACUCAAGAUGCCGAGUAUAAAUCUUCAUAUAGAUAUGGCCGAAUUUGACCCCCUUCCUUUCCGUCUUCCUUCCAAGCGACAUAAAACAAGCACAUAAAAACCGAUGCCCUGAGCGCCUCGCGAUCAGCUCAGGCAUUUGUCGAACAGGGACUGGCGGAAUGAAGAGAGUGCGGGGCUUGCAAGGGCGCGACGAUGGAGGGGGAGAGGAGAAGAAGAUCCUCGCCAGAUCCCCACCGCGAAAUCCGCGCCGCCCAGAUUCCCCGACGGAGAGACGAGAGAGUAUUUGAAUAAGAUCGAAGGAGAAAGGCGGAAAAGUAAAAGAGAGAACAGGGGAAUCGAAAUCCUCCACUGCGAAGAUCGUGCCGGGAUCCCCGGCGGGAGGCUUCGGAGAGAGCACGCGGACCGGCGGCCGAGAGAUCUGCACACAUUUUGGAGGGAGAGACGAGAAGGUAACGUCGAAAAGUGAGGCCGUACCCGGUGAAGAUCGCCGGCGCGAUCUCGGCGGAUCCGCGUGGAAUCCGGGAAAGAGAAGACUCGUGAGAAUCGGGAAGAGAAGAGAGAGAGAGAGAGAGAGAGAGGAAGAGAGAGAGAGAGAAGUCCAACAAAGCCAAGGGGGGGAAGGAGAGAAAAGAGGGGAGAGAGAGGGGGGGCAUGUCACACCCAGGACUCGUUCCCUGGGCACGCUAACAGACCCGCCGUAUACAUAGAAAUUUUUUCUGUAUACGAAGCGAAAGCUGUACCUGUACCUGUAAUCAUACAAAAUUACAACCAGUAGUAUAGAGCUGCUAAAUAAAAUAUAUAUAAUAACAAGAGUCCACAAUACAUACAUAGUAUCCAGGUAUAACAAAAACACUCGCUCUAGCGAGCUACAAUAUCGAUCAGUAUGUAUAAGAACUCCAAAAACUGAUACUACCUGUAGUGGGUAAAUCUCUAGCUCAGCAGCAACCCGGGAAAAGAUCUAACUCGCGACUCCCUUUCCACGGUCAGUCUCAGCAGUAGCAGUAGCAGCAGCCGCAACAGUAGGCUCUGCAAAAGUCACCAACUGAGUGUGAGAACUACUGCAAAAAGAAGUAGUCCAUAGUGUGUACCACUACCGACCUCAAUGGCUCACCCACUAAGUCUACAAAAUGAAUGCUCAAUGAUAGUAAAUAACUAGAAACAAUCUACAGCUAUAUGUCAGUAUACUAUCAUGCUUCAAUACUAACUAUUUAUAGAAUAAUGCAAACUCUGACCCAAUCUCACCUAGGGACUGUGAAUAACCCAUCCCGCCUGUCAAAUCUACACUAACUGCCACCAUGCUAGGUCAUCAGCGGAGAGCAAGUCUAACCAGGACAAACCGACAUCAACGCAAAAGCACUAAGCCCGACUCCGGAGUGGCACUCAUGGGCGCUACCCAACUGAGUAUGCAAGCGUGUCUCUGUCGAGCUCAAUCAGGCUCUCACAGGCUAUAGUCAAGUAAACAGGGUCUAACAAUCCAACUCACUGCCCUCGGCACAAUCUGAUGCAAAAGUGGCAAUCUGGGUCCACCGUCAACUCCAACGGCACGACAAUCCGAAACAGCCUAGACACUGCUGUAAAAAUAAGCUCAGCAUCAUCCGAGCACGAGCGUAAAUGCAUUCUACACUAUUCUGGGUAUCCACCGCCUACAAACUGCGGCGAUACAAACAAACUACGGCUCUUAGAGCUAAAUCUGGUAAUUUCAGAAUAUGACGGUGUAGAAUCGAUAGUUUUCUCAUAAUUCAAUUCCAAGUCCAACAUGUAUAAUUUAGCUAAAAUACUAACAUUGCUCUAAAUUCAGAUUUCAAGAAAUCUAUGCAAAUCAAUGAAUUCGAGCUAAUUAACAGGAUAAACAAGACCAAGAUACAUGUCGACAAUAACUAGGCUUAGGAGGUUAAUCCGCAAAUUCCGGCAAGCAUCAUUAACCCACCUCUAGCGCUAAUCCACGGCAACCCGAGGUCACGAAGUCGCUGGAAACUCUGCCGAGACCAAUCGAAAUCCCCCAGAACCAGCAACCAAACCACUCCAAUGAUCUAAACAUCGAAAACACAAAAACUUGCAUUAUAACUCCCAAAUUUCAGCACUUAAGCUUAAACCUUCAAUUCCAAUGUCAAAACUCACCUAUCAAUCCCCAAAUCCACAAUUCUGGUGAAGAAUACUCUCAAAACCAGUAAGGAAAGGUGGAGCAACUUCCUCUGGUCGAAAAUCCAGUUCUCUCUAAGAAUUGGUCCAAAAACAAUCAAAGAAAACUCACUUUCAGGACCAAAACACCAGCAGCUCAGUAAAAUACGAAAUUGACUAUACAAACCUCAAUCAAUUUUUGUCAAACAGAGUUCCACGAAAUUUUCAGGAAGUCAACUAACCACCAAAACCAAGUUUCACAGCAAUCCGACUUUCCUACGUCGCACACGAGCCAAAACGCCAAAGGUCGCUGCUGGAAUCUGCUAAAACUGCACCUCUCAAGCUUCAAAUUGUGAAAUUUGGAGUAAUUUAAGGAGUUUAGAGGGGUUGGAAUGCAAAAUAUGGGUUCACUGUGAAGAGAGGUGAAAAGAGCUCACUGGGGUCGAACACUACCUAUUUAUAAGGAGGUGGAAGAGUCAGAUAAGCCCCAAGAACAAAUGACACUAGCCUGCUGUCCCAGCAGAAACAGCCACUUUUAGGCGCCCAGAACCCCUUUCUGGGCUUCCGAAACCUCCACGCUACACAAUUGCUCCUCUUCGGUUCCUCCACCAGCAUUGUGCUGCGCCCAUAUCCUGGUCCGGCAGACCUCACCUACCACCAGCCACGUGCCAGCGCAAACAAUAUUCACGAAAUAAACUUUUGGACCCUCUUCUGGGCGCUCGAAACUAAGAUCCGAAUUGGCUUCCAGUUCAGCACUCGAGUUCUGGGCGGCCCAAACCCUGUUCUGGGCGCCCGAAACUGACAAAACUUCAGUUUUGCUCUUUUGAGUGCGCCAAGUCCAUUUCUGCAUCCAUUUCGUGCAAAAACGACUCCGAUUCAGCCCGACACUCUCCAGAUGUGUCGACCAGUCACUAAUACUGUAGCCAAUCCUAUCCAAACCUCUGGAACACUACAGGAUGAAAAUGAUUAAUUUGUAUGAUCUAACGCGAGUGAAACAAAAUUCUCGUAAGCACUAACUUCCUUCAAAGCGCCACCAUCAGACAGACGUUCUCUCUUUCUCUAUAUAGUAUAUGAAUAGGCUGGAAUACUAUCAAUAGCAUGGCUAUUGGGUUAUUAGUUUUUUAUUUCUUGGAUAGAAAUGUGCGGUAUGAUGAUGUGGCCCCUAGGGUUGGUGGGUGUGUGGUCUGGUUGAAUAGUAUAAUCUAACACAUAAAAUAUAUCAAAGGAGUUAAAUCUAACGGCGGAAAACUCGAUAGCCGAAGAAUAGAUAUCCUCAGCCGCGACUUCCUCUCUCUUUCUCUCUCUUGCUUCUCUCUCCUCUCCUCUCUCUCCUUCUCUCUCUCUCUCUCUCUAUAUUUAUAUAUACUAUAUAUACUAUAUAUAAAUAUAUAAUAUAUAUAGUAUUAUAUCCUAUAUAUAUAUAUAUAUAUGGCCAUGGCUACUAUACUAUUAUGAGUAUUGGAGCCCUCGUACUCAUAAGUUGUUUCCAAUGAUGGAGCUUCCGAAUCGACGAUCCACUCCAUUAAAUGUGAUCUAGAGUAUUUGAAACUUCUAGAAAAUAAAUUUCUUAAUUUUUCGAAAUCAUAAUAAAGUCCAUCAAGCAGGCAUAAAAUGAACGGUCAAAAUCGAACAACAUCCUAAAAAUGGAUGAUCGGAUCCUACAAUUUAAAAUUGGAGUUAUUAAUCUUUACCUAGGUAGUGAAUAGAAUUUUCUAUCAAAAAUUCAACCGAUUCUGAUUCUUUUACACCGUUAAACUAGCAAGUGUCCCAUACCGGCCGUUAAAAUUGUCAAUUUUGCGAAAUUUCGAUCGUAAGGUAAAUGAUGUCAAAAAAUUAUAAAAUUUGAUUUCUAGAAGUUUUAAAUGCUCUAAAUAACGUUUAACGGUAUGGAUCGUCGAUUCGGAAGUUCUAUCAUCGAAAACAACUUAUGAGUACGAGGGCGAUCGUACUCAUAAGAGUAUAGUAGCUGGACUCUCUCUCUCUCUCUCUCUCUCUCUUUCUCUCUUUCUAUAUAUAUAUAUAUAUAAAACUAGGUUAGAAUACUAUUAAUAGCAUCAAGCUAUUGGUGCUAUUAGUAUUUUAGCCCUUGGAUUGAAAAAGGUGUGGUUAGGAUGAUGUGGGCCCCCUAGGGUUGAGUGAGUGGCGGGUUGAAUAAUAUAAUCUAACGGUAAAAAUAAUCACAGAAUUAAAUCUAACGGUAGAAAACUAGAUAGCACCAAAAACACCUUGUGGCUAUGCAGAUAGUAUCACAGUCUCUUCUCUCUCUCUCUCUCUCUCUCUCUCUCUCUCUAUAAUAUAUAUUUAAUAAUUAUAUAUAUCCCAACUGUUCAAACUAAAACUUAAAAUGUGAUGUGAUCCAAUUGUUCUCAUUUGGUCUGUUGCUUCAACGUAUUAUUUCUCAUACCUAAUCGCUCAAUCGCCUGCAUCGUUCUGCUCACCAUAAUCUUCUUCUUCUUCUUCCUCUUCUUCUUUAAAUUUUUCAUCUGUCAAUAUUCCUCUUCUUCUUCUGUAUCCUCAAAGUCAACCAUUCUGCUCUUCAUCAAUGGAUAAAGACAGUCGAGAUGACGAACAAACUUAUCCUUUUUCUUUUUUAUUAAUCCCUUUCUUUUUUCUAUUUUCUUUCGCUUUUCAUUUCUUUUUCAUUUUCAAGUGCCUUUCAUUAUAGUGUAAACCGUGUAUGAUAGGCCAGGCUCAUUAAACCCUUAGCUAGCCUCUAACACAUUACACCCAUAGUCAAAAUAUCCUCUUCACCAACAAGUCAUUUCUUAUUAUCCUCUCCAUCCAGCUAUCCAUCUCACUCAAAGUCAACCAUUAAUUACUAUCAAUUCAAUAUUAUUAGUAAUAAUGGAUUUAAUGUAUCCAUUGCAAAUUGUAACUAACGAGUUAGUGCUCUAUUAUAUCUUAUCUGUCACGCCCCGAGCCCGCCUCUUUGGUCGGAUUCGGGCACGCCAACAGACCGCCGAACGGACAGGGUUUCCUCUGCACGCGGACAGAGUCUCCCCUGUACGUUCAAGGCGUCGCAAUCAAUACAAGUACAAGGGGUUCCAAACAGGAAUAAUUUUCAACAACGAUUUCAUAAGGAAGGUAUCAAACAACAUAACACAUCCUAUGUUAUUACAAUCAUUCAUCACAUCAUUUUACAUCGCAUUUUUCAUUACAUUGAUCCUCAACUUCCAAAUAUACAAUCGAUUUCUAAACAUAUUAUUACAACAUCGAUUCUUUUCUUUUCUUUUCUUUUCUUAUACCCCUAAGAAGCCGACUCAGGGUGCUGCUAUCUGGUCUCUGUGGUAGGGCGCUAACUACGGAGCUACGCCCUUUCCUCGCGCCGCCGCGCCGCUCGCGUGUGAACCUGUACCCCCAAAAACAACAACACGGGGGUGAGACUAUUGUCCAUAGUCGUCAGUGGGUACAGCCACCCAAGUGAAAAGCUCAACCCACCAGGUCCAAAGGAGGCACUGCAACAUGUUAGUCCAACAGAUAUAUAUACAUAUAACAUCAUGCAAUACAUGUUCAUGCCUCACAAAUAUACAAAUUAUGCAACUCUUAGUCAUUCUUUGCCAUUAGCCUUUCUUUAGAAUAUGCAAUUCUCUAUCAUUAGUCAUUCUUUAUUCUUUAUGCUUUAUUCUUUAUGCUUUAUUCUUUGUUCUUUAUCCUUUACUAAGGGCACUCGCACCUUAGGCGCAUUAUACACUUUUGCCAUUCUUUAUAACAUUAACAAGUCUUUCUCAAUUAUCAC